Xyrichtys novacula (pearly razorfish) is the source of this 98302-nucleotide non-coding RNA. NCBI's taxonomy places the organism in Eukaryota, Metazoa, Chordata, Actinopteri, Labriformes, Labridae. The record is from the annotation of a GenBank genome assembly.
GUCGUUAGCUGCGCCUGUGGUGUCACCUGAGGCAUCUGGACACCUGACCACCGGCCACUAACCCAAACUAUCAAGACUUUGCCCUUGGUACAUGUGGUUCAACCAGGAGUUAGUAAAUUCUGACUUAAUUUUAAACUUUAUUGUUAUAUUUAUCUUGUGUGUAUUUUAAAGAGCUGAAAAGAAGUGCUGUUGAGUCUUAGAGGCGUGAACGUAACUUAGCCUGGGCUCUGAAGUAGCCAGUUAGCCAAAGUCUGUGCCAACAUUUUCGGGACUCUGCUCACUCAUAUUAAAUAUUCAGCUUUAAUUUCAGUGUUACACAGCAUUUUUAUACCGAAAUGCUCGGACUUUAAGAUAGUUUUUUAUGUAGUUGCGGCCAAACUACCGCGUUUAUCCGUUUGUGUAGCACUUCCGUUGUAACGUCUCAACUCUGUCACCUCAGGAUGUGUCAUGGAGGAAAUACUCCGGUUUGAGCUGCACAUACAACUCUGAGGAGGGGUUUCUGGCUGCUGAAGGUCCUUACUUCACCGUGGAAGUUUUCCCAACACUGCAGUCUGCACAUUUUGGACCAUAAUGGCACUUUCCUCUGGGACACCAUGGACCAUUGCCUCACCUGGAUAAGCUAAGUAACUUCCGUUUAUGCUCAUUAACGUCGCUGUUUGUGUCUGGGCUGUGCUUAUUUGCUGUUUGUGAUCUGGUGUGAGGCUGCUGUAUUGCUGGCUAUUUAACAGCUUCUCAGAAAUGUUCUCCCGUUUCUUUUAAGGCUUUCUGUCAAUAUAAUUAAGCAGUUAAUUUCUGCUCUGAAUGCUGCUGCUUUUGCUAUUUGUGUGUGUUUGUUUGCAUCUGGAAUUAAUAGUUAAUGAGCUUACUUUAUGGUGGCUAAGCUCAUUGUUUAUUGGUGGUUGUUUGGCAGGUGCAUUGUGAUGCCUUCAUGUUGUUUGUUUACAUAGUGGAUAUGAGCUUAAUAAACAAAAUUAGCUUUGCAUAUUUCCCCUGGGUUUUCACCUUUGUUUCUGGUAGUCUGUUGCAGAGUGUAUUGGCCUUUUCCAUCCUGAUCGUUACACGGACAGAUCUUAACAAUAUUUUCAGGGGAUCUUGGUUUCCUGGAAACCUCCAAUGACUUUCUGUCACAUACAGCAUUCUCAUUUUAACCACACGGCUCAUAUUCAGUUAAUAUUUCACAGAAUACAACCUCAAAGCUAUGUCACACCUUGCUUUUCUGUUCUGCAUAUCAUAAUUGCAUCUAAAAUACCAGGCUGCUGCUGGUUUCCUAUUUCUGCUACAUUAAACUACACUGAUUUCCAUGUUAUGAUGGUCAUCUGCUUAUCUGGUAGCCUUACAUUUGAAAUGGGAAUUCAAAAACAGAAAAUAUGAUUUAUUAAUUAUCCUCUGCGCAGCUCAUGUUUCUAUCUUGCUGUAUAUCAGGUGGAUUUCUGGUUUUACAUUAGUACAUCUUGAUUUACUGGAUAAAUUAUUCCCCGCUAUGUGCCGAUGAUCUGCUGGAGAAAGGUCACACUGAAGGUUCCACAGAAAAGCUGUCACCAGUUGCCGUUUGCAAUAUGAUUUUAAGGUGAAAGGUUAUUUUUGUCUCUGCCUGCGCAGUUCUGGCAUGAGGUGAUGAAGUCAAAGCCCUAAGUCCCACAUCUGUAUAUUGGUAUAGAUUUAUUUAUGUCAGAUUGCAAAAAAGGCAGUGAACUAACAGUGAAUAAUGGUUGAAAAAGUAGAGGCUCCUCCACACUCAGAUGCCAUGUGACCUCUCCUACAGCAGGGGGAGGUGGAAGUCCAGUGACAGCACUCUGCAACCCAUUUCAAACCCCCCUCUUCACUGUCCAUGGAGAAAAGCCAAUCAGCUCUCCUGAUAUUAGUAUUCCUAAAUGCCUCCUAGUGUUGUUUUCACCAGCUGCUCACCAAAUAUCUGUGCUGACGUGUGUUUAGAUGGUGUCCACUUGAGUUAUCUCAAGAACAUUAGCAUGAAGACGGCUGCUUUCACAUAACAUUAAGCCAGUAUCAGAAACGGUUACAUUUACAGCAUAACCAUCAUCGGUAUCAGUUAUUUCUGAUAAUCUACUGCGAGACUCAGAAGUCUGAAAGUCUUCUUCUUCUCUGAUCCCUGUGCUGCUGUGUCAACCGCAGAAAUAUCUCUACAGCAGUGGAUAAAUGAGUAUGACAGGAAAGAACGAGGGAAGGAAGGAAAGCUAAAAUAUUUACUGUAUGUCCCCCAGCUAAAAUGAAUUGAUUACCUACAUCCCUAAUGUUCCCAUUCAUCUUUACAGUAGAAAUGCUUGAGGCAGCUGUGAGUCAGACAAAGUAUUUUACACCAACACCUCUGUCAGUCAAAUCUGUGAAAUGAAUAAGAUUCUAGCAGCUAUUUUUCAGCCUUGCCUGAAUUUAGUGAUGUUAAAUAUGCAGUUGCAGUACCAUCAGCAGCCUAUCUCAGAAACAGUUUAUAUGAUUGUAUUAAAAGCAAUAAAACAGGAAUAAAAAGGAUUUGGACCCUCACUUUAAAAUACUGCAUGGCCUGAAUUGUUUUGCCAUGAUUUUAACCAACACCAGGUGAUACUUUAAUGACUGUCUCUCUGCAGUCCUCCUCCUCAGCCCUGAAAAAAAACCAACAUUUGGAAGUUAAAAUGGCAUUAUAUUAGCUGUUGCAGCAGUGAACACCCUGCAGCUCUCAGCAUAAUGAGGAAACAGUAUUAACAUGGCCGCAACUACUUACAGAGCUGUGUGGGGUUUUUCUGAGAACACUCGAUGUUAAUCCACCACAGUAAUCACGAAUCUACACAGAAUAAUAAGAUAUUCUCUAGAUGAAUUAACAAGAGUAUUGUGGUUCUUCAUUUUACAACUUCUUGCUCAGACAACCAACAAGCUAAACACUGUCAUCAUGGUGGAAAAUAGCAGUUCCUAAUGUUUGGGGUGAUCUAAGGGGGAAGUGUGUGGUAAAAGCAUCACUAAGGGAUUCAUAUUAGUCAUGCCACAUUGCUCCCUAGUUGCUGAAAUAAUCAUUAGCAGCCUCUUCUCCCCUGGCAUUACAUGUGUGUGCAUACUUAACAUCUAGGGUGCAUCGAAAGACUGCAACUUACACUAUCAGUGUCGUUUAUAGACUCUUUCUCUGAUUGAUCGGCCUGUAAAUGCCAGGAAACAAUGUAAAAGGUCACCACAAUUAUGUAAACACACAAAAUUCAAAGGCGACUGGUGCUCCCAUCACAACAAGGCCCUGAGUCACUACCCAGACCAUAGACUUCUGCUAGUAUACAGAUUUGAAGCGGUAAAACCUGUCAGUAUUUCUGCGAUUUUCCUCCACUUCCUGAAACCAACAUUGCGCUGUAGCAUUGUACACACUCCACCGCUUACGCAGUAGCAUAGUACAUAGUCGGCGGGAGAGCCGCCUAGAGUUGCUGUGAUGACGCUCGGCUGAAACAGCGUAUCCCCUGGGUGAGCUACGCAACCUUUGUAUGCCCAUAAGCUGUAUCAAGUGUCAAUCAUAGAAAACAUGAACCCCCUAAUAACUUUUAAAAAUGGAGGUGUACAGAAAAAAGAGGACUUGAGCACAAACCAGUCUUACAAUAAAUACAUGUCAACAUCACAAACAGGGGGAAGAAACAUUUAUAUUUUGUGUAAUUAAUUUUUUCUAAAGUUUGUCAACAACUUCAUUAGGAUGGAGGCGGGAUUUAUGACCUAUACUGCAGCCCGUCACCAGAGGAUGCUGUUCUUGGGUGGCUUCACCCAGCUAGGAGGCAGACGGCAUCCACUCUAUAUAGUCUAUGGUCACUACCUAGACUUAUUCCCUCUGUUGGUCCCAAUUGGUAGAAUGGCUAAUACAACCACCUCGAUUUAAACAGUCCCCUUCUACUCCUGGGACACUUAUUGGCCAAGCUCUUUGUAAACAACUCCACACUUGGUAGCUUGACACUCAUAGUGAUGGUGUUGUGCAUUUGUAGUAGUUUGUGUCUCUUACACAUGUUGUUUCCUUCUGUCUUUAUCGUUGUUUGGGUUUUAUGCUACCUGAACAUGUAAUUUUGAAUUUUUUACUCAAGCUGUAUUUUUUUAAAUCUUGGCUUUAAACACAACUACUGUUGAUGAAAAACAGGUGGUACGUUCUGGGGUGUCGUGUGAUUACUGUAGUGACAUGGUCAGUGUUGACCCCACUGUUGAGUAAUGAGAAAGGAGGAAGGAUAAGAGAGGAUUUAGGGUGAGAGACUGAAAAUAUAAAUGAGAGAAAAAUCAAAUAGCAUGGCCCCAGCUUUGUGCUGUUGGGCUGAAUGUUAGCGGUAAUGUCUAAAACAGAAAUUUGCUUUUUCUCUCCAAACACUCAUUUCUCCUCUCAGAUGUACUCCCAUGGUAACUAAGGUCUGUGUUACAGAUUUUGAGGCAGUUCUUUUCAGUGUUGAGUGUGAAUUACUCCCAUCUGAACAAGUUUUAGGACAUUAUGGUGAUUUGUCUGCUGCCACCAUUAUGUUGUUUCUUGUCCCUGCCUGCUUGUGGGAUGUUGUUUACUCUUAGCAGAAGCUGUAAGUUGCUUGAAAGUAAGCAUGAAAAUGUAUGUUGAACCAAAUCUAUGUUUUCCUUCUGCUGACGAUCAAUGAGUUUUGCAAGUCAGCAAAGAAAUUUGAAACAAGUUGUAAACUCAGUGAGCCAGGUAUAAAUAAUUCAUCACACAACUUUUUAAAUACUUUAGAUGUAAAGAAAUUCACCUGUACUCCCACAUUAGCAUCCCACCUGUGGUGUUUGCUGGAUGGGUUACUAGAAACUUCUGUGAGAUUUUGUGUAUUUUGUAGAAAGUGGCAUCAACUAAUCAGCUUUAACUUGACUCCAAUGUGACCUGCCAAUCAGCAGUAGCUCAUUAGCAAAGUUUCAGCUCAUGUUUGCCUCUAGAUGAAAAGCCAACUAAAUCUCAUCUUGCUUAUCUUCAUGUCUGUACUCUAAAUGAGAGAUUGCACAUAUGUGUUGAGGAAAAAAAUGUGACCCUUACUGAAUCUGAACCAUCUGACUGAAAGCCAGACUAAUUACAAAAUUGACAUUUUGGAAAAGCACCCACUGCCCUUGUUAGGAAAAAAUGACUUGCCAAAUAACCUUGUAACUUAAGCAGCAAAUACAUGGCCAUCAUAUUACUUACAGUAUCUGACUGCAGCAAAAGCGACAAUAACUCUGCUUUAAAAUGUUCUCUUGUGUCUCUUUACUGCAUCAAUACAUUCAUUAAAGCCAGAGCGAUGUUUUUAUUCCACAUCUCUCAUUAGCAGUCAAUAUGAUUCAGCUGUUUAAACAGGCUGUAUUGACAGAAGUGAUGUGACUCAAAUUCCUUAUCAAAUAAUUGACUGGAUGGAAACAAACAAUGAAGUGAUGACAAUGAUGGCAGCUCUUCUGUUUACUGUGAAAUAUGUGUUGUUGUAUGAAUUAUUGUUUGAGCUCCGUUAGAAGGACAGCAGCUCAGAAUACAUGAAAAAUCCUGUGCAGCGUUUCCUUCAGACCAUGGCUCCUUUUUUUCAAACUGAUGACUUUGACUUGAAAAACAUCCUGCAUCUGUUGGUUUCUGCACUUCAAGGUGAGUUUGCAGACAGUAAAUUAGGUAAUUUUGCUGCUUCUAAAGGUGAAGGAAGCAGAGGUCCUUGAUUCAGUCUGAGUAUUCGGCUGGAAAGCUUGUUUUGAUUUUUUUUUUCCACCCUUAAUCAAAGUCUAAAUUACAAAACUUCUACAAACUUCUUGCGUCUCUGUCCCACAGAGUUAUACUACUAAUCAGAGGUAAAACACACUGCAGGAAAGUAGCUCCAAAUUAUGAACGCUUGACUUUAAAUGCACUAAAACAUCAGCUCCAUUCACUGUGCAUUUAGAAAAUUUAUAUGAGGCCUGUUUGAAAGAGAAAAACCUGGUGCCUGGUGAUAGUAUAAAUCCUUUUCUGGAUUAUAUCGUCAUUACCUUUCACUCUUCAAUGUUUAUAUCAGGUGAAGUAAUGGCCGCAUAAUGUGAAGCGGGCCCUCAGUAUUUUGAUAUGUGACUGUUUUUCCCUCUGUUUUCUCAAUUUCGUUGGAUAUGUGUCAGUAACUUACAGAUUUAAAUGUACAUAUGCAUGAACAAGUCUGUUCCAGUGGCAAUGAAACUAUAUCAGUGUAAUAAUAUGAUUUAAUAGGAUAUGAUAACCUGCCAUGUUACUGUAUCCUAAUUGGUCAGAACCCUCGAACAAUGGUUAUAGUGGCGAAAACAAUAGUUUCUGAUAGCAAUGAUAACAAAACAUGAAGGAGACUUUCUGCUGAUUCAUUUGGAGAACAUGAAACUGUACACGUGUCAGCAGCAGAAGAAAGAUCAGAGUGAAAAAAACAGCAGGGGAGGCUAAAACACACAAGGAGCUGAAUCAAAGAGACAUCAACCAAAUUGAAGAAAAUGAGGCACAAGUGAUCACAAAUCGCAACACGGUAUUGGAUCAGCAGUGUUGUGAGGCUAGUGGAGUGAAAAGUAAAUUCUCUUACUGUGUUCCUAACAACCUGAAGGAAAAAAAAUGUAACUUAGCAUUUUGAUUUUAUGUCACAGUAACGGGUUCGCCUGCUUUACUGUUAUAAAUCACAUUGAUUUAAACAUACUGUACAUAGUGAAGUCAAAACACAAGUGUGCAGCAUCUGCAUCAUGUCUUCAUCCCCUCCAUCCUCUGUUGGCUUUAACCUCUCACUGAACCAGCCUUGUGACACAAACUCUAAUCAUUUUAGACUAAUCCUGUAGUGUUUUGUGAUUUGUGGUCGCAUUGUGACUCAUUUUCAUCAGUUUGGUUGAUGUCUCUUCAAUUCAGCUCCUCAUGGAUUUUAACCUUCCCUGCUGUAUCUCGCUGUUUCUCAUCUUCUUUUCUCAGCUGCUGAUUGGUCAGCCAUUGACCACAAGUCUAAAGCUUGGCUCUCUCCAGAUAAAUUGGAAACUAUUUUUUUUGCCUCAGUGUUUAAGGAGGCGCCACCAAUGUUUUUUCACUGCAUGGAUGAGUCAUUUUUCAAUUAAAAAAAAAAAAGAAACCCUCUUUACAUCAAUAACCUGUAAACUUGUUUGUAUCUUUGGUUAGUGGCAGGAAAAUUUAAAGGGAGCGGGUCAUUAAGUUUCGAGUAUGAGUUUUGUGACGCCCUGCAGGUAUCUAUCUUGCAUAAUGACCCUCUCACGCCACAUUAACCCUUUCACAGAAAAUCUACUGCUGCUCCCAUUGUCUGCACCGAUUCAAAUGUAUUAUUUCUCCCUCACAUGAAAGCAUACAGCUCCUGCAUGUAGUCGAGUAUUUACUUUAAAUGGAUUUCUUAUUUGUUUUCCUAGAAACAAGUAUGGCUCUGUAACUGCUCAGUGCUUCUCUGUUUUAGUCACCAACAUUGUCUGCCCAGUACCACAUCUGUCUGCCAUGUUAUGUUGGACAAGUACCAAAAAGUGGGUUUGUGUAUUUAUUGUUGUGUUUUGUUUUGUUUUGUUUUGCAGAAAGCAGCUAUGAUUUUUUAAAGGAAUUGGCAGAAUCAGGUCACCACUGGCACAGUGAAAUAACAGUAAAUUGAUCCAACGCUGAAAGUAAAAGUAUUAAAAAAUGUCUUCUCUUACAGCAAAUUGUGGUUCAUAGAGCUUCAAGAUGAUUUAGUUUUUCUUAUUACUGGUAUGUUUGAAAAAGAAAGUACCUUAAUGGGGAGAAAUGCAGACAUCCGUGGCAUGUGUUGCCGCUUACUGGGUUUCUAGAGCAAGUGUAAAGUGACAUCGUAUUGUGACAGAUCAUUUAAUGUGAAGACAUAAAGUUCAGCGAGCAUCUGGUGAGUGUCAAACACUGCCAUGUUCUGUUAAGAAUAAUAUGGUUGAACAUUUCGGGCUUCAACUAGAACUGCAGAGAGUAGUGGUUCUGUUUUUAAAAACAUUCACGUGGAGCAGCCAGCUUGUAGUCCCUCUGCCAAGCUUGGAAAGACAGACGACCCAAAUUUUGACAUGGUAUUUUUCCAACACGAUUUGGAUUCCAGCAUACCCCCUACUGAGCCUAACAUUGUACAAAACACAACAGAACAACACACUGUACUCUGCCAAUGUGAAAGCAGGCAUGUGGAAAGAGGCAAAUCUUACCUUUAUUGCUGCUGUCAGCUGUGACCAUUAUAAGGUUGGUAACUUUAACAGAAACUGAGAGUAUGUAAAAGAGCUCAUUAGUUCUUUGCAUUUCCCUCAGUCUGACCAGCUGACAGAUCUCUGUGGCUGCAGCUCACAUGUUUUCCUACCCUAGUUUGUUUUUUCUUGGUAAAGGAGAGCAGUCACGCUUCAUUAGGAGGAAAUCGAGAAACUCCCUUGGCAGGUUUCUUUCUCACUUUGUCCAAUCAAAGAGAAACCACUGGAGCUGGGUACAAGCUCGAGGAAUUCACACAUUGGAAACCAUCAGCUUCUCUGAAGUUUUAAAAGCACAGUGUGGAUGUGUAACAGCAAACACGCUGCACCAGAUUCCUAGAGCUGUUAGGAAGAGGCGCAAUAUGAUAGUAUGUGGGUGAGUUUUCCUUUAUUUUGCUUUAACUUAAAGACCCACUUCGACGAAAAUCAUGUUUUUCUUGUUGCCUACAUUUUCAUAUGGCAUUUUUCUGAUGUGACAGGACAUAUAAUGAAUUAAAAUUGCUGUGAAUCUCUGGCAGACCCAAACGGCAGGCUCAGAUACAGUGAGAUUUCCUACGUCACAAGUCCAGAGCCCCGCAAUGCAGACUCGGACAAGUAGAGAGGACGAUCUCGGAUCAAGCAUGUGCGUUAGCAGAUUUCAAUGCACGUAAGAAAGCUAAUUGUGAUAUAAGCUUUUAUUAUGUCACCAAAGACAUUAGUGUCCAAGAGCUGAAUAGCUCCAAUGUUACCUGCCACUUCUUCUACACGGGCAAUGUUAGAGGAGAGGAGUGCGCACAGCAGCUCUGCCUCCGUCCACGACUCAGAGGUGAAUUGCUAAUGAACUACUGGAGCUCUGCAGAAAAAGCCCUUGAAAAUGACACAGGUAACAUGAUUUUGGCUUAAAACUUCCUAAUUUAAAGACCACUGAGAACACUUGAAGUAGUGAACAUAUAUUGAGGUUGUACCCAGAGUUGGAAUCUGUGAUGAACAAUUAACUCUCUCUAUCACUUUUACUUUUAUAAUGUCUGGAUUUCUUGCCUUAGUUGGAUAAACUAGCCUUGACCUCUGCAUGUCUGUUGUGCUGAUCGACAGCUGCAUUGAUAGAAAUAAGAAAGAAACACAAAGGCCAAGUAGUUUUAGCUGUUCAUUGUCUCAUUUUCACAAUGGCGAACAUUUACCUUGACAUUUGUUAUUUAUCUGAAAUGAGCGAGGACAAAGACUUAUCAAAUGUAAGGACUAUUUAUAGCUGUUGUAUUAAUGUUAGAAAAUACUGGAAAAAGCUUCUGAGAUCUGAGUGAAAGAAAUGUUCCAGUAUCAGCCUUUUUAAGAAAUUUCGACACUCAAGGCUCAGUUUUUAUUAUUGCAAUCUCAGGAAUAUCUGGUCCCUGCACCUGUGGUCCCUGUGUGUUCAUAGCUGUUGCUGGGUGAACUACAGCUCUUAAGAUAUUUAAACUCAGUGUAUUUCUCCAGAGUGAUCUUUCCUCAUUGCUGUUUGUUACAGAGUUCCUUGAGCAAACAUAGAUAAUUGAAGUCUGUGUAGUUUUGGGGUUCAAACAGGAACCAUAACAAAAAGUUCGAGGCCACAUCAGCAAGCUUAUCAGUUGCUGCUCAUUAUACUGAUGAAAAUGAUCCUGCUCCUUUUGCCUUUCACAAGGCCGCUGAGAAAAAAGCCUCAAAAAGAUAGAAAGGAGGCUUACAUCUGCCUUUUGGUGGAGAGUUUUGACUAUCAUUUGUUGAUUAGUGGUUUUUCAGACUAAAAGAUUAGACAUGAUGACAGCUAACUGAACUGCGGUUGCUGGUUUUAGUUUGGCGUGUCUGCAAAAUGAGCUCUGAGAUCAAUUUCACUUAACAUUUAUGUUUUUUAUUAAUGCAUGGGCUUGUCUUUUCAUAUCAGUGAAUUAUGGUUUGAAAAGCACUACUUAGUACAUCACACCAAGUUUUCAAAGGGGUACUGAGUGAUCCAAACUUGUAAUUAACUUGGGCUUAAUGUCCUCUUAGACUGACCAGUAUGGUGGCCUGUAAGUGACACUAAUAUUAAGGUGUCCUUUUAAUAUUCCUGUGAGCUGAGAGGAGUUUGUUUGGGGAAAAAACAGCCCAGGUCAGAAAGUGAAAUAACACCAGGUGAACAGAGAGUUAUUGGUAUUGAUCAGCGUUUCCCUCCAGGUGUAUUACAGUCAGUUUGUGCCCUGGUGCAGUAAAUAUCAAACUUAUUGCCUCUUGAAGGAAAUUUAAUGGAAUCCGUGACUCCAUUGAUUUAAGGUAUUAAACGCACAAGCCAAGCUUAAAUAUUUACUUAAUUCUUAUGGAUUUUUGUUAGAACUCCAAUAAAACUGCAUGUAUUGUUUGGAUGCACGCAGCUCCACUCUGAGUAAUUCUAACCAAACUUUGAGCACUAUUGAUUUUAAUUGGUCAUGUUGACACUAAUCAGUUUCUUUUAAUUAGUGUUAUAAUUCAUCACAGCAAAGCAAUAAUUUUUCACUUAACCCCAACUCCAAAGACAUUGGUCUGCAAUCAUUGAGACACAGUGUUUAAUUGAAAAUAGUGGAAAGAAAGCAUGCUCAUUCUUAAUUUGACACCAGCGUGUUUCACAGAAGUUAAGAAAGGGCUUGUCUAUCGUAAGGUUAUAUCACCUUGUUUUUUAACGACACACUGUAAAAGUUUGGAUGCUGAGGAGAUCAGUUUUGGGGGCUUUGAAAGUGAAAUGUGGUCCCAUUCUUGCUUGAUGUAGGUUUUGAGCUGCCUGCAGUUUUUCCACAUGAAGCUUGGACUGUAGGCAGACCAGUUUUGUACCCAGACCCUCCUUCUAAUGUUGUUUUUCAGAUGUGUAAGCUAUCCCCAUGAAUCAUCCCCAGAUGCUGGCUUUUGAAAUGUGCCAGGUGAUCCUUCCCCUCUUCAGAAGACAGGACAGAGUGUCCAUGACUUCCAAAAAAUAAUGUUGGGUUUUCACUUCUUAGAACACAGGAUAGAUUUCUACUUUUGACGCUUUUUAAGAGAAAGGAAAGAUAAAGUGUUCUGCUGUUCGGGGACGGAUCCAACAAUCCAUUUCGAUAAAUUCGCCUCCGAAUAAAUCACCCAAAUAUUUGAAUUGGUCAGCUCAGUUGUCUUCAUGGAUCUGUAGCCUUGAACAGUGUGCAAUAAAGACAUGCAGCUGAAACAAACCAAACAAAAGAAACUGUGGGAGAAAGCCAGUGACAGAGUGGGAGAGAGAGAAAGAAUUAAGAAGGCUGGGACAUAAUGCUCUCUGAGAGGAGAAUAGAUGCUCAGUGGGAGACACACAGUACAAGCAGCAUCCCAUAGAGAUACAAACCCUUAAGCCAGGCCAGAGCUGGAGGGUCAUCACUAUAUGUUCCCAGUGAUGACAUAACAUCCAGUACUAUAAAGUUUCCACCAGAGACCGUUUUCUUACUCUGUCCCUUCUGUUUACAUCAUAAAUAGAUGAGAGUUAUGAUAGCCGUUCCACAGUUCCUGAUUUUAUUUCCUGAAUGCAGCUGUUAUUGACUGCUUUAUAAAUGACAGAGUUAUUGGUCUACCGCUUUAUAUGCUAGUGAAGAGAGGUAUUUGUUUGAUUUAAUACGUUAACUUGUCUGUAAAGUGCUUUACAAAUGAGAGCUUAUUGGUUGACAGGAAAAGGUCUGCUGAGCCACAUGUGUGUUGGUUUAAAAAGUCAAAGGCUUGAAGGUGUGAGACCCAGCGAGACGGCAGGACCACUAUGAUGAGAUUUCAGACCCAGCGUGGCAGGGCUGCCUGUUUCAGAUUCUUUAGUUUUGCAAAAUAUAACUGGAGAGUUUUUUUCUGACACUGCUUUUUUUUUCUCAAAUUAAGAGGUGUCAUUAUGGCACAUUGUGGACACAGACACCUUGAUAUCUAGCCCGCAUUUGUUAGCAGAUGCUGGUGGGAUGAUACCAAAGCGGGGAAGAUUAGCCUGCUAAUAAUGAAAGUGGUGACUGGAGACAUGUUCCCUUUAAGUCUGUGGAAGGUGAAGGCUUUAGUCAGCUAAUGCCGUUUGUUGAGCUGGACUACAAGCCACCUUCACGGCGAACAAUAACUACGAGAGUGGGAAAAUGUUUGAGGAAAGUGCAGCAGAAUCGAGGGCUGUUAAGUGUUGACCGUAGACUGUAUGGACAAUUUGGCUCUGCCUUCUGCCAUUAUACGGAUUUUAAGCCAGAUUUCUUUCAGUAUUUCCAGGAUUUUCUCCAUUUCCUGGAACCACCACUAGCCCAGUAGCGUUGUACGCAUUUGGCGGGAGAGUCGCUGUGUUGACGCUCGGCUCCAACAGCGCAUCCCCGGGUGAGCUAAGUAAACUUAAUACGCCCAUAGGCUGAAUCAAGUGUCAAUCAUAGAAAUCACAAACCCCCUAAUAACUUUUAAAAAUGAAGCUGCACAGAAAAAAAGAGGAUUUGAGCACAAACCAAGUUUGUCCACAACUCCAGAGGGAGAUUGCUGGAGGAGGCGGGAUUUAUGACCUAUACAGCAGCCUGUCACCAGAGGGCGCUGUUCUCAGGGUGGCUUCACCCAGCUAGGAGGCAGAGCACCCGUCCGUAAAGUAAUUAGAUUACUCGAACGUGGAGGUUUCUGAAAAUGCUCAUCCCUAGUAUCGAUACCAGUAUGAGGCACACACACAUUAAACACUCUUGUCCAAAACCUACUUUUAAAAAAAAGCGCUUUUAAAAAAAUGUUUUGAAAAGCAGUAGUGACUUUUUUUUGACCGCAUGAACCUAAAGGGAGAAGUCUUUUGUGAAACUCUUCUAAUGGGCUCCUCAGCGUUCACCAUGUCCAUAAUUAAAACUGUAAAUAGAAAGUCAGGACUGAACUUGGCUCCCUUGUGCAAAAUGGCCGCCCAUAGUUUGGCGGUUUGUUUUGCAACGCAGCGAGUAGGGGGUCCACCCGUCGAGGACUGUGGGUAAUUAGCCACUGGGGCAGCAGCUGAAAGUCACAGUCUCCCUCAAAGCUGUCGUCUGUUGCAUGCUGAUAACAUUGACAUGUCCUCCUCCUCUCGCCACAUUCGCCAGACAAUGGGAGAGAAGCCGAGAGGAACAGAAACUCACAGGAAAGAAAGGAUGGAGAGGAAGACAUUGACGGAUGAAGAGGGGGCUGACCUUCGCUCAUUAGUAAGGCGACCUUUUAUAAUCGAUGAGUGGUGCAAUUGAAGGCACAGAGACCCAGCUGACCACAGUCUGGCUUCUGAUGGAGACAGAUUGAGGGGGACGGUGCAGGGUCUCCAAAAGACAGUUUAGAUUUCUUCUCCCUGUCAUGAUUUAGGCUUUUUUUAAACAUCCUGUUGUGUGUUGAGUGUGCUUUGUUCAUGUUUCCCACACAACGAUGAUGCCUGGGCUGCUCGCCAAAUUCUUUUUGCAAACUAUGUUAGCAUUUUUUUGUCUACCAAAGAUUGCUAUGUGCUUUUAAUAAUGGGAUGUCCCCACAUCCUCUCUGCAGGUUUGGAGACAUAAUGUGCAUAAAAGACAGAGUUUAAAGGAUGUAAUGGGACAAUCAAACGAAAAUGUAAAAGGAAGAGGUGCAAAUGCAUCCAGCAUUUUAAUUAUCAUCAAACUCUGUUGUCUGUUGCAAACUAUCUAUUAUGGCCUGUCUUUGGUAGGGGAAUUUCAUCUGUGCUCAGUUAAAAGGUGGUAUUUCAGAUAGGGCUGUUCCGAUACCUUAUUGAUAUCGGAUAUUGAUCCGAUAUCAGCCAAAAAACAAAUAUCGGUAUCAGCUGAUACUGAAGGCUACAAUAUCGGUAUUGUAUCAGAAGUAAAAAGUUGUAUCGGGAUCUCACGUAUGUUUGUAGUAACUUUGUUCGAAUUGGCAGUAAACGCAGAUAAAAAUGAAAAUAACGUUGGUAUUGUGGAGAGAACCACCUGACAGGACUUUGAAGAUGAACUUAAUAUUCCAAAGACAUGUUUCUUUACCCACUUCUGCUCUUCAAGGUUUGUUUCUGCUUCCCACCCACAACAUAACUGCUGCACUGCUCCAUGAUUUCUCAAAGUGUAAGAUUGGCCAGGGGUCACGAUCAUAGUCGUGUUAUAAAAGGAGCUUUAUGUAUUUAUUAGUGCCUUCUUCUUGACAGCCCUUCAACAUCAAUUAAUAGUGAAUAAAGUAAAAAUCAAUUCAGCUUGCAUGGUCAAAUGAAACCUGGUUUAACAGCGUCUGUUUAAUCUGUACAAAACAGUGGAGCAGCAGAAAUAUCUGACAAAGUGGGCUGGAACAUUUCAGUCUUUAUGAAGACAGUAGCCGAGCUUUAAGCCAACUUAAAUAAAAUAACCUUCACUGGAUCUGUCAGAGAUAAAAGCUGCUUUACUUUGGAUGUCAUCAAAUUUUAGAGAGCAGUAAUAGUGAGUCCUCUUUGUCUGACCUCUAAAGUUAAAUGACUGACAUUAGUUGAGCCAUUUUUCAAUCAAACCAUCUCAGUUCACAUCUUUUUUGUGUGUGUGUAUUUCAGUGAGUUGUGUUGUGUGCCUUUAAAUUCAACAUCCUUGGAGUCGACCAUAAAUAUUGUCGACCCUCACAUUUAGACAGUGUGAAGAUCUAUUAGAACUUGCCGCCAGCCAAUUUGAUAAAGAAAAUUGAAGUGUUUUUCUUAUUAAGCUAGAAACCGUAAAUGAUAAGAGUUCUCUCCCAGAGGAUCUUGAGAAAAUUUCUAAACUCCUUAUUAUCUGACUUACUGAAUUACCGAGUUUCUUAGCUUUUGAUCUAACGAGGUACUCAGACAAAGUAGCUCCACCAAAGAAAAUCACAAUUUUGCAAUGAGAUCCCCCUAAAUGUUAAUAGACAAUUGUGAACCAUCACCCAUCCCUAAAGAUUUAUCCCACUUUGCAAAAGGACUUUGUCUAGGUGUGCUGUCUUUUUACAGCCCUGGAGACGAGCCUGUGAUGAAGAGCUGAACAAAUAAAUUACUCAGAGUUUGAAUGACAAUUAAGAUGCUUGAGUGCUUUGGCCUCCCUGCUCUGCCACGAGAAAUGAGCACAUCACAGCACCGACGGAGGGCUCAGCUUGCGAGAUGAUGAUGGGGAAUCAUUUUACAGGCAUGCAGAGCAGACCAGGUCUAUCAAACCAGUGCCCUGAUGGCUAGAGGACAUGGAGUCAGAUACAGAAUGAUCCUGUUUGGAGCAGUAAUAAGUUGAGGAUUAAAAGCACUUUCUAAAUGCCUUAGAGGACACCUUUUAGGGAUACCUGGCUAGGUCUUAAAAAAGAGCCAGGGCUGCCACUAACCAAAACAAUCCUCCCCUCUCACACAGAAAUAGCCCCAUCUGUGUAAUAAGCAGCUGGUCUAUCAUUUAGACUUUGCUUUGGCCUCGUUGGGCAGCUUAGUGAUGUGUGGAAUAUAAACCAAAUAUGUCAACAGAACUUUAAUGAGGUCCAAAAAGUCAGACUAAAUUGAUACAUUACAGCGAUCCCGAUGACCUAUUAUUUUGAGAUCUGCUGGUAUUUUGUUUGCCUUCAGUGUCUAGUCUGUGAUGUGAUUAGAGACAAGGGAGUGCGAUCUAUUGACCUUACCCUGUCAACACUCUGAUAUUUUAACUAUAGGGAGAGGAGCUGGCUGUGAAACUAUGCAGCUUACAGCUCUUCAUAAGGUCUCAAGUUGAUGUUCAGAUUAUAAACCCACAGAGUCGAGUUUUCUCAUUAUUUCUCAAGGCUUACCUCAUGUAUUUUUUCUGCGUAUUCUUAAGAGUCCCUCUGCUGCCGUAGAUUAAACCUCAAAGCUUAUAUCUAAUAAACAAACAUAACACAUUUCACCUUUUUUCAUAAACUGGUUUAAAUGUAAAUGGUUUUAUUCUUUUAUUCUGUCUUUAUUUGGAAUGCCAGCUUAAUGGACAUGAUAAUACUCCCCGGGUCUGGAUUUUCUAGCUUGCUCACAUUACACUUCAUGGUCUACAACAUAAUAAAUUUAAGAGCAAUUGGCUCAAAAUAGAAAAAGGUGUUUCCAGACUUCCAUGAACUGUGGUCCCAUAAGCUAGCUCUUGUCUCUCUUACAUCUGAGCUACACUAAGGACGUCCUCCGAAACCCCUUGACUUACAUUAGCAAUUAGCCACAAUGACAGCUAAUAGGAUCAGCCAGAUUCAGAUUUUAUCUCGUAAACUGGUUUCCAAGCAAGGAGUCUUAUUGGCGCUCACACCAAGAGCGAGUAAAAUCAUCUACUCGCUUAAUUUGCGCAAAUCAAGAUGCGUGAAUGAAUUGUAUUUACUUGCGUCAUUUGCACAUCAACGGUAAUUUCAAUGGUAACCCCAGCCAAUUCAACCAGCGAGAUCAAGUGAUAGACAAAAGUUUUUUACAAUUUACCAGGUAAUCCGAACUCCUCACUCACUUGCCUCCAGGCGAGCUCCUUUUAUUCCAGUUUCAGUAAUUGAGAGAAAAGGUAUCAUAUAACUCGGGCACCCACACACCGACAUGAUCAGUGAACAAGAGUCCGGCAACCUUUGUGCUGACGUGAAUAUCCGCUCAAGUCAGCUCCCGUCCAAUUCGCAUCUUUUGUGCUGCCAGAGUAGUACGAGCGUCUAAUUGCAUCUUUGCAUCGACUUAACAUUUAAUUCAGUUGCACAAAUGAUUUUACUCGCGCUUGGUGUGUGGAGACAGUUAGUGCAGUGUAGUGGUACCUGUAGUACCUAAUUUUCUUGUAACUGGACUUGGACUCAAACAUGAAUGACAUAGACACAUUCAUGGACUUCAUUUGAAGUCUUGAGGUGGCAAAGAGGACUUGGACCAUAGAUUGUAUAAAACACAACCAUGUUCUUGGUGAUGCCACCCACUGGAAUCAGUUUCGAAGCCCUUCAUAUGAUAAAUCAUUUUUUUUCAUAGGAGUUGGACUGUGGUCAUCUAAAGCAUUCAUCAGGUAGUGAGGACUUAACUUGAACUUGACUCACAUCUUCUCUGGUGCUGUGGACUUGACUCUGUCUCAGACUUUGAGCCUCAGGUCUGAGGUUUGGUAGACAUGACCACAAUACUGCCCCUCUGUUAAUUAACCCUUAACUGCCCCUUACGUUCCUAAUAUGCCAUUCGUCAGGAGAGAAAAGCGCCACAUGGACAUGUUAACACAAUUAAAAACUCAAUUUUCGAUACAGAGGCAGAGGAAUAAAACACAGUCAGAGAUACCCAAGUAGCCAAUCACAGAACAAAUGCAGAGUUAGCUACUGUUAGGAAAACAGGCUAAGAGAUAGUGGCAGGCAAGGUUGGUGGCCAGCCAGGGCAGAUGGGAGUUUUUGGAUCUGGACAGGUCUGACCGGAGCUGAGCAGCAUGGGAAGCCAGCUGUUGUUCACCACCUGUCACCUUCACCAAAGGGCUGUAAUACGACAAUGCACGGCGUGUCCCUCUUUACCUCUCUGUGCCCUAACAAAUGUAAGCUAACCGUCCAAUUACAGCGCUAAUUUAGGGAUGCAGACCUGUUAAAGAGAAGGAAAGCCCCAAUUGUGUCUGACUGAUGUGAAGUAGCAGAGCGUGAAAUGUUUUUUGACCAUUCUGAAACCAGCAGCUAAGUUCUUUGUUUUUCAGAACUGUCUUUCCUGAUAUUUAUCACAUUUUGUUUUAUGCACUGCUGGGGGAAGAAAGUGGGGCUUCUCUUUCACUAGCAGACGGGACAUGAGCCAACUCAUGCCACCUGUUGUAGAAAAAUACCACCCAAAGUUCAGAGAAGCAGGUGUAAACAUAUGAACGCUACCACCAACAGUAAAACUAAUAGGUACCGUGUAUGAAAACACCUGCAGGCAAAGCAAGAAACAGCUUUAGUCAUUUCAUAGUGAGCAUCCUUCUGUGUGUGACGUGACAGACGUCUGCUCCACAUGACAUUUCCAAACUGUUUAUGUGUGAUCUAAACGGCCACAUUUAGAAAUAUCUGCUGUCAUGUAAUCCAUGUGUUAGAGGAAUUCAUUUUUGAACAGGUAAAAUAAGCACUUGGUGUUUUGCUCAUGUUGUUCCUUAAAGUGUCAUUGGUUUUAUUGUGAAUCUCAAAGAUAAAAGAUUGAAAGGGAUGUCAGGCCGUCGUUUACUGUUGGCACAUUGAGUUGCUUGCUGCAUCUAAGAGCUCAGCUUGAGUUUUGGCUGCAUCAGGACUCAGAAGAUGGAAAGGAAAACUAACGUGCAGUAAAGAGUACUGUAUUUUUGUUAGUUUUUCUAGAACAAUACCCUUUAGUUUCAAGCAAGGGCUGGAGGAGUAUUCAUCUGAAUGAAUGUUAAAAUGCAGUUUUCUUCCCUGUUACUUUUAAUGAUUCUCUUUUUGCAAAUGUAAGCUAGAGUUGUGCAACAUGUUCAAUACGUAAAAGUAACAUGGAGGAAAAGAUGAGGACAGCCUUAGACUGAGACAUCAGUCCAGGGUGCACCAAGACAGUGAAAUACUAAAUACGCCUUUUCCUCUCAGUGUUGAUAAUGUUACUGUUAGCAACCUAAUUGGUACUCUGAGUCUCUAUGGUGACUCAACCAGAGGAUAUUUUUGAGUUUAUCAAACACCUGCAGUAGUUCCACUGCAGCAGUAGCUUACGUGUCUCCACUUUGAGAGAGUUCUGGUGUGCAUCUGCAUAUAACGCACAGCGCUGUCACUAAAUUGAAUAUUUGGAUCUGCAGACACACAGACAGACCCGAUGCUAUUGAAUGAGGGGGUUUUCUAAACAUUAAAAAGUAUCACAUGGUCAGCAGAGGCUCAUUCACUGAUUAGUUUAAAACAAUUUAUACAUAUAUAUAAAAUAAAUAGUAGUAAUUAUAAUGAGGACUUGACCUGAACUUGAACUAUAGCUCUUGUAACAGGAACUUAUCUUGGCCCAGAUCCUUAUUUGGUGACCAACACCUAAAUUUGUAUUUGAACGAUCCGACUUGGACCUGAGGGUUUUGAACUCAACUACAAUACUGGUUAAAGGUAAUACCGAAGCAACAAUAAAGAAAAAAACUAUUGGGGAUGUACAAUAACAACAGCACGAUAUCGUUAUCAGCAGAUUAACAGCUUAAAAAAUCAGUAUUUGCACAUUUCUGCAGGAGUAAAUAUUGGCUGAAGAGGUGAUGCAGAGCUGGGCACUGGUAUUCAAGACCUCCUAGGGUGCUGUCCAAAAUUACCAAGUCAGUGUGGUGAUACUGUACCUUCAUUCGUUUUUUCUUGUAUGAUCAUCUAGUUUGCUUGCAGCUGAUCUUUGCAGGUAUUUUAAGAUUUAUGGGGUGGGUGAUUGGCCUCGUAUUGCAUCAGCUACAACCUGUUGAAAUGAAGUCAAGCAGUGAGAUGUAGACUGCAAAAAUGUUUCCUCAAAGAUUGUUAGGAUGAGGAAGAGUGGUUGAAGUUUAUAUAAUUUAAUAUAACAGAAAGAAAAAGAAACAACUCAGGAGCUGUUUGGGUAAAGGAGGCACUUGAACUCUUUUCAUAUUAGCACUGGUGUUGCUUUUUAAUUUGAAAACAGCUGCAAAAGUUACACCAGACCACGUUAAAUCCUACAUCAAUUAGGAAAUUACAAUUCCUUCAUAUUUUUAUAUCAUAAAACAAACAAACCGAAUCCAGUUAUGCUGUUUUCUCAACACAGCUUCAGGAGCUCCAACUUUUUGUUUUGCCUGCUGGCCAACAAGAACACCCUGGACAAAAUCCUUCCUAGUUUAUUAUGAAGUCAGUCCUCAGCAGACUCCAACCUGUUUUAGAAGAAGUCCCUGUGUGGGCAGCUUGAACCAAAGCAGGAAUAUAGUCAUUACACCAUGGAGCCACCAUCUGGUCCCAGGGUACUGGUUUAACAUUCCCUUCUUCCAAACACCCACACCUUACCUAUUACUGGUAGCAUCUCAAUUUAUUCUGUGUUUCUUUUAUAAAUAACCUCCUCUACACAGCAAUUUAGGGAGAAAAUUGGCAUAUUUACCCACAGGACGUAGAGACUCAGGGUGAGAAAUUCAGCGGCCACUUCAGAUAUUUGUUUUUUGGACGAUUUUAGUGUUAGUCUCCCACUGAGGAUUGGCUGAAUUCAUCUGUCGAGGAGAGAACACUAUCUCCGCGGCGAGCUGUAGGAGAUAUUUUUGUCUACAAAUCGCUGCGAAGUAUGUGAAUUAAUUACAAAAGAGGUCAAGUUUGGACCUGGUUUUACAUACAAUUCUAUAAGGGACACCAGGAGCUCGUAAGAGAUGAAAGACAGGAAAGAAACACUCAUUUUUAUUUGGUACAAGCCCGGACCUUUUAAAGCUCAGGGCAGAAAGCAUUUGCAUGCUUUAUGCAGGGAGAUUUAUUUACAUGAGGCAAAGCAGAACAAUUUGCAUACAAUUGUGAUAGGAAACAUUCUGCUGCUGUUCAUUUCUUAUUAUUUAGUGAUUUUUCAAACUUUUCUUAAUCUUUGAAAUGUUCUUGGUGAAAUGUUUACUUGCCUUAAAGGUCAAAUGUAGGAUUUCAAUACAAACUAUGAUAAUAAAUCACAACAGCUUGCAUAACCAGAGGGCUAUACUCAAAGCGAAGACGUAAUAUUAGGACGCAGACAGAUACACUUCUGAAUAACCCCACAGCAGAAAAUAAGACAAAGAUGUUAUGCAAUUACAAAAACAAUUCUUCUUCACUGAGUUUUGCUGUGAUGGUUUGUUUUCCUUCUUUCGGUUUUGGCAUUACAGAGAGAUUUCUCUGUGGAUAGUGAGAUCCGGUGCCAACUCUAACAUAUAAAAACUGCUGAGUUGUAAUGAAAAACCAAACACAUUCAUCAAACUCGCAUUGAAAGCCUUUUGGAUAUUGUUGACAUUUUAAACUUUCGCAACAAGAAGAUUGAUACUCACCAGAGAUGUAAAGAUUUAGAAUCCGACAUUGAUCUUGAUAAAAAAGAGAUAUUCUGGCGAAAAUUGACGUUAAGGUCAAACACACGUGUCACCGAGUUAGACACCCCCCCCACCCCUCGAGAGAUGAAUGUUGCCGACUGCUUGCUUCUCUAGUUCUACCAACUUUAGCAACGACCGUAUGACAGCAAUACACAGCGGUCUACAUCUUGUGGGGGAGCCCUGACGAGUGGAUCACUGAGUGCAGCGGAGUUUCGCAGCUCAAGGAAGAACAUUUAUGAUUGUUACUUCAUGGAAAUGCAAUCAGACCAAGACGCUAAGGCAGAAGAACUACUGCAUCUGCAGUGCAAAAUGAUUAUUAUGAUGAUUAUUACUUCAAGGAAAUGAUUGACUGCAAUCUGUGAUCGACUCUUCAGGGCCCCCCCACAAACAAGCAGCUGCUGGAAGAGUGUAGGUGAGUUUUGUUUGGUCUCUUUGCUAAAGAAAUCAGGCAAAGCUAAAAAGAUGUUUGAUGGCUUGUACUAUGGCUAGGACCCUAUAUUUACUGUUGAUAAAGUUGGGUUAGGUAUGGCUAUUGUGCGGUCAUUAUUUAAGUUGUUAUAACAACUAAGAAGCAAGCAGUUGGCAACAUUCAUCUCUUGGGGGGGUGUCUAACUCGGUGUUAUGGUGUGUUUGACCAUAACUUAAAUUUAUGCCGGAAUAUCCCUGUAACAUCUGAAUGCACCUGUCCACCCGGUAAAAAUGUCUCACAAACAGCUCAGUGGCCUAGUUUCAAAGUUGGGUUCUUGUUUAUUGAGGUUUUGCUGUCUUUUUAGUGUGUUUUUUAGUGGCAUACCUGUCAUAUAAGAGACCUUUUUCCCUUCAAAAGAAUAACUGUCAUAUAAAUGUCCAGUACGGUUGAAUUGGCUGGCUCAGAGGGGAAAACAACAACAACUGAGAUUGACGAAGCAAUCAAGUCUCCACCUCGGAAAUCAAGUCAUGUAGACUGUAAACCUUCAAAGGUGGAGUUUACGGUUAUCACAACAACUGUAGCCAGUUUUAUAGCUGAGAUUUACAACGAAGCCGAGGUUUACAGUGUGUGGAGUGAUGGCCUUUUGACAUACUGCUUUUACGUUCAAUCAGAGUUGCACUGUACCAAACAGACUGUAUUAAACAGGCUGUGAUGGAAAUGUUUCUCAAAUUAGGGACAAACUUGAACAAGAACUUUCAAAUAAAGAGCAAAGCUUUACAAGAGGGGAAAAUGUCUGUGCACUCAGGGGAAAUAAGUGCUAUGGUGCAGGUGCCAGCAGAGCUUUGCAAAGCCAAUGAAGGUAGAUAUCUAGAGGAAAUUGGAUUUCUGUAUACAACCCCAAGUUUGGAUGCUGUGCAAAAUACUAAUAAAAAGCUUUUGAUGGUUUGUGAAUCAUUUAAAUCUUAUAUUUAAAUUAAAAUAAUGUGAAAACAAAUGUAAAUUGAUUAAACUUAAUUUUUUUUGGUUAUAUUUGAUUCUGGCAACAUGUUUAAAAAAAGUUGGGUCAGGGAAAACAAACUGAAAAAGCUGUGCAGACCUGAAGGAGCAUUUUCCUGCUUGUCAGGUUCAUUUGUGCAGGUUCAUAAUGUGACUGCAUUCAGAAGGAAGGAUGUGAAAGUUCACAACUCUGUUAGAAACUGUGUGAGCAAGUAGUUUAACAAUUUUUCUGUAAAGGAGAGCUGCACACCCCUUACAAACACUGAAUAAUAAACAGAUAGUUCAUAAUAAUAACACCUCUCAUUUGAAGCCCUGCAAUUUCAUAUGAAUUGCAUGGAGUUAUGUCCCUUACAAAAAGCAGAAUUGCUGUAAAUAUUUGCAACAAUCCACAAAUUCCCAUAAGAAUUUAGCGUCUGGGUGAGUGUGCUUUCCUUCCUUCACAUCCUUUCUUAUCUUUCACCUCUGAUUUAUUUUCCUCCUUGCCUCACUGAAUACUGAAUGCUGGCGGUUGCAAUAUUGCUCAGUACAAGGUCAUGACAUGUUUUACAACAACUCAGACUAUACAACCCAUCACAAGAGGCACACAUCAGUGCUGACUGCCUGUUGUUUCUCCACAGAUUUUAAAAUUCUUCAGUGUAUACCAGAAGCACAGCCAUCUACACAGAGCCUGGGGCUCAGCUAACACUAAGUUGUCACUGAGUAAACCAGCCGUGAUCACACAGCGCUCAUUCUCUGUCAUGUCUGACCCAUUUCCCAAUUCAGCAGUCAUGGUCAUCAAUGCAAUCAUUCAUUUUGCUCUGCAAGCCUCAGUCAGGCCACUGUUCCAGCAUAUUUUUCUUUUACCAAAACAGAAAAAUAGGGGGAAAAAAAAAUCACUUCAUUUCUGAAGUAAAUGGCAAUCCUCUGUGCAUACUUUAUUUUGAAAAACUAUGAUAAGGCAUUUUAUUUCAGGGGAAUUUUUUCUGUUUGUUAAAAAAAAAUCUUAUAGCAUUUUGACAAAUAAAACAUCUAAUAUUCUUACAGAUAUAUGGUAACGCCCCUCAAAAAAAUCAUGCGCAGGUGUGUUUAUGUAUGUUUGUCAAGCCUUUUGAGCCACAUGCAAGGGUUGGAUAGCUUACUUGCCUCUCUUUAUGUGCAAAUGAACAUUCUUCUUAAGGGUAAUUUAGCAAGCUAAUACCACACAAUUGGAUGAGAAAUAUCAUUUGGUGCUUUUCACAUUACUCUUCUUGUGUUAUGAAGGUGGCAAUCGACAAUCUUGUGCUUUUAGAAGGGGUCUUUGCUUUUUUUGAUUUGGUAUAAAACUAGGGGUGUCCCAAUAGGACUUUGGUUUGAUAUCAGCAAAAAAAACGAAUAUCGGAUUAUAUCAGCCUGUAUCUAAAAUCUUCGGUAUCAGCACUCCAAUACAAGCAGUCCAUUAAAGACUCCACUCCGGCACCUCUAUCUAGCAGCGCCCUGAUUCAGCAAACUAAGCCCACGAAAUCACAACAACAGUGUGUACUAUGGUACUGACAAAGUAGCGAGGAGUAGGAGUGAUGUCCUUGUGGCAGUAUUUUUUGUUUAAGUCCAAAAAAGACAUUGCAGCUGAGUGAAAAACUUGUCAUGCACAAUUUUAUGCCAAUAUCGGAUUAAAUACUGGUAUCGGUCAAAAUUGAAGGCUACAAUAUCGGUAUCGUAUCAGAAGUGAAAAAGUUGUAUCGGGACAUCCCUAUAUAAAACCCUGAAAAUAAAGAUUGAUUUAUCUGUUUCUCCUAAUACCCUAGCUUCCAUGCACUAGUUGCGCAUGUGCUUCACGACUUUUAGAGACAGCGUAAGUUAAUAGUUAAGCAAUUCUAGAGUUAUCUUGUGAAACAUAAAAUUGCAACGACUACAAGUACAGUACAUAAUACCAUUGAAAGAUUCAGAGAAUCUGAAGCAAUCUCUGUGCGAAAGGGACAAGGCCAAAGCCAAUGCAGGAUGGCCAUGAUCUUUGGGCCCUCAGCCUGCACUCUAUUAAAAAUCAGACUGCGUGGUGAAAAUUGCAGCAUGGGCUCAAAACCCCUUAAAAAAAAACAGUGUCUAUGAAUAUUUCGUUGCUCCAUUCACUGACACAGGUAAAAAAUUUCUACCAUGCAAGUAGAAAACUAUGACUGGCAGAAAUAUCUGUCACUUCUCUGGGCCUUUGUCCCUAUUAGGUGGACUUUGGUGAAGAUAAAUCAAAAUUUGACAUUCUUAUUGGAAAUCAUGGACACUACAUCCUUUGCUUUAAAGACAAGAGGGACCAGCCUGCUUAUUAUCAGCGCACAGUUCAAAAGACUGCAUCUGUCAUACUGUAGAAGGGAGAUGCAUUUGUGCCCGUGGUGUGGAAGGUACAAUUAAUGCUGAAGUACAGAUUUUGCAGCAACAAAUGCUGCCAUCCAGAUGAUGUCUUAUUCAGGGAAGAUUUUGCAUAAGUCAGCAUGACAAUGCCAAACCACAUCAUGCAUAUAUUACAACAGCAUGGCUGUAAAGAAGAGGAGUCUGGGUACGUCACAGGCCUGUCAUGAGUCUCAAUUUGACAGCUGUUGGGAACAUUUGGUGCAUCUUGAAACCAAAACAAAAAGCAAAAAACAAAGAGACCAGUUUCUGAACUAUUACUAGGCAAGAAUGGGCCAACAUUUCACUUUCAAAACUUCAGAAACUGGUCUCCUGGGCUCGCAAAUGUUUUCAAAGAUUUGUUAAGAGAAGGGAAGCAACACAGUAGUAAACAUAACCCUGUCUCAGCUUUUUUAAAAUGUGUUGCCAGAAUCGAAUUAAUAUAUUUUCAUAAAUUUUGACAUUCCUCAUUUUCAACAUUUGGUAUUCUUUUCACACUAUUUUUAGUUGAAUAUGUGGCUUAAGUGAUUUGAAAAACACCAAAUCCUUUUUGCAUUUUCAUUUAAUGCAGCAUAACAACUGUUUUGGAAUUUGGUUUGUACAACUUAAAGUACAACUUGAGCCGGAGGUGUAGCUACUUGUUUGUUUUCUUGCUACAUAUAACAUUAAUAUUUUUCACAUAGUUGACUAUUCACACCAGAGGGCACACCAGAGAGCUCAGGGAGUAUUUAACAUUUGGAUGUAUAGUUUUGAUUUUUGCACACUAUUGGAUCUGAGAUCACAGUAGAAAAAGCGUUUCCCCACUCUGCAAUAAAUAAAUGGUCCUGGACUUGCCUCUAUUUAUUUUUGCAGGUUUCCACGUCUACUUCUAAAAUGAACCUGAUUUGCCACCAUUUAUUUUAACUGGCGUGUUUGUUGCUGUAAUGAUGACAAAUCAUACUGUUGUGGAUAAUUGCUGACAUGGUCUUGUGGUUUUUCCUGAAACUCUCAGGCAUUGUUGUCCCUGCUGCUCUGUUGAUCCUGUCACACCCCUCUGCCUCCACACUGCGCCUACCAUUCAUGCAUCUUGCAGUUAUUUUUGGGGAUGUGCAAAGCCGAUGUACCAAGUAGACACGGGGAAUGCGGGGCAGCUGUGAUGUGCACUCAAACACCUAUGCAGUAUAAUAUCAUAGGUAUAAAGAUGAUGAAAAAUGUAGUUCAUUUCAUGUUUUAGUCAUUUUUUUCUUCAUGUCGGUGUGGUCCAGGUUAUUCUUCUUACCUUCAAUCAUAGAAAUGAUCUUUUUUUUUAAAGUCUGAAAGUCAAAACGGCUCUUUUCACACAGAUUUCAUCAGUCAGUUUGAUAAUCCUGCCGUAGAUCUUGUUUCAGUCACUUUUAUUGCAUCAAUGUUCGAUUUGGUGCCCUCUUCAGACUUUGCACACCCCCUGUUUGCUAUCCAAGGAUUGAAAUUGGGCUUCUUCUCGCAGACAUUUAUAUGUAAAUCCUUUGCUGCUCUUUGCCAUCCAGCAAAAUUCUGGUCUUUUUUUUUUUAACCAUAAAUGUGGUGUAUUUUCUAUUCAGUUUUUUGCACAAUACUGAGCACAGAGUUGAUUGCCCUUUAGCCCUCACCUAGAUGAAAAAUGUGUGUGUAAUGAACUCCUCCAUUAAUGAAAUGUCUUUUUCCUCAAUAUGAACGUAUUAUUGUUAAAUAUUACAUUAUUGUCAAGGGUAAAGGGAAGUCUGUAUUCAACAUAAUUUCCGUCAUUUUUCAAGGCUGAAGUCUUUGUGGAAGUGUAUCAGAUUGUGUUUUAAUUGAAAUUUAAUAAGAAAAUAGUCAGCACAUGAAGCUUUCGUCAUGUACUGUAGGGUCAGGGUUGAUAUUCUGCUCUAAAAAACAUGGAAAGAGCAGAGAAGAAAAUUAAAUCACAUUUAAACUUUCUGAUUUUCAUAUUUAGUUAAAAUGCUAAUGUCUGCGUUUGCUCAAUGGUCUCAUUUGUUUAUUUCCUGCCUUGUAAAUCUGUCUUUGUGUGCUCAGCAGCCUGAUGGUCACAUGAAUACAGUCAAUGACACCAGUAAUGAAUGUUGGCAAAGUAAACCAGAGUAAAGCCCUAAAAUAUAAACAUAUACAAAUACUCUGUGGAUCCAUCUGUGUACAGCUGCACCACAGAGUCAAAACAUUUGGAUAAAAAAUGGAAUAAUAUUCUCAACUAAGGAGCCCCUUUAUACCUUUCUUACUGAAAAAAUAUCAACAUAUUCUGCUCUCAGAGGUGGAAUAUUGUCUGUAUGAACAAUUGUACAAAAAGUAGUCUAAUUUUCAUUGAAAUACAUUCAUAUAAUGUUGAAGUUGCUGGAUCUGUAUACUAAACUGCAGAAAAGUCCCAUAACAUGAGAUCAGGGAUGGUGGUGUUGUUCCCAGACAUGCCUUCCAGGCCUUAAUGGCUCAUUUUCACACAUGGCCACAACCUGAUGACAGGUUAAAGACGGUAAAGGACGAACCCAACCAGCAGCUGGAGAGUCUGCCCUGACUGCUUGUCUUUUUCUGCCUCACUGCACUGUGUUGACUUAAUACUUCACAACCAAAAUAACACUGACGUGCAACUCUCAGAGAAGGAAAGUCACAGCUAUUUCUUCUUUUCAAAGGUAAAGGCACCAGAAACGGGCAGAAAGUUUUCAUGGUUUGGGGACUAGAAUGUAGCUGUCUGUGCCCCCUCUUGUCACUGAUGACUCUGUUGUAAACAAAGGCCUGUAUUAGCUGGACUUGGGUCACAACUGUUACAGAAGCCAGGGGCUGUUCAGUGUGCAAAGCAUAGACUGUAUAUACUAUUGAAAACUUGGUUCCGUCUUCCAUCAUUAUAUGAAUUUGAAGCCGAAUUGCUCUCGGUAUAUUCGGGAUUUUCUGCACUUCCUGGAAACACCACUUGUGCAGUGGCAUUAUACGCGUUAGGUGGGAAAGUCACUGUGAUGAUACAGCUUAUGGGUGUAUGAAGAUUGCGUCAAGUGUCAAUCAUAGAAAACAUGAACCCCCUAAUAUCUUUUUAAAACGGAGAUGCACAGGAAAAAGAGGACUUGAGCACAAACCAGUCUUACAAUAACUACAUGUCAACACCGCAAGCAGGGGGGAGAAAAAUGUAUAUUCUGUUCAAUUAAUUUCUAAAGUUUGUCCACAGCUCCAUAGGGAUUGCUGGAGGAGGCAGGAUUUAUAACCUAUUCUGCAGCCGGUCACCAGAGGGUGCUGUUCUCGCGGUGGCUUUACCCAGAGAGGAGGCAGACAGUGUCCAUUCUAUAUGCAGUCUAUGGUGCAUGGAUCUUUCAAGAAAGCUGGGGCCACAAACUUUAACUAAUACUACAACAACAGCUGAUGCAGCUACAGCCUAAGUUUGCCAAUGUGGCUAAAUGGGAAGCCACCGUGUGCCCUAACAGCUAGCUCCUGUCACUUUCUGACAUUUGAUGACGAAGAAGCUGUGUAAAAAGUAGAACCCACAUAUUAGUGGAAAAGUGGCCAAAAAUGGGGCAGUAAGUACUGUUGAGAGGGUUUUCACUGAUGCCAUAGAUGAUGUGGAGUUUUAUGGGCUGCAAAUCAAACAAUACACUCUCAAGGAGUCCCAGACUGAUAUGAUAAAAGGUGAGGAUGAGUAUAAUAGGUCUACGAAAAAGCUGAAUCGUGAUCUCAAUGAAGAUCUAGCCAGUUAACCUCUGAGUGGGAGAUGAGAUUAGCAGAAAUUUGCUUUCAGCAUUUCCUACCCUUAAGUUUGUGUUAAUGAUCCUUAACCUUGGAGUGAAAAAAGACUUUUCUCCUUGAAAUUAUAAUCAAAUGAAAAGCCCCACACUAAGAACGAUUAAAUCCUAUGAACAACUAUUUCCUGUGUAACCAAAGGCUUGUGUAGCGCAGCCAUGACUCACAAGGAUUAACUUUUAUACAGAAACUCUUAAACCCAAUAACAUUCCACACAUUGGGGGAGUAAAAUACUGUAAAAAAAAAAACAAAAAACAACAACCCAUUUUUAAAUCUCUUUAAGUAGUUAUUUUGAUGUUAAUUCCACAUCAUGUUGCAUAAUGUCUGUUAAAAAUGUUAUGUUAUGUUAUUAUAUUUCCUCUUUAAACACACACAUUCUGAUAAAAUAAGAUAAAUUGUAAAAUUGUAAUUGGAUAAUUCCAAAGUUUUUCUUUUAUAUAAAAAAAUCAAACUUAUUUUUAUUAGACUUUGAAUCUAUUACUCUUUCACUGAAAAAACCUUCCUCUUACUUUCAGCAUUCUUUAUUUAGCCUUUUGCCUGCAAGUCUGAGAGCAGCACUCGAUGUGGUGAGACAAUAGGUGCUUUACAAAUCGAUUUAAGGGUUUUUAUGACAAAAAUGUCAUGAAGAAGAAGAAGACUGAGUCUGUUAACCUUUUAGAGGGAAUUCAAUUACUUUUACUCUGUUAUUGAACAUGCUCCACACGUGGGCUUAAAACCACACAUUCACAGAUGGGACUCCGUAAAAAACAGUUUAACAGAGAUGUCAGAGUGCCUAAAUGGAAUUUUAGAAAGAAAGCAAAAGAGAAGAGAAGAACAUUUUAAAAGCGAGAGGUGUCAUGGCUGGAAGUCCAAGGUUAAACGACUGAUAUUUUCAUUAAAUAUUAAGCAUUAUUUGCCAGAAGUUACUGUUUUUAAGCUGAUCCCAUAAUCAUGAACUUGUUUAACUGGGAGGUUUUUUUAGUGUGCUAUUGGAAACUUGCAGUCAUACUGUGUAAGAUUGUCCUGUGGGGUACCCCAUGGGUCAGUUCCCGGACCACUCUUGUUUUCAAUCGAUUUUCAUGUUAGUGCCGAUGAUGCCCAAAUCUACCUUCCUUUCUGCCAUAACACCCCAGAUCACAUUUCCUCACUUAUUAACUGCAUUAGUUAUAAAUUUAGGGUUCAUUAACAGUCUUUUUAACCAUCACCUGUCAAAAAAUAUCUCAUUCAGUUUUAACAAUUUAACAAUCAUCUAUUGAAGUCUAUGAUACCACAAAAACUAUCUGCAUGACUUUAAAUAUCAAUCUUAUAUAGGCUGGCAUGUUACACCUGACAUGCUUUCGGACACAUUUCCAAUUACUUUCAUUGAGAUUGGAUUUAUUUUUCAUACAUGUUCUUCUGACCACCUGAGAGGCAAUGUCAGUACUGUGUCAGUUAUCCAUAUUGUUAGAAUAAAAUGAAAACUAAAUUAUCUCAGGUCUACUCAAGCACAACGUUGGAUGCAGUGGGUGUCUGUCAAACUCAGCACAUUUAAAUGAACUCUCCAUGGUGCAGCCUGUUUUGAUAAUUCCUUGAAAAUUCCUCUCACUUGUGUGUGAACUGAAGCGUAGUGUUGUGAGUGUGUAGGUCAGAGAGAAGAGGAGAGAAGAGUCCACACACAGGACUACUUCUAGUCAUGAAUUAAAUGAGGUGGUGCAGUUUGGUUCUUACUUUUUAAUGAUUUUAGUAAUUUAAGUGGUGCUUCAUGCUGUAUGACUCAACUAAUCAUACCCUGUUUGAUUUAUUCAGAGCGUCAGUCAAAAACAUCUUUUAUAAUAGGCUAGGAGCAAUAUGACUGGUAGAAAGGCAAACAAGCUUAGAUUUAUGCAGCGGAAAUAAACAAAUUACUAAAAAGGAAAGGAAAGAAAGUUUAACUUUUUUUGAAAAACAAAUUCAUCAAAUUAAAAAUGAACCUUCUCCGACAUAUCGUCACACAGAGUAAGGCCCAAACUACUAAAUAUGGAACUGCUGCAAACGAGAACAGGAAAAGAAAAAAUUCAGAUUGCAGUAUCUAGUUUUCUGCAUACUUGUUCUUUUUCAGAAAAACAAGCAUACUCAGUCUGGAAGGUAGCAGACGGGGGCGCAAUCAAGGUCACAAUCAGUCUGGCUGCAGUAAACACACGCUCAGGAGACUUCAGUGUGGCUGGUAUGCAGAGACACUGGUGUGCCAGCUUUGCCUAGCUGUGUAGAGGUUAAACUCCACACAUGAACAUAUCAAUAAAAGCAGAGGGGCUUGGUUUGAUUGGUUCAAGAGGUGCGGUCAGUGUGAAAACCAGCAGCAAAAAUCACUCACUGAUACAAAGACAGACACACACACCAAAAUGAGCUUAAGCAAACUCGCAGCUUUCUUGAACACAUUGUGCAUCAUUUCACACAGCACGUCCUAUCAGAAUAUUUUCCCCCUCACUUCACAGAAUUAAAGCCUCGCUGUCUCAUUUUCAAGUAACACAGUAAGCAAAGACUGCGAGAUUCAUCACGGAAGCUAUUAGCGGCUCAAACCCAUUUUUCAGCACUCUGAGUGUUGUUUCUCACCAAGCCGCAGCCGGACCUCAGCCAGGGCUGCAGACUAAAUAAUUAAAAAGCACUCUCAAAUGAAGUGUGGAAACCCAAAGUAUUGGGGUCAAGCCUUUUUACAACCCCUGUGGAACUUUUGCAUAGAGAGGGCUCUGUUAAGAAAGCAUUUCUUUUAAAAAUAAAGAGAUUAAACCACAAAAACAUCCACUUUUCGGGCCUCAGAUAUUAGCUGUAUUGGUGAUGGAACAUUGAACAUCGAGGUCAGCCUGCAAGAUACCGUCGUCUGGACUAAUGAAAAGAUUUCUUGCUUUGUUAGUUACAUAAAGAUACCUCCCUCCUGUAAACUCGAGCACAAACAUGCUUUUCACAGGGAAAAGUAAAUAUUGUUGCUGCUGCAGUAGGCAGGAAGGACUGUUGGAGCAGAAAAUGAAUCAUUAGUCAGCUAAAACACAGAAACUAAUCAUAACACCGCAGCAAGCCUCAAAAGUAAAUGUCUCCGCUGCCACUGAAAUCCCCUCGGCUCUGUAGUGCUUUACUUUACUAUUUUGGCUUUAGAUAACCCCAAAGCCACAACUUUGAAAGUUUUUAAGUAGUUUACCUCUGCUUGCUCUUUGCUGGGAAGGUCCUGAAAUGUUGCGUUAUCUUUGUUUGGCUAAUUAACAGAGGGAGGAAAGCAUCACAAAAGAAAAAAAGGGACCAAAAACUUGUCACAAAUAUUUCUAAUUGCUGUUUCCUAAAACUAGCUCUUUGUAGUCGAUCGUGUUUGUUAUUUCAGAGUAAAUUCGUGUGUUAGUGUGUACUGCCUGUAACUUUCCAGUAAUGGUGUACUCUAGCACACCCCGCCAACACAUUUAGACGUUGUUAUGGGAAGAAUAUCUCAAUCAAGGAUGUUCUGGAGCGACUUGUUUCCUGGUUGCUUUGAGGUAGUGUUCAAGUUGGCAGCCUCUGUGGAAGAGGACGUGCUUCUUAUGUAGAUACGAAAGGCUCAUUCUAAGUUAGUACAAACAAAAAGAUAUUUAUAUUACAGUGAUGUACAUUUAAUGAUUAACAUACUUGGACACAACAUUAUUGUACCCCAUUUCUACCAACUGGUAGAUGCUACACAUUUAACUUUUAAAUAGAAAUGUAGAUUUCAACAGACCGACUACUCUUAAGGUAAGAAAAUGAUCAGAAAUUACUGCAAAUUUAUCAUAAUUUGUUCAACACAGCUAAACAUGAGAUGACACAAUUUGCAGGUAAACUUCAUCAAAAGCAUUGUCCAGAUCCAGUGGCCGAAGCCUUUAAUAAUAAUAAAUAAUAUAUAAAUAAUAAUAAUAAUAAUAACCAGAAUAUAGCAUAAUACAUUAAGCAGUGUUUAAGGUGCCGAAACCCACAAUAUUAUUAUAUAUUCUCCAGAAAGUGGUGGCCGCCCUGUGUCACAGAAAUAUAAGAAAACAACAGAUAUUGAGAUUUCGUGAAUUGAAGAGGCGGCCAGCUGCUCAGCCUCCUCUUAGGUAAUAAGAUUCUGGACCUGCUGCCCCGCUGUCUAAACAGCCACGGGCUCAGAGAUAUGUGGGCAAAGUAUGGAGGAGUCUUUUUGAUGACACAAACACACACACACACACACGCACGAAUACAUGCAGACACACACACACGGAGUCCAGCUGUAGCGGGGUGAUUUUUGCUGUCCCCUGUGGUCAGCAGAAGCUCAUUUCAGUGUCUAACUGAAGCAAUCACCGCCCGGAGACUUUCUGAGACUCCUGCAGUCCCACUUAGCAUGAACUUAAUCCUCACAGGGCCAGCCUGCUGUGUACUUCCUCUAUUCUGCAACAGUGCACCAGAUAAAGAAGGUGAGGAAGGGUCUGAAGGUUUUUGUAUGGAAAUGAGACUGCCAUUGUUGUCACUUUCUCUCUUAUAGAUUUUGUUUCCUUCCUCAAACUUUCAGAUUAGUUUGGUGCCACUCUCCAUAGGAAAUGUCUCUAACCCUGAAAUGUCUGCUCACAAAACUUAAUCCUCUGAUGUACCUUUUUCCCAACAUGACUCAUAGUUUUUGACUUUUUUAUACCAGACACAGCUGUUCACAGAUUCAACCCAAAAUCUGUCCUCACAUAGGAAGGACAUCAGCACACCUGCAGCAGUAGAACAUCAGUUGCACUUCGUUCUAGGUCAGUGUUGAACUCUUGAUGAUCCAAUACUUCAUGUUUUAAUCUUUCAAUCUCUAACCAAGCUGAUGCUGUUAAAUAAUUGACAUAUUGUGAAACACAUAAUCCAUAAUAACGACAUUACAUGUAAACAUCAUUUUUGGUUAAUCGAGACGGCAGUGUUGGAGUACUCAAGUCCAGGAUUCAGACUUUGACGAUGGAGAGGAGGACUUCGACUUGUAAACCCUUUUUUUAAUUGUACUAUCAGUUUUUGAACAAGGCCUUGAUCAUUUAUUUAUGUUGGAAUAAAUGUUGGCUGUUUUUACCGGUAAACAUGUUCACCUGCAGUCUUUUUUAGCAGUAAUUCCUGCCAGGAAGUCUCAAGAGACUCGACAAGUCAUGUUUGGCUUGUACAGCGAUUUCAAGCAGGAGCAGCACAACAUGUUCGGUAUGUGAAAGAACCAGAUACUAAAUGUUAAUCCCAAAUGGUAAUGCAUGAAGAGUUUUGGUGGUAAUUCUGAUUAAUGGGGAGUGGGUUGGGUCAUGGAGGGUCAGUUCAGGGUUUUUAUUUUGAGGUCAGAUUGGUGCGUUUCUCCAUUAAGGGAGGCACAGUGUGUACUUGCAGAUAAUAAGCAUGAUUUUUGAUUUAACACAGCUGAACACAGGUUCAUCGAGUCCUCAGGUUAAUGUCAAUGAUGCCAGACUGGUUUGUCAAAUAUGACUAAUGCCAGCAGAGCUUGGACCUCUAACCUUAAGUCCUUGUUAUAGGAUAACAUCCUCACACCUGUGCAGCAGUUUGAGCUGCUGUCUGUUGUGUGUUGUUGUUUACAUUCAUGUAAUAAUGCAUUUUAUAGUUAUGGAAGAAGCCAUGAACCAAACUACAGCUCUGGCUCGAGGCUGGUGGCUGUGCUACACUUCUGCUAAGGAUGGGGCUAAAAAAUUUAGCAUGAUAAGAUUUGUAAUGAUAAAAGUCUUGAUUAAAAAUAUUAUAAUUCCAGUCUAUGUUUUUGAUUCAUCCUGUCUUGAGGACACCGAUUGGCAUAGUCAAAUAAGAUAUGUAACUACAAGUUGAAGUGUUAGGUUAUAGAGAAAGCUAGCGAAAUGUGAAAACAUUUUCAACAUUAAUUGAAAACUCUUAUUGCACAGAGUGAGUAGAUCUACUGUCCGAUGUCAGGCAUACCUGAUUGUACUCGUCUGUGUGGGGUACGGCUGCAAGUCCGUCGCUGAUGCUUACAUCAUCAACUUGCAUUUAUCGUGUUUAUCGUGAGACUUGCAAAUAUAUAUCGUGGAGGAAUUUUCUGACAAUAAAUCGUAAACGGUAAUUUAUCACCCAACCCUAACUUCCACCAUAAUGUAUGACAGUUCAGGUUUAUUGGGUCUUUGGUUCCACUAACAAAAAUAUAAGUAAUUUAUGUAACCAGCCUGUAAUUCUGGUGCUGAGUGAGUAAUUUGGAGGGUUGCAGCAGUCUCCUCUAUAAAUCCUGUUGUUAUGGAGUUCAUCUUUAGUGGUUCAGACUGAACCCUGACUUGGAUCAAGACUUGAUUCAGACUCAAGGUUUAGUGACUCAACAGCAACACUGCAAGUUUUUGUUCGUACAAAUCAUUCAUUUUUUUUUAUUAUAGCACUACCACCUUUUCCUUUCUUCCCAUCUCGAGAGCCUUUGCCGACCAGAAAUAUGUUUGCAAAUCCGACAGUGAGCGUAGUUAAUUUGAAUUUUAUUGAACUUCUUUGAGUCCAUCAAUGUUUGGUUAUGCUUUUGUCAUUUCCAUUUCAGAGAGGAGACAAAGCUCGCUGAUUAACAUUCUGUGAGCAGAUUUUGUUUUCAUUCUUUUCCAAAAGACAAAGAGUUUUCACCGUCAGUUGUCAGAUCAACUUGCAUUUCUAAACAACAGCCACAUCUCUUAUGCGGAAAUAGCUAUCAUUUACAUAAUUGUCCUAUUUAUGUAAUACAGAGGCAUUAUAUGAUACAGAAAUUAAAUAGUGCUCGAGUGAGGGUCAGGCACCACUACCUACUGUAAAGCGUCCUCCUAAAUGACUCUGGAGAACAUCAGCAUAAUUUAUAUGCAUUGCUACAACCCAGACUCUUUUGAGUAGCCACUUAUAAAAGCUAUCCUCUCUCCUGUUGCAGCACUCUUCAACUCCCCCACACAUUCACAGAUUACCAACAAUAAAAACUGACCCUCACAUAAUUAGGUGACUCUUUUAGCCUCUGGAAAAUAUGUAUUUUAUGGAAAAGGUUACCUUGGCAAGAUUUAUUAUCCCAUCUGCUUUGAAAAAGUUUGAAAGAUGUGACCUACUAAGCCGGCAUGUGCACACGCAUGCAUGUGUUGGUGCACGUCACUUUCAUUUACUUCUUGAUCCCUGUGUAUUCACUAAAAAUAGACUCCUGUACACGGGCUCUGCUGCUGUGUCACCGCUCUGGCUCACAGAUCUGUCCAUGAUAAUGUGUUGGCAGUGAUGGGACAGUGCACCUCUGCUGCCAGAAUCCAGAUGUGCCAGUAAUCAGAGGUGUCAACCUGAUGCCAGACAAUCGCAGGACAAACACAAUGGGACACCAUGUCCCUCUUGUGACUGCACUCAAACCUAAAUUAAACUUUGCUUCAAUUGAAGUGGUCACCACCAGAUUUAUGACAAUAUCAAUCAGUCAGUGAAAAAACUAUGUGCAGUUUGUGAGCUAUUGGGAACAUACCAGUGAUAGGUGGUGAACUAGUUUCAGUGCCAUCCCCUAGAGCUGGGCAAUUAAUCAGAUUUUAAUAUUGUGCCACCUGCUGUUGCCCCCGUUACGUCCUAUAUGUUGAAUGAAGCGCACCUUGCCUCUUUUCCUUAAAGUUCCAUUCCAAUCAUUUUUUUUUUACUACCUAAAGUGUUAUCAGUGGUCUUCAAAUUGUGAUUAUGACAUUUUUAGCCAAAAUCGCAUUAUCCGUGUCAUUUUUAAGGACUUUUCUUCUGCAGAGCUCCAGUAGAUCAUUAGCAAUUUGCCUCUGAGUCAUGGGCGGAGACAGCGCUGCUCUGCACACUCUCCUUCACGUUAGUUUUUAGCCUAACAUUGUCUGUGUAGUAGAAGUGGCAGGUAUCAUAAUUAGAUUUCUUAUGAACAUUACAAUCCGCUUACGCACACGCUUGUUCCGCGAUUGUCCUCUGUAUUUCUCCCAGACUGGCCUGCAUAGUGGGGCUCUGGAGGCAGAGCUUGGAUUUGCUACCUAGUUGGACUGGGCGAUAUGGUCUCAAAUCAAUAUCACGAUAUAUCGAGCAGCUCACCUCGAUAACGAUAAAUGGACGAUAACUUCUUCACAAGCUGCUCAGCCCCUCCCACAUUAACUUCGUCUGCUUCAGCCGCUGCUCCAGCAGCUACAACUUUUGAACUGUCCUCCAUCUCCUCACCUGUCUUUUCCUCUUUCAUACGGACUGGAUGGGGUGGAGUCUCUGACGUAGGACAGCUUCUUAAAGGGACAUGAGACCAUAGCCUACCUACACACAUCCAAAACCAACUUUUAUUUAUUUUUUUUUGACAUUGAAUAUACCGAUAUGGGCAAAAUUUCGUCGGUUAUUGUCGUAAAUUUCAGUGUCGGUAAAUUUUCAGUUUAUUGCUCAGCCCUACCACGUAGGAAAUCUCACUGAAUCUGAACCUGCCAUUUGGGUCUGCCAGAGUUUCACACCGAUUUGACUGCAGAAAUACUCAGAAAUGCAAUUUUGCACUUAUUUUUCUCAUGAUAUGUUCUGUAGCAUCAGAAAAAUGCCAUAUAAAUAUGCAGACAAUAAGAAAAACAUGAUUUUUAUGGGAGUGGGUCUUUAACAGCAGAGUGAGGGUGCGGCCCCUCCUCUCAAACAGCUCUCACCUUCACUUCAGACACUGCAUCCUUAACAUGUUGUGGGGAAAACUAUCAGGCAGCAAUGGGUGGAGAGAGGAGAGCAGGGAGAGGAGCAGGAGGAGGCAGACACAUAUUGAGUUUUCUGCACACACACAUAAAGCAUGUAGUUGUCACACAAUGGCGGUUUACUUCCCCCAGCACUGAUGCAGCCAUAGUUACAGGUAGAAAAUAAGUAACAAACUGAUUUUUGAGUGACAACAACAAGACUUGAUUCAGGUCAGAGCAGAGUCGCUCACAGUCGCAGACACACUCAGCGAAGAGCCUCCUGGUGAUUCAGGAGGGCACAGUAAUCAGAUAAGUUAGCGCCCUUGUCUCUCCAAGUUUGUCAGUCAGUAAGUAGCAAGUGAACUUUUGUUUACACGAUUCCUUCAUAAUUUCUAACACUGGGAUAUAAUCCUGUGACUGCAAAAAGCAAAGGGAAAACUGUGAUUAAAAUUUGAACUCAUACUGCCCAGUCCAAAAAUGUAUAAAAACAGACUUUGUAAUGCUUUGCUUCAGCCAGAGAGACCAGUUUUCAAAAGAAUUCAUUAAGACAAAUCUUACUGCAGAACUCGGUCAAAUAAUGUUUCAUUUACUGUUGGUUGUUUCUUGCAGUUUCGUUCAAUAGUUGUUUGUAAUAUUCUGAAUUAUUGAUGAUAUUUACAACACAUAAGUCCAAGAUUUACUGGCCUUCAGACAGGCGGUGCUGCUGUCAGUUGAUGAGGCGAUUUCCAAGAAAAUAACCAAAGGAUUUAACUUGGGAUAACAAUCUAAUCUUUGCAAAUCAUAUUUAUCUUUGGCUUAGUUUUAUCUUGGCCCUGUGGCUACUCUGGGCUGAAAAAUCCCUGAAAAACAGACGUUAAGGAAACUUAGGAACCUUUUUUUUUUCUUAGCAACAAAUAUGUAAAGAGAUGGACGCCAAAUACUUUUUAUAAUUGGAUCAUGACUCUUACUUCAUUAAAAUGGAAGAUGCAUAUUUUAACAAAUAAACUCCUACAAGACCAGACUAUAAAAGCACUGCCCAAAAAUGUGUUUUGUCUGGCUGUUAAAGGGGUUUCAUUGUGUAGGCAGAUAAUCUGGACAUUUGGGGUUUUGAAACAAACUCUCUAAGGUCCUCUGUGUGCAGUGACUGUACAAAAAGUAGGGAUGAAGCGGAUCACAAAGCUCACAGUUUGGUCCAUGUCACAGAUUAAGGAUCAUAGUUUGAUCCAUUUUUCAGAUCGACCCCAGACUAAAGAAAAGAGAUGACUUAGCCGUGGUACUUCCUGCUAAGCUAUGAUUCUAUCCGUGUCACAUUAAAGGGAUGUUCCAGUGUAAAAUUGAGUUAGGGUCUACGGGGUACACGGUAGUUCUUCUGCCUUAACGUCUCGGUCUGAUAGCAUUUCCAUGAAGUAAUGAUCAUAAAUGUUCUUCCUUGAGCUGUGAAACUCCGCUUCACUCUGUAAUGGACUCGUCAGGGCUCACCCAACAAACAGGCAGUUGCUGGAGGAGAGGGUGAGUUGUGUUUGGUCUCUUUGCUAAAGAAACCAGGCAAAGCUUAAAAGAUGUUUGGUGGCUAGUACUAUGGCUGGGACCCUAUAUGUACUGAUGACGAAGUUUGUGCAGACGUGUGCAGACGUAGACCACUGUGUAUUGCCAUCGUGCGGUCGUUGCUGAAGUUGGUAUAACUAGAGAAGCAAGCAGUCGGCAACAUUCAUCUCUUGAGAGGGUGUCUAACUCUGCGUUACAGUGUGUUUGACCAUUACUUAAAUUUACGCCGGACUUUCCCUCUAAGAUCACGGUGAAUCAUGGUGAAUUCAUUCAGCUUAAAAGUCAACUUAACUGCUAGUCAUUCCCUGUGUGUUCAUGUCAUCGAUCCAGCCGUGUGCACUGUGGGUCAUGUUAAGUGUUCCUGUAUUCAUAUUACUGUCUCAGUGAAUCAGAUGCCCUCACAUCCCCACUCCUUUGGUGUUUCGGGAUCUUAACUGUGCUUAAUUACUGUUCCUGCUCUCACAGUGACUGCAGAGUUUGCGUGGGUGGACCGGUGCUUUGUCUCAGCGGCUUGGUGGGAAAAAAACCCAACACGGUGCAACGUAUGUUUUAUGUCAGUGAAAAGCAAAGCUGUCCACCCUCUCGCUGUAUCCCUCCAUCUGUUAAAGGCCUACAUUCAGAGGUGUCUCAUUGCUGGCAUUGGUGCAGGAAAAUGCAGUUAUUCAUCUCAUUUUUAAUUUAUUUGUUAAUCACACAGUAGGGCUGCUUGACUGUGGCAGUCACAAUUAUUCUUUGAGCAAAAUUAAUAUCAGAGUUCAUAUCAAUUACCCAUGAUUUGUCAUUUUCUCACACAACUUCAUGCAAUUUAGCGCAACUUUGUGUCUGAUUGACCUCUGAAGGAGUCGGAGAACUCGAAAACCUUUAAAUGCAAAUGGACAGAGGUAAUGGCAGGAGAAGCAAUGAGCCACUGGUCCUCAGCAUGUCUAUAAAGGUUACUAUCACAGUCAUUCGUCACGAGUGGCUUAACAAACAACCUUAAAGCGGUGUAUAAGCUGACUCAGCAUGUGUUGGUUUAGCCCUUUGGGCAUGAAAACCAGAAUAUUAAAGCUGAGGGUGAAAAAUCUAUCCUGUUGGGUUAUUCAUUUACACAGGUUGUCAUUUUGUUCUGAGGAUUUGCCCUGUAAUAAGCCACGAGAGGCUAUAUGUCUAUUAAAGUGUCUUAUCUGUGGUUAAGCCUGAGUAAAUCCAUUAUUGUUCAGCAUUUAAGUGGCUUUCCUACCUUUUCCACUUUCUCCGUUCAGACCUGAAACUCCAGGCACUCGAGCAGCACCACCUCUGAGAUAAGAAACGAAGUUAGUAGCUUUUUAAAGGCAAUUUACUUUUUGUUGAUUGUCGUGUUGAUUGUUGUGGAUUAUUGUGGAUGCUGGCAGGUGCAGGGUAAUGGAUGACGUGUUGGUUCAAAUUGGAAUUCUUCUCAUUUUUUUUUUGUGUGUGUGUAAUUUGGACAUUUUUUGUUAUUCAAACAUUCAUCUUUCAGUGAUUGUAACACAAACAGACACUUUGCUUUCAGAGUAGGUCCUGGUACUUUUGUUAUUCCACUGAAAACAACAGCAUUAUGAAUUAAAAUUCAAGUCACUGGAUCUCUGGCAAUAAAAUAAGAAAGCGUAGACAAGGACAUGCAAAAGAAAAGAAAAAACAAGAUAUAUGUAAGGAUGGUACCUUUGCAAUACACAGCUGGACACUGUCUGCUGUAAGAAGCUGUCAGUGUAAACACCAUGAGCUGUGACAGCGAGGAAUAAUCAGACAAAACAGCUGCAUUCAUGUCAGUAAAAAGUAACAGAGCACAGUUGCAAUCUCCACCCAUCAAACUUUAAGUAGAUUCAUGACAAAAACAAAUUCAUAAGUCAUGGAUCUCUCAGUUAAAGUUUAGAAAUAACUCACCAUAGUGUUGUGCAUUCAAAUUUAAAUGCACAACCAAGAAGCCUUAUCCUAAUCAUUUGAUAAAACUCAACCUUAAAGUUGGGGCAGGCAGGAUCUGAGGAUGUGCCAGUUUUUGGGGAGAAAUCUUGAAUACAAACACUACCCCUCCCAACCAGUUUUCCUCUCAGCUCCUCCUCUCCAGUCUCUGCUCCAGAAAGCCCCACCCACAAACAGACGCUCCUGCUCGCUCGUAUCAUUCCAAUUAAAUUCUGAUAUAAUGCAGAUAAAUACUUCAGAUAAUUACAAAUGGGGCCCAGUCAAAGCCAAAGAACCACUCGGGAUCCUUGCAAAACCAUCCUCACUAGGUGAUCUAACCCAUAAGGUGUCACCCUGAAAACACACAAGCUACUCUUCUUGACUGUUUACCUGCUAGGUUUACUCAUCAGGUUUUAAACAACAAGGUAAUGGGAGGGGAAGUGUUAUUUUGGCUGUGAGGGACAGACCCAGUCCACUCACUGUCUCCAGUAUAAUAUCCUGUGGGUGAAACACUCACUGUCUUUGUUAUUACAACGUUAACUUUCAUCCAUAAAGCCAGCAUUUAUAGCAGAGUCCUCUCAGUCCCUCUUGUCACCAAGUGUACUGUACCUUCGCUGUGAUCAAUUUCUAAGAGACUGUAAUCUUGAUCUAAGCUGUGGAUUCACCUGUUCAUAUUCCACUCACUACCAACCAUCCUCCCUGUUUACUGCCUUCCUGAAACAGACGUUGAAGAUUAUCGGCAGAGAAGGGUUUUUCCUGCUUUUGUUGUAGCAAACUUGACAGUCUGCCAGCAUCCAGGUCCCACUGUUUUUUUUCCUGUGCUGUGUGUUUGUCAGUAAAUGCAACAUGCGGCAUUAGGGUCUGAGUAACAAUGUAGGUACUUUACUGCAUUGUUGUAAACGUAAAAAAUAUAGCUUUAUAGUCAGUUCUAUAAGAUUUUUAUUUAUUUGACAUUCUUGCCAUCAGACAUUCUGGCUGAUAAUAUCAACCAAAAGCUGGUAAAAACCAACUUACUUCGCUCUGGUUGUGGCCUUGUUCAUCCUUUCAUUCAGGUCUAUGUUGCUAUGUUGCUAAGCACACAAGCCUUGUCUAUAGUGAAUAAACAUAAAACAGGAUUGUAGUAGGAGCCACAAAAGAAAAUGCAUAGCCAUAAAACUAUCAUGAAUUUAGACUAUUACUGCUUUUGCUGUUGUAUGUAAAUGUUGUUGACAUUUUGCCCUCAGCUCGAGAGUCCACAACAAUACCAAAUUUAGACAAUAAACAAAUACGUAAAGUAACCUCAUUUAAAUCCAGCUCCAGAGUUUCCCUGCUAUUUAACUCUUAUUGCAGCUCCUUAUCUACGAUGAGAUAAGCCCCCACUAAUUGGCUGUUUCUGCUCGCCCGGAUAAAUGCCACAGAUCAGCAGCCACAGCGGGCUCCAUGAAAAUAAUGAGCUAAUAAAGAUAAGGAUCAUGGGAAAAUUGCAGAUUGGGGACCACUCAUAUUCCCUGUGACUGGAUGAACAUUAUAUGCCCUCUUGUGAAGUAAUCAUAGAGCAUCCGUUCUCUCUGUGCAAGUUGUGUGAAAGUAGAAGUGAUUUCCAGAUUUAAGAGGCUCAAGGUUCAUAGUGUGAUGUGCGAAGGCCCCGGCUGCUAAUACUCUGACUGCUGAAUAAAACUUUGAGUCGAAACUACUUCUUAUUCUCUGCUUUCAGCUUCACUUCAUUUCAAGGCUGAAAGACCUUAUAACAGUGUCUGAUAGCAGAUUCUUCCUCUCUGCUGUCUUCUAUCUGAUGCAUUUGUGUAACAAAACUCUCUUGCAUAAACUUGAUUAUGCACUUCAAAAUCUUACAAAAAUAUCAGUUGUAGAUUAAACUGACCUUGUGAAAACAGCAAACCUGCAGCAAUUGUUUACAAAAAAAUUCUAAGUCAGUCAGUUUUCAUCCAUUUUUGCAGCACCCAUAUUUCUUUGCGCUUUUGACUCGAAUAUAGUCAAUAAUUCUGUUUAAUACAUGAAACUUGAGCUCCUUUUAGAAUAGAAUAGAAUAGAAUAUUCCUUUCUUGAUAUUUACCUCAAAAUAGUCAAAUAUAACCCAAAACAUCAUGCAGUUGAAAUACCAAAAUUUGAUUUCCUUUCAACUGGUGGUCUGAUGUAUGUUACUGGGUGUAUUUAAUCAAAGUCACAUACAUAUCUUAUAUGAAAAAGUCAACACAGGAACUGACAUUCACACAUAGAUACAUCAGAUAAUGUUGUGACUAAUGCUGCGUUCCAGUUACCUCGGAAGUCAGAUGUCGGAGCUGGGAAUGACGUUACACCCGAGUUGAGGGCUUUCCAAAAGUAAAAAAAACAAAAACAAAAACAAAAAAACAUUUUACAUUUUCUCCAAAAAUGUCUUUAUUUAGUGGCAAAUAUGAUGCAGACAGAACAAUUUAAAACAAUUGUAAUAGUCACUUUCUUAGUUAGAUGACGUGCCAUAAAACUGCUUUCUUGAUCUAGUAACAGUAAGUCCUAGUGAGGAGCACUUUGACACAAUCAAAACUUAAAAAGGGAAACAUGCUGAAUUUAAAUGUAUGGAAAGCUAUUUAAACCCGUACCCUUUAGCAUCUCAGCCUCAAUAGUAAUUAUUAACAAAAGGCGUACCUCUGGUGAGGUACAAAGCCAAUCACAUUGAAAGAUUUGAGGUGGCAGCUUAGAUUACCAACCAGAUUUUAAGGGGCCACCCGUUGGACUCUCCUCUGACAACAUUUAUCUGCAUACUAGUAUAAAACAAUUUAGUUGAGAAGACAGACCGAUUAUUACUCAGUUUAACUUUUGAAAGGAAGUAAUCAAGUAAUCACAAACAAAUACACCUUUCUGGCGUUGUUAUACAAUUUAUUUCCCAGAAUACUGUAGAGUUUGUUCACUCUGAAAUCUCACUGGACAGUAUAAAUGAAAUGUUACAUACUUUCCUCUGGUCCCUUAUCACAUAGUUCACUAAAUGUGACAUUAAGUGUUAUGGCCACUGUAAAAUAACCAUUACCUUGAAUUUCCUUUAUGAGCCAACAGCAGUAAAAUGCGGGUUAUAGUGUAUUCUAUAAAUAUAAUGAAGAGAAUACAUUCCUGUAAAUGUAGCUAUUAUUAUGAGUAAUAGAAAACAGCUUACAGAUUAAGGUUUCUUCCUGGCAUUUAUUAAAACCUUCCUAUGUAGAGCAUUUGAAAUCUCUUGACUGAAGCAUAAGGGAAGGGUGAACAUUUCAGGAGUUUUCAGGUAAAGCUACCCUUUAGUUUGCUCACUGUUAUCCUGCUUUUCUACCGUCAAGUCAGCAUUCACCCUGUGAUCAAACAGAGUAAUUCCAGUCAUAGCCUGUCUGGAGGCAAAGUGAGUAGAUGGACCCUGCAGCAAAGCAUGUAAUCAGCAGGAACACGAUUGGCAGGCAAUUCCAAUGAGAGGAGAUGAAUGGCAAACAAUCGCCUCCCUGCGAGCGAAGAGAAAGCCAGGAGUCAAAUUGUCUCUCUGAAAGAAAAGAGCAGGAUACAAGAGUAAGGUGGGGAUUUGGUAUCAGGAGAGGCGUAUAAGUACCUGAACUCUCCACAGAGCUAAUCAGAACUAGAACAGGACCUGACCCGUGUAGUCUUGAACUGCUAAACCCCCUUGUGUUUUUUGUGUCACGCUCAAAGGUUUGGUAAAUCUUUUUUACAGCACUGACAGUCAUCAAUCUUCAACCUGGUUAUUCUUGGUGUUAUCUCUGAAACUGUGUAAAACAAAUAUCAUCAGUUUAAAAUGAUUCUUUCAGAUUAUUUUAUGGUAAACCAAUUAAACCAAAUCAACCAUCCAAAAACCCAUUAAAGUGUUCAUUUUAUAAAUAUACUAACGGGUUCUUACUCAUGACAAUCUGAAAGCUGCUAAUAUUUGUCUAUUUUGCUUCAUCAUUAAAAACUAUCCAUAGAUAUUUGAGUCAACUAGCGACAGUAGAAAGUUUUCAAGGGUAGGCUCUAAACUCCUCAUUGUUUUUUAGAUUAAACCUCCAUCGUGACUUCAAACUGCUGACUUAAAUUUGAGACUGUUGUCAUUCAUAAUUGGCGGCCAGUGUAAGAGGAACCUCAAACACUCCUAAAAGUGAAAGUCAGCACUUUAAACUCCUUUUAUUGUUUCAUUUCAAAUCCAACAUACACAGCCAAAGCCAUUUGUCACUGUCUAGAUACUUCCAGUAAAGUGUUCUGUGGAUGUAAUUGGCCUGAUCCGGCCGAGAUCAUCAUCACUGUAAUAAGGUAGCUGUAGCUGGCUUUGUGACUUUUAUUUUUAUUAUAAUGUUUGGGUUUAUUUCAGAGUUUGAAAUUUGGAGUCAUGAUUGUGAAACAUACCACUUAAUAUUACAAUUCUCUAAUAAGAAUCGCCUGAAUUAUUACAUACUGGAAGGACUGACAAAGUAUUUCAAUCUUGUAGAUUUAUUUUCAUGUCUAUUUUACUCUGUUUUGAUCGUUCCUGAUUUAGACAAGCUGACUGCCAGAUGGAAAGCAAAACAGGCGUGUCAUAUGGCAGUUAUGUUUCAUCAAUUUUACAACUUGUAUGAUGUGAUAAUUUAUCAUCUCUGUCACUGUCAAGGCAGUGAUUCCAAACAUGCUCCACAAUCAGGUUCUGCAAUUAAAAAACUACAAGUCUCUGAAACUUUUGAUAGACAGUACAUCUGCUCCAUGUACCUGAUCUUCUCUCUUCUUUGCUUUAUAACACAUGCUCUUCUAUAAUAGCCACUCAUCUCCAAGCAAAGUCCUUAAGCCACUGAAAAUGAGUUUACCUAACGCAUCCUCCAAGUCACAUAGAGCGUGUGAAGUCAUGUGGUGAAGUGCUUCGACUGUCACACUUUGCUGCAGCAGAUCACGCAUCACUGGAAGGACCGACUGUAUUCUGCAGUCAUUAUCAGGUGGUUUAACACCUAAUAUUUGGUGGCUAAAUUAAGAUCCUCCCAGCUACUGUGAACUGUUGACAAAAAAGUGAAGCUCCCUGCCCCUAAAGUAUCUAAACCUCAUUAAAGAACCAAAGCCACAAUGUGUCUUCCUUGCAGUUUUGUCCUUUUAUAGCUUCCCCUGUCCUUUUUUAAACUUGCCACUUCUCAAAGCAGAUGGGUUACACCCAAGGAUUGGCCUGCUGCUAUUCAUUCUCAUUCCCUUUUUUAGCACUUCUUUCCACUCUGGUUGUUCCUACAUUGGGGUAAUUACCAUCCAGCACUCUCCUGAAGGCUCCGGCUGUAAAAUUCAAUCAGCAACCAAGCAAGAUUUAACUCCCAAACUCCCAUAUGUUGGAGCAGUAAAGCCCUGUCCAUUGAUUUAACGGUAACAUCCUCUCUCUCCUUCGGCUGUAAGGAAACCGCUCUGGCUCUAGCUUUUAUGUGUGAUUCCAAAUAAUAUCGUAAAUAUAUGGACUUUGUUAGAGGAGGACUGUAGGGGGAUCUAAAGUAUAUGACUCUCUAAACAGAGCUUAUUGCAGACAGUAUUUCAGAUGUUGCUGUUAGACCAAACCACACCGAGCAUGAGAUUUAAUUGAAAUAUUUGGACUCCUCUUACUAGGGUUGAAACAAUAAUCAUGAUAAAAAAAACUCAUUAUGCAUGCACUAGUCAGUUUCUUUUAAUCUUACCUAACACUGGGUACAAGGCUGAAUUCAUCACACAGUCGCUAACAGCAACAUAAGGCUAAUUUAGAGACCAAAACCUUGCACUCAUCACUUAAAAGAGACAUAUCUAAUUUCCAGAGCCCCCUGGAAAGGCUAAUGGUUAUUCUGUUGUCUCCUUGCAGCAUGCUUUGUUGCAAGGAUUGAAACCCCAGCUAUCCAUUUGCUAAUGUCACAUCUCUUUUCUCUUGUUCGCUUUUCACUUUUCACUCUGGACACAAAAGGAAAUAAGAGACUCACAAAGGCUGCGGCGUCCUCUAAAAGGUCUUUUAUCAAUCUGUGUUAACUACCUGCCACGAGCUUAUUACUCAGGGCCAUAUGUGACUCAGCAAACCUAUUAGAAGUGAACAUUUAGCAUGCUAAAAAGCCCUCUGACGAACACUGUAAACCUGAACUCAAACUUUUGCUGCAGUUACAAAAGGAAGCUCUACUUCUCUUUUCUCCCGCUUUCUGAGUCCUUUCCCUUCUCUUAAUUAUUUUAGGUCAAUAUUGAUUAAAAAAAAGACUUGAGAAAGUCUGCUUUGCUCAUCUUUACUCUGGAAGGUCUUUAUUUUUUCAAGUUUACUUUUGGGCUUUAUUGAGAGACACAGUGGCGAGAAUAUGAAACAAGAGAGGGAGAGUGGGGAACAUGUGCAGCAAAGAUCCAGGGCUGGACUCAAACACUGCCCGCCUGCUUAAGGACUAUAACCUCUGCACAUGGAGUAUGGGAUUGAAGUGCUAAGCCAAUGCAUAACUUGUAGAAUAUGUGACCCACACCAAUCGAGGAACAGUUGCCAUCAUUGCCAUCUUUCCCAAAAGUGCGUUUGGGGUCAUCAGUGUAAGACUGUAUUUUGUGGGUCAAAUCUUUGCAUUUUCAUUACUGCACACAGAGUCUUGUAGGAGCUACAGGACAGCAGCUUAUCUGAAACACCUGCACUAUAUGAGGAGGAUCUGCAGUACCUAACAGCAUUGUUCAAUAAUGCAAUAUAUGCCUCAUCAGACCUUGUUUCUUUGCAGUAGUUGCAGUAAUUUACACUGUUCAUGUGCUUGUUAAUUUUUCAGACAGCCUUUUCCCCUCCUUUCCAAACCAAGUCUUAAAGCUUAGAUGACUCAGGCUUGUCUGGAGCCUUGAAGUUCUCAGUUUUGCUAAUAAAAUGUCUGUAAAGUCACUUUGACCACUUUUGAACCAGACAGUGAUGUUAAAACCUGCCCUGCUGAUGUCCACCCUGAUCAACCCCAUGUACGACGCUGUCAGCAGCUCAGCUUGUGUUUUAUCACAGAAUUUGAGUUGAAUACAGAGACUUACAGACAAAACACAAUACUUUGACAUAGUGCUGGGCGAUAUGGAAAAAAAUGUAUAUCAAGAUAUGGAUCAUUUUAUAUCACGAUAACGAUAUAUAUCACGAUAUAGCUAUGGUAUGCUUUCAGUUCUAUAAAAAAAUUUAAGUGUAUACAGCUGCACAAGUACCAGUACAAGACCAGCACUUAAAACUAGAAAAAUGAAUAAAUAAAUACGUGUCUGUGCUCACCCAAAGUUAUGCAACACUCACAGAAAACGCCGAUAGUGUGAGCCAAAGCACUCCAUAAUAAUAGUAAUAAUAAUAAUAAUAAUAAUAAUAAAUUUAAUUUGUAAUGCACUUUACAUUUACAAAAAAUCUCAAAGUGCUACAGUACACAGUAAAAAAAGAGCAGCAACAAUAAAAAAGCAAUAGAAUGACAGUCACAGAUUGGCAUAAAAAAAAGAAUUAAAAAAAUAAAAAAUAUAGAGUUGCAAUGUAAGAGGCAAGGUAGUAAAAGCAUAAAGCAUAGAGGAAAACUAACCAAAGGCUUUAUUAAAAAGGUAGGUCUUUAGGGCCCUUUUGAAGAGGUUGUUCACACUGCUAGAUGUUUCUCCUCCAAAGCUGCUCUCUGCCUCCAUCAUUGUUUACUUUACUCUUGAAGCACGUGGGAAGACCCGAGCAUGAAUCUGAGCGCUUUAUUCGCCUAUCAGGGGCAGACAGGUAAGGUGAUUUGAUUCGCCACGACUCCAGAAAUGAUUGAAAAACUACAGAAUGUCACAAAAUUACGUUUCCUCGCUGCUGGCUUGAAGGGUAGAGAUGCGCAGCCGCGCUCCCAGCUGACAGGAAGUCAAACCACUGUUGUAGUUCUUUUGUGUUGCUAGCGCGGUCAAGAGUGUUGGCUCUCACUGAGAGAUGACUAACAAAAAUGGACGCACCUGUUCAUCUGGUUGUUAAACACGGCUGAAAAUGAUCAUCUUUUAAUGUUGUUCCAGCUCCUGCCCAGUCCCGUUGCUUUUUUUCCCGUCCCGUCCCGAUCAAGGGAUUAAUUAAAAAAUGACUCCCAUCCCGUGUGAUUCCCGCGGGAAUCACGUGACCCACGGGAAUUCCCGAAAAAUGCCAUCCUCUACAGGGAAGGUCCCGGAGCAGAUGAAACAGGUGCCGGAGCGGCUGAAAUAGGUCCCGGAUCCGAUCAAAAGAGGUCCCGGAUCGCGCUCCGACUUGCUCCGGCACAAAUUAAGCACUGCUUACAAUGAUCCCCUCACGUGUGUAACCCAGGUAACCCGCAACGGCGGGAGACGCUGGACACGAAGAGGGCACGUAAAGCGGCGUCAUGUCGCAAAAUCGAAAGAGAAAUGCGAGCCUACAUGUCAACGCAUCCUUUUCUUUGUAAGAAAAUAUUGUUUUCUUUCCCGUUCGACACCAAAUACACUUACUGAAUGUGCAAUUAUUGUUGUUGUUACUAUGAAUCAUCUGAUGGCACAAGCCCUAUGGAUAAAAUACAGCCUAUCGCCCGAAACGAUAAAAAGAAAAAUGGCACGAUAGACAUUUUCUAUCGUGCCCACGAUAUCUAUCGUCCUAUCGCCCAGCACUACUUUGACAACUAUUUUUGUUCAUAAGAUAAAAAAGAAGACAUAAAAUCGUAAAAUAUUUGGAUUGAUCAGCCUAAUCAUACUAGUGACACAUUUUCAAGUCUUUUGCUAUAGAAGCUUCUUUAACAUCUUUAAUAUUGUUCUUAUAAAACAUGCCACUGAAAGCUAUCAAUGAAUGUGUUUGAGCCAAUCAUUUCACCCAACACUGUUUCAACAAAUGUCAGUAUCAAGCUGGAUUUGAUUCAAAACAGAUGCCAUAAAAGGAUCCUCAACCAUUGUGUGUAAAAACCGACAACAGUAGAGCUGUGAUUGGUUGGUGUCCCCACUUUGUAAUACUUCAGAGAAGGAACAUUUUCUGGAGAGCUCGCCAUGUUAAGUUGCACAGCUCUGAACCUUCCUCCUCAGACAACAUUCAGACAGCUAAUCAAUGCAGGACCUCAUCCUUGCCCACUCAUUUCACAAAUAGAUGUUGAGGUUAAAAACUGAGAGGCUGCAGACCUUCCAUGGAGACUCUAUUUGUGAUCAUUUCAAAGCCUUGCUUAAAACACCUGAGACAUGUUUUGAACAGCUGAAAAUAUAAAUGAACUGAAACACAAUUUUCCCUUGAGCAUAAACAGGCCCUUUUAAUGUAGAGCUGUUAAAAAAAUAUAUUUUAUAUAUUUAUUAUAUAAGAUAUUUAAUAUAUCUUAAUCGCAUGAAAGUCCAUAGUUAAUCGCGAUUAAUCUCAAAUUAACCAAGCAUUUUUAAAUCUGUGAUUGUUGUAACUUAAAAGGGACAAAGAUCAUAUAUUUCCCAUCCAAAUGAAAGUGGACUGCUUUAUGUAAAUGUGUUAUUAAUACUAUUAAUGCAACAAUCCAACACGAUGACAAAUACUGUCCAGAAAAAAGCUGAUUUAGUGUUGAUAGUUAAGACAAAAUGAACCAAACUCCAUAUUUUGUGUACAAAAAUGUUUGUCUCACACCAUUUGACAAUCUCUGGCACUUGUUAAAAUUGUUGGUUAAAAAAUCUGAAUCAAUACAGAAUUUAAAACACCGCAUAUAUUUCUCUACAGGACAUGAUUUAGUUCUACUUUCAGCCAUGAUACCUCUCAUUCUGAUUGAAUCUUUUAGCCUCAGUUGGAAGCUGUAUUUGGCUCUUGGCCUCAGUUAUUACACAGAUGUUUGAUACCUGCAGCCAAAUGCUCUCCUCACAGCUCACUCUGGUGUAACUGAUAACAUUAAUUGUAGCUGCACCCCCCGUUUACUGUAGGUGUGUUUGUGCCUCUGCAUUAGCAGUCUGCGCGCUGGCUGACUGGCAAGAUUCCUGAAUGUUUCAGAGCUAUCAUUAAUGUUAUCACUUAACACCUGUGCUUUUCCCGUGAUGGCAAGUUAAAUAUCCGAUGAGCUAACAUCUGUUUGACUGUGAAACGCACGGAUAUGACAGCGAGACAUACCCUAUAUACAUCUGACAAACUCGCAACUCUAUUUCUUUCCUCAUCUCUAUUUCCCACUGCGUUUGAGAUUUUAGACUCCGCUUGCAGCAGUCUAGAUUUUAAGAAUAAUUUUUAGUACUUUAACUGACCACGUGGGAUCAGACUGGAAAGCUGUAUUUGUGAACUGUGCUAAUGUUAAGCACCAUAAUUACACUCCUCAAAGGCACUGACUCCUGCUUUGAACUGUGUCCCACUCUAACAAACGCUCACUUAACCCAGUGGAGAAUUUCAGGUCAGCUCACAUUAACAGCUCUAUAGAGCACAAACCAUAAAUUUAAAUUGAGUCAUUUUUCUCUGUCAGAGUAAGCUCACAAGAACACUCGUUCCCAGGAGGCUUGACGUUGACUGCCAGAAACACUUGAGCUGAACUUAAACCAAACACUGUGUUUGGAUAAAUAUGGGACGCUCUGGGGCAGGAGAUAAGCGUGUAGAUUUGUUUUAACCUGAAUUUCAACCGGUAUCAAACAAUUUUCAGAAGAUUACAUCCCCUUUAAGACACGAGGUGAAAUUACAAUCAUCUUUCCCCAAAAGUCUUCCCCCUUCGCCAAAAACCUCCCGCACUUUAAAGGAGCUUUGGAAAGAAUCUCAGAUGAUGCAAGUGAAGACCAAGGCAAUGAAAUCAGCCAUCACGCCGCUCGAUCCUUCAGCAUCCUAAAAAUCUGCGAACACUUCAUGAUGACAUCACUUUGAUCUUUAAUUAGUACAUCUGAUCUGGACAGGGCUAAAAAUCUCACUUAACAAUAUCCACAAGGUCUCAUGGGCUCCCCUACGCAGACACGCCUUCACAUACCUACGACCAUGCAGGGCAGUGUGGUCCUUUUCCAUGCAAAGAAUGAGUCUAUAACGACCCAGCUAUAGGUCAGUCAAGUUGGAAUAUAUAUUUACUUCUUUAAAUAUCAUAAACAGCUGAAAUGCAACAUAGAAACAUGCAAGUUUAACUAGAAAGCAUAAAUAACGCAAUCCUAUUUUGCAUUCGCUUUGCACACACCCUGCAGUGUUUCCCACCAUGAGUCAUUUUAAUGAAAAGAACUCCCAGAAGUCAUCUGUAGUUACAAGGUAAAAGGUGUAAAUCACCCCCGCUAAUAGCUGUCAAAGGAUGGGUCUGCGAGCGUGAAAACAUAAACUGUAAAACAUCAAAUAAAAGCUGGUUUCAUCUUAACGCAGGGUCUUAUUAUUAUUUUUUUACUAGCUCAGUGUGGCUGUUUGUAUCGACUAAUAAAUGCGUCCACCAGAAGUCCCAAUUUGUUCAUCUUCCGGUCCGUGCAGUGAGCAGCCUCCUUAUUUUUGCUUCCUCUUAAACGUCACAUUUACAUUUACUGGUAGCCAUGGCAAUAUUGAAAAAAAUAAAAGAAACAAAAUGCUGUAAGGUUGUCAAGAACUGGAUUAUGAACAGAAACAUGUCCACUUUCACUACGACAGUUAGCAACUUUCCCAAUUUCAGCUCAUUACUACUGGGUCGUCUACUGCAAGUGGUGAAUAGGACGUACAUCGAAUGAUAAAAACAUUGUCCCUUUUACUGUUCUGUAACUUUGUGUGUGUUUGUUUUGAUUGGACAAUCUCAUCUUUUUAAAGGUAAAUGGUCUCCGCCUUUUUUGUUUUACCAUCUUUAUUGUUCAAAAGUUCUUGAAGUUUAUGUAUAAAAAAUUCAUAAAUAGCCUGUCUCACUUAAAUCUUGCCUUUAGUAAAGACGUGGUGAAAUUAUUGAGAAAAACAUUUAAAGGCUGGGCUACAAAUCAAAGCUUAAUGAUGACUAAAUUUGAAAAUAAUUAAAGUGAGACACAGUCAAGAGACACUAAUUAAAAUAAAAUGAAGCGUAAUAGUUUCUUUUACAGAGAGUUAGAUGAAUCAGUCGGAGUAAUUACAAAUAUUCCUUCUCCUGAGUUAUAAAUGUAAUCUUCACAUAUCUUCACUGAUAGCUUUAAUCACAGUAACAGAAAAUACGAUCAAUGUGAAUUUUUCUCUGUAAGCUUUUUCCUAACUUGACUUAAAAGUAUCAGCAACAUUAACUUAAUUAAAAGUUACAAGUUUGCAGAAACCAUAAAAAGCCAUAAAAACACGACUGAAAGUUGUUUUUCUGUCCUUUAGAAAUUAUUUUACGAUCCAUUAAAAUGUUUACUCCACCCACCAGAUUUUCUAAAAGCUCUAUUAAAUCUCUCAAGGCUGUACGCAAAUCAUUGAAAAAUUAAAUGUUUUAAUUAAAUAUUCAUUAGUGCAUGAAAACAUUUGGUGUACUUAUAUUUUUGCUGCAGGAUUACAUUGCUCUUUUGUGUUGUGUGUCGUGUCUCGCUCAGUCCAUCAGGAGUUCAAACAUGUCGCUCAAAAGUGAUGUUUGCAGGGAAGUUUGCAACACCUACUGCUCUGUCUGAAACAGAAAACAACAGAGUCAGAAAGGGCAAAACUUUUAUCAUAUUUCAGUCUUUCUGUCUCAAACUUUUUAUUUUAGUCUAACUUUAAUCAGUUUUAGCCAAAACUUUCUAGGCAGAAAGAUUAAAGAAAAACUACCUCACUGUCUUUGUUCGUCUUCUUGUUUAUGGACAACGUGUGACGUCGAAUCACAGAGAAAGACAGAGUUUUUGUCUUUGCUGAAGUAUCUCUUACUUAAAAAUAUAUAUCCGAACAUUACAACAUGAAAGUCAGUCAGUUUAUGAAGCAACAUGCUGCUCUACCCUAGUGUUGCCUUUCUCCAAUAUGACGUCUAGUGCUGAUUUUUUGUUUUCUAAAUUUUCCACAAGUAUGAAGUCAUUAUAGAUAAAAUGUUCUUUGGCUGUGAUUCUUAAGCAUGAAAUACAAAUAAAAGUUAGUUUUAUUGUGUUUCAGGUUCUUUAAGUCACCAUAAGAGUUUGUUUCCAGAAGAUGGAUUUAGAGCUUCUGAAUAUGUGUACGACAGUAAGAAUUGACACAUGAUUCGAACCCAGUGGUCUCCUGUAGUUAAGACAUCAUAAAAUGGACUGAACUCAUUCCCCUCUGUCAGGAAAAUCAUUUCUUUUGUCAUGUUAAAGUUUUACCUGAUGGGUGACUCAUUUGUAAAACUUGUGUUGCGCCUGCUUUCUGUCCGCAGCUGAUGGACACUUGGCUUAAGCUUUUUAUGUGUGCUAUUAUGAGUUUUACUCACACAAAGAGAACAAAACAGCUCACUGUGUGAACAAUAAGCUAAAGAAAUGAAUAUAAGGAGACAUGAAGUAAAGGUUAAUGAAGGUGUUACAGAUGUGCUGUUGUCUCAGCGCGCCCUCGAAGUAUAGAGAGAGCAUUGAGUUCAACAGAUAGAUUAACUAUGCGAGCUCAAAGAAACAGUCUGUACGGAGACCUCCAGGCAAGUCCAUCGACUGCAGCAGGGGGACCCAGCUCAAGGAAGAACAUUUAAGAUCAUUACUUUAUCAUUUCCUUGAAGUAAUAAUCAUCAUAUUAAUAAUUUAGCACUGCAUACCCGGUAGUUCUUCCGCCUUAGCGUCUCGGCCUGAUUGCAUUUCCAUGAAGUAAUAAUCCUAAAUGUUCUUCCUUGAGCUGCGAAACCCCACUGCAGUCGAUGGACUCGCCUGGAGGUCUCCGUACAAACAAGCGGCUGCUGAAAGAGAGGGGGUGAGUUGUGUUUAGUCUCUCUGCUAAAGAAAUCAGGCAAAGCUAAAAGGAUGUUUGGUGGCUAGUGCUGUGGCUGGGACCCUAUAUGCACUGUUGAUGAAGUUAGGUGCUGUUCUGAGCAUCAUUUGUGGCUAUAGAGUGGCUUACUAGAGAAGCAAGCGGUCGGCAACAUUCAUCUCUCAAGGGGGUGUCGAACUCUGUGUUACGGUGUGUUUGACCCUAACUCAAUUUUACACCGGAAUAUCCCUUUAAGUGCAUGCUGCAUGUCAGCCUCCAAUCUUGAGAAAUGAAGUUGAAGUAGAAGUGCUACGAUCUGCAGGUCCUGCUUGAGACCAGCUGCACAAGCACUGAAAACCACGUGCACAUGAGAGGAAAAAUAAACACCUUUUCAGGCGGGUUCAAAUAAAACAAAAUGGUUUCAAACAAAAUCCUCUUUAAACCAAUACACUCUAAUCCCAAAAAGAGGGAUACUUUAUAUCUGUAAAUAAUCGGGGCUAAUAACAUUUCAUCCCAUUAUUCUUGUCAGAGGAGGUCCUUGUCAUGCGGUUUGACAUCAUCUGUGUUGUAAGUUAAGAGUAAUUACACUGCAUUAUCUGUUUCACAUCUUAAUCUGUUACGGUGCAUUAGAGGAAUCUGUGUUGCUCUUCACAUUGAUAAUCGCUGUAUCGAGGGCUUCAAUGAGAGUGGAAACAAAACUGAGAGCUUUUAAAACUGCAAACAAGCUCUAUCUCGUUUCAGACGUCUGUAACUCAACCUUUAGUGAGCUAAAUGGAGAUUCUUCAAACUUGCCUCGCUGAAAAUACACAAAAGAGAGGGGAUUUAAACAUCUGCUGAACACUGAGGACUAAAUGUGCUCAUAUUACAUAAGGCUGCUUUCCAAGGAUUUAUAACCCCAUCAGGUUAAAAACAUUUUUUAGAAGUAGUCUGUAAAUGGUUCAUUUCCAAGUUGAACAUAAAAACAAGUACUCAAACACACAGUGGAGAUGCUCACACUGCAUCUGUUCCUGUUGGAAAAUAACACAGCUGUGAUAAGAGGCUAUAACCCAAAGUGAUAUCAUACGUAUAUUUUACCAUAGCACUAGAACACCAUUAGCAACCCAUACUGUACUGUCAUUUUGCACACACACUGUGGUUUUAGAUUCAGGCUGAUUGCUGCAUAAUAACCCUCUCCCCAGAUCCAAAUUAGCCAAUGUGCAUUAGCAGGUAAUUGUCACUGCAGCGGGGUGUUGCACUCACAGGCUGAAGACCUCAUAAAAAAUCUGGCAGCAGCAGUGCCAGGAACCAGAUAUUAGUCCCCUGCCAGCAGCAACAGGGUACAAAUGGUCCUCGGCACAAAAGGCUCCGUGUGGCCGAGUCUCCCUCAGAGGUGAAGAUCUCCCAGAGUAAACUUGACACCAUGGGAGAUUUUUUAAUGAUCUCCAGCUCCAGCCUUAUUGUGUUUGUUAGAUUUAUGUCUGGCUCAAGGAGAGGAGUGAAACCUCAUAUUUGUUGUAGGAAGUCAACAAAUAAACUAAGUCUGCCCUCUCCACAAGGCUGAUGCUGUUUGUUGAUGCGGCUUCAGAAAUGUGACAUUCAACCCGAGAGUGUCUUUCAAGACGAAAUGCAUUUAUUCGUCCCCUGAGUAUUUCCAGGCCUGUCCUGUCAUUGUUGCAGUACAAAGUACCUGAUUUCACAGCAGCUGUUUUAUGACAUUAAGAUGCAUGUUUGAAGCUUUGAGUGUAAAAUGUAACACAUCCACUGUGAACGAAGGGGACAAACACUCCAAUAGACCCAUGUAUGGGCUGACUGAGCUGUUUGUCCUCUGGAUUCACUGGAGGAAGGUGUCUGAGAAGAUUGUUAAUGCAAAAUAGAAAGGCAGAAAAACAUCAUUUAAAAAACACAUCAGGGUUUGGAAUCAUUGACUGACUCACGAUCCAGUCCGAUCCGAUCCGAUGUGAUACGAUCAUAGACUGUAUAUAGAAUAGACAGCGUCUGCCUUCUUGCUGGGUGAAGCCACUCCGAGAACAGCACCCUCUGGUGACAGGCUGCAGUAUAGGUCAUAAAUCCCGCCACCGCCAGCAAAGCUUAUAGAGCUGUGGACAAACUUUAGAAAUUUAUGACACAGAAUAUAAAAUGUUCUACCCCCUGCUUGUGAUGUUGACAUGUAGUUACAGUAAGACUGGUUUCUGCUCAAGUCCUCUUUUUUUCUGUACAGCUCCAUUUUUAAAAGUUAUUAGGGGGUUCAUGUUUUCUAUGACUGACACCUGAUACAGCCUAUUGGCGUUAAGGGAUUGAGUAGCUCACCCAGGGGAUACACCGUUUGAGCCGAGCGUCAUCACAGCGACUCUUGGUGACUCUCCCGCCGAAUGCGUACAACGCUACUGCGCAAUAUUGGUUUCAGGAAAUGAAGAAAAAUCGCAGAAAUACCGAGAGCUUUUUGGCUUUAAAUCUUUAUACAGGCAGGAGGCGGAACCAAGUUUUCCAUAGUAUAUACAGUCUAUGGAUACGAUAUGAUCCGAUACGAUACAAUAAGAUGUGAUGUGAUCUGAUAUGAUAUAUAAUACAAUUCGAUAUGAUUUGAGGAGAUACGAUAUGAUAUGAUACAAUACGAUACGAUUCGUUAGGAUAUAAUAUGAUUCGAUAAGAUAUUAUACAAUACGAUUCAUAACACUUGGACAGUGGAACACCAUGUUGGGGUUUUAAAUCCCUGACUGACCCAAGAUAAAUAUCUAAUGAUUAGAUACUUUAUGACAUGAUACAAUAAGAUAAGAUACAACACAGUAUGAUACAAUAUAAUUCACUAAGAUACAGUUUGAUACGAUAAGAUACAUGAUACUUGGACAGUUGAUAUCAAGAUCUAAUUGUAAUCAGUAAGAGGUAAAACAGUCGUAGAAAAUAAAAUUACCAGAUAAAUAGAAAAAUACAAAAGGCCCCCAAAAGGUAACAGGCUUGUUUUUCCAUUAAUCUGCCUGAUUGUUAGUGUAUCAGCACAGUCAGAUUAGCUGUGCUGAAGUGUAUGUUCUCCGGCCAAGUAUAAUUGCCAACCUUUUACACAUUUUCUUUGUGUUAUUAUUCCCUGGCUUCCCUGUCUAUGAUCAAUAAGAAAGUGCGUUCUCACUUUGAAACAUAUGCAUCUCAAGUAGGGUUUCUAUUGCCAUUAUUAAGUCUUGUUCAAUGUAAUGACUUCAGACCCCAGACCUUUCUGUGAGUACAAACAGUGAAAGAACUCUCAGAUGGGAUUAACCAGCAUGUUUAACUUAAAAGAAAGAAAUAUUGUGAAUUCAUUGUAUGUAUAUACUCAUGAAAUAUUUAUCCCCACAACUUCAGUCAGCAUUGUAAGUAUACUUGCAUUGUGUCAGACCAGGAUGGCCAUAUAUUGUUGUACCGUUACACUAUAAAGCCAGGAAAUGCUUCCUUCACUGUGUAUAGGCUCUACAAUAUUAUCCAAAUGGGUGAAGGAAACUCUCCAUGUUACAUUUGUCUUAUAUUUUCCUAAACACAAUUUCAGCUUCUGUGCUGGUAGCAAAUGACUCUGAUAAGAAUAUGAGGUGAAGGGGACAUCUGACUUUGCGAUGCCUCUUGGAGACGAGUGCCCAAACGCAUCAGUUUCAGAGCCUCAGAGGUUGGUUGGAGUUCAUGAACACAGCAGACGAUUGGCAGACUGACUCAACCCAAGGCAUCUAAAAGGACAGGCGAUUGUUUUCAGCCAAGGAAAAAAGGAUAAAUUAUCACAACUAGACAUUAAGUAUUGUAUUUUACCUUCAAGAUGCUUUGUAAAAAGCCUCCAGAGAACACAGUGUUAUUCAAGGGUAGGUUGGGAUUGGCCUUAGAGAGGAAAGAGUGCACUACACAGCCUCAUGACAGAGUCUGCAAUACAGCAAAAAAGGAAGAUUCUAGCAAUUGUGCUCCAUGGGUAAUAAACAUACAGUAAUCUGAUAUCUUUAUAGCAACAACUAUCUCAUAAAGUUAACAUUUUGUGCUACAUUACAAAAAAAAGUGAGUUUGGUGACAAUCUGUGCUUUGAAAUAUGACCGUACAAGUUGGAAAAGGAUUGUAAUGAUUAGCCAGAUUUUUCAAACGCUUUAAGAUUAAAUGAAUGCACCACAGACUGUGAGAAUUUGUUAUCACUGUAAGAAAGUACAUUGCAGUUUCCUGGAGGGACUGAUUUGGAUGGCUGCAUGAGCUGAGCAAUGCCCACAAGCAUCCCCCUGUUUGCAGAGUACAGUAAGAACAAAUACCUUGAACACUAUACCCAUGUGGGUGUAAGGUAGUUUUUUUUUUUGGUCUGGGAGCAUUGUAUAUAAAAUAAAUGGUGCAUGAAGAAAAGGAAAAACAGGGAGAGUGUUUGCUUUUUUUUAUAGCUCUAAAAGAAAAGUGGUGCCCUAUAGUUUUGCAGUUGCAUUAAACAAAGUUGGAGGCAAAGGCAGCAGUCUUUUUCUGCGGCAGUGGUCCCAGAGGGGCUGUGCACAGAGUGAGGAGCUGUGAAUAAGGUGAGAGUACAGCCUUUUUUACUGUCACAGAGAACAACUACUGUAACUAAGUUCACCUGAAGGGUAGUGGAGGAUGGCAGAGGUGGAACAUCUCAUCUGGGCAGGGAGGGAAUUAAUACUGCAGGUACUAUCACAGCUGUUCUAUCUUGAAUUUGAUGUAUAAUAUAAAAGGCACAAGGGUUUGAAUACAUGUUAAGAUAGAGCUCCAGCGGUAAGGCCAUUAAUCAGAGGCUCUCACUGUAAACGUAUCGCUUUUGCUCCAAGGGUUCAACCACAUGGAGCAACCUUUUGUUUUCAGUGUGUUUCGUCGCAGGUGUUUCGUGUCCUGAACGACAAAUCCAAGAACCUCCCGUCAUUAUCACUCUCUAUAACCAUCACUGAGAAUUUUCCUGUAUCAUAGCAGGAAUCUUUGCAUCUUUGUCACCUUUAUAGAGAACAACUAAAUUUCUGAAGUUAUAUUUUUAGGGCAUUUCUUUUCUGUAUUAGAUAUGACAGUGGAGGAAAGAAUUCAACUGCGGGACAAAGAUGAAGGUAACGCCAGUGAUGAAUGAGAAGUAUGAUCUUCCAAAUUCUUAUCAUCAAAAAAGUGUCAUUGCAAAUUUUGUGUGCACAACUACAGCCCAUAAACUGUAUAUAGAAUGGACGCCAUCUGCCUUCUCGCUGGGUGAAGCCACCUGAAGAACAGCACCCUCUGUUGGUGGGCUGCAGUACAGGUCAUAAAUCCCAUCUCCUUCAGCAAUCCCCUAUAGGGCUGCGGACAAACUGUAGAAAUAUGUUACACAAAUAUUUCUCCCCCCUGCUUGCGAUGUUGACAUGUAGUUAUUGUAAGACUAAGGUAAGGAUAUUAGGGGGUUCAUGUUUUCUGUGAUUGACACCUGAUACAGCCUAUUGGCGUUAAGGGAUUGUGUAGCUCACCCACGGGAUACGCUGUUUGAGCCGAGCGUCAUCAUAGCGACUCUCUGCGACUCUCCCGCCAAAUGUGUACAACACUACUGCAUAAUGUUGGUUUCAGGAAAUGAACAAAAAUUGCGUAAAUACAGAGAGCCUUUUGGCUUCAAAUCCGUAUAAUGGCGGGAGGCGGAACCAAGUUGUCCAUAGUUUAUACGGUCUCUGCUGCAGCCACUUUUCCCCCCCGUUUUUCCAGCCAGUGCAUUUUCAGUGGCUGCUCACUUAAUACUGAAAUGUGCUUGUUGUAAAGUUUGUCCAUUCUGUGCUACAGUAGAAACAUAGGGGUGCAUGAUGGUGACCUCUGUGGUAGGGGUCCUGCUCAUAAGUAGAUAAAAAGUUCAUUUUUAGUGGUUAAAUCAGGCGAUAUAGGCGGUCGCCUAGGGCGCCAUCUGCUGCAGGUGCGCCGCCAGGCACUGUUGGCCUCAAGGAAAAAUAAAUAAAUCAAUAAAAACAAUAAAAAUAAGAGUAAUUUUCUUUGCCCAGUUGGCCUCCUUUUUGUGUUCUCUCUUGAUAAUGUUAUAUCAAUAUGUUAUUUGAUAUAUUAAAUGAAUAAACAAUGAUGGAAUGUGGUGCUGCUGAUCACAUGACGGUGUGCACCUCAGGGCUCAAGGGAUCAGAGGUCAAGUCACAGACAGGUGACGGUUUCUUUUGGCUGCUCUCAUUACUUUAACGUUUGCUGUUGUUAAAAUUAAACUGUAUGGGAUUGUUCAUUUGGCUGAUGUGCCGUGGUGGUGGUGGGGCUCCUGAGAGUAAUCUUGCCUAGGGCACUAAUUUAGGUAGAGCUGGCCCUGGAUUAAAUACAGUGUCGAUGUUCAGGUGAUUAUACACUAAGCUAAACACAGAUGCUAUUUUCUGUUUCUUUACUUUCAGUUCUGCUAAAUACCACUGAAUGUCACCCAUUGUACCUUUAAGUCAAAAUUGUUCUAAUUCUAAAGGGAAAUUUUCAUUUUCAUUUUCAGAGCAAACUGCUUUCCUUGAGUUUCAAACAAUUUCCUCUGAGCCAUAAAUUUUGUCGAAGUGAAAAAUGAGUUUAGCAAAUCAAAUUUGCCUUCAAGGUUAACUAAUAAAAUCCCUGUCCCAAACUUGCGUCAUAUCGUCAUAAAUGCUGCAGUGAACGUUUUUCAUGGUGAUUCAGAGGCACAGAGGCGAGCUCCAGUCCUGCCAUACCCGCCACUACCCACCGUAUUUGUUCCUGUUUUGGGAAACCAUUAAAAAAAAGAGCGGGGAAAACAACUCAUGCAAGUCAAAUAAUUCCUCCAUGCAGCCACCACCUUUCCAUAAUGAUCACGUUUUUUUGGUAUAAACCCUUGGUUUCACCGCAUGCCACAACCAUCCAUAACUGUAAGUUAUUGUAAUCUUCCCACUAUUCAUUAAAAUACGAGGGCAGAAAAGCGUGCACGGAAAUGGGCAUUUGACAGAUUUAAUGAGACUGGCUGCGAACAAUGAGCCGUUGGGGUCUCUGGCAGGGCGAUUCAUACUUACUCAAUUUAAUGGGGAAUUAAAUUCAACUGAGGGACUAAGGUAUUAGUGAGAGUUUGUGACUCCCACAUCCCUUCACACUCGGAUAAAAAUCUGUAAAUGAAAUGGCGAGAAAGAUUGGAAGUUGGACAAAGGAAAAAAAGCUCCUCUUUAAAGUUGUUAAGACUGUUUUUAUUGUAACUAUAAUAAGAAAUCCAUUAUGCCGAUGUGAUUAUGUUGCAGUCAUGAGGUGUGCCGCAGCUGGAUUCAGUAUUAAAGGAGGAGCAGGAGGUGUGAGGGGCGUCUUAAUUACAAUCUAUAAAGAAAGGCUCCACAGACAAGCCUUUCAUUAAAUGUUAAUUAGUUGUCAUACAUCUGCUCAAGGUCAUCAUGAAAAAAAAUAUUUGAUAUAACAAUAGAGAUCCUUGUGCGAGAUGGACUAAUUUUGCGUGUCUGAUCCUUACGUCUUUCGUAUAUCUUAAUUACUGCACAAAUUAGGCUUUCAUUAAAGUGUCAGCCUGGCAGUCAGCAGUGAUGAAGCUCACUCUCCUCCACACACUUUGGGUUACAGCUGAUUAUGUGUGUGUAGACGUCAUUAGUCUCUCAGACUAGACUCAGAGCCGGUUAUUUGAAAAUGUCAGUCUUUACUCUUGUAGUUUAGUUCAAUCAUGCUUUGUCUGUAAGUCUAAAAAAAAACCUCCACUUAAUGUAAGUUUUGUUCACAUCGGUGCAGUUUGUCAAAUGUGACAAAGUUCAAAGUAAUUAAAGAAAAAAAGCUGCUUUUUCAAGAGAUGUUUGGAUUAGUUAGGCUUGCAAAGUCUGAACAUAUUGAAGUAAAUGAGGGAAAUUAUUCUUUGAAAACAGGUAUUUCUUACUCUUGCAGCAUGUGCAUCUCUUGCCUGGAGGAAUGGGUAUAAUGGUCAUGUGUUCAUACCUUUUGGGUGCAGUCAGGUGAAGCUCAAACUAGAUGUCAGUUUCUCAGAUUAAAUAAACCAGAUAGAGGAGAAGCAUUUUACAUUUAGGAAGGACAUAUACAGAAUAUGAAUGUAACACAUAAAGAACAGAAAAUAGACACAGGAAUUGGGAGAUCAUUUGCCAGUAGUGCUGUAAGUAGACCAGUUUGCUCUGAAACACAGUACUGCCACUUCUAAUUGAACUCUUUUAGGGUACUGGGACUUUUUGGCGUACUAGAGCCUCUCACCUGCAGCCAGUACCCAGGUGUCAAAUGACUCGUCUGUUUCUACUAGAGAAGAUUGCAACCUUACAGUGUUGUAAACACAAGGAAACUCUGAGCAAAUACUGCAACAUUCAGGAUAAUGACAUGGUGAUAGUAAUGAAAAACAGAAGUUAAUAUAAGAGAAAACCACUCUCAGUCAAAUGGGCAGAGGAACAUAUUUGUUAUCUGAUCAAUGUUCUGGCAGUGACGUGUGUUGUGUCUGCAGAUAGUGCAAAAACAAAUGGACUGUCUGAGGACAAAGUGCUGAAAAAACUUGAUGUUGAGUGCGCUCUUAAAACGUGAAGAGUGCGGUGGUUUGGAUCUCUCAAAUUAAGCUAAAUUACGAGGCAGUGGUGACCCUGUCUGCAGAGAGCUGUUAGCCUGCUGGUCCUCCCGACAGUUUCUCAGUGAACAGGCAGAACUAACCGGCAUCUAUCGUGGCUGAUACACCGACAUAUCAAAACAGCUGGCAAAGUGCAUUGGCAAGAGGCUAAAGGAACAUCACUUUUACAGCUCUGUGCCAUUUGUUUGGAAAGUUUCUUCUUUUUUAUGUCAUUUUUUCAUCAGAUCAGGUUUUGUUUACAACCUAGCUUCUUAGCAGUGCAUCAGUACUGUUCAAUCAUGAACACUUACGCUAGUGUCAGUGCGAUUGAGUCGUGUACAUGACAGAGAAAAUUUAAGUUAAACUAAUGCAAUAACUUGAUUUUACUGAGUGUUUGUCAUACUUCAGAUCAAUGCAGUAUUAAAAAUGCAAACAAAAGAUCGUGUUUUCAUGUGUGUAUUGAAAAUAGCAUUGUGUCUCUGUAUCCUUACAUUGAUGCUCUCAUGGUGUAUCCUUCUCCACAGAGCUGCCGUGUUGCAUCGCCAUGUUUCUGCAGUAAACUGUAGUACAGGCUUGUCGCCUCUAUCAGGCGAUUUAUAACCACUGCAUAUCCUGCGACAUGCUCUGAGGAGGAAGUUUAAGUGAGCAGUUUUCAGCUCAAAUGCAGAAGUUAACCUCAAAUUAGCAGUAAAUCUUACUCGCUGCUCCUUUAACCUGCAGUAGGCGAGACUUUUAGCUGAGUUCAGUCACUCUGAUCAACAAACAACAGAUUAAUUACCAGGAAAUACAUGAUUAUGUUAUAUUAAAACCAGAGGGAGACACAUGGUCCUUUUAAAAGAUUGUCACAAACCAUCAUUCAUGAAACUAUAUCAACACCAUGAUUGACUGAAGAUAUGACCAAGGAUGUAAUCAGAGUUCUUUACAGUCUCAGGCAUCUUAAUCUCCAGUUCUUACUCCAGAUACAGUCAGAGACUGGGCUCAAUCUGACAAACACAGGGGGUCCACACAAGGUGGCAGGUUUGUAGGCUGCAGGGGGUCGAGAUGGAUUUCUGAGGUAAUUAAUGAUGACAUUCUUCAAAGACUGUAGUCAGCAUCAAAGACCCUCGCUUCAGGAGCUGCUGAUUUCCCAGGAAAAAGGUUAGAAAAGACCCCAGAAGACUGCAGGCAGCAGCUCCCUUUACUCCUCUCUGUAGGGAAGCAGGCAGCUGACAACUUGCUGACACUGUACAUUAUCACAAUGUUACUGUCAUCGGGGUAACAUUAAAGUGUAGAGUGAAUUAAGAGAGAUAUCAGAUAUUUGAGGCUGGUUCUCCUUUUGUCAAAGCCGUGUGGAGGAAAUUAAGCAGCGCAUCAGUGGAGAGGCUUUUUGCAGAAAAACAAAAACUCAGAAUGAUUUAUUUAGAGAGGAUCCUGAACUCCUGACAUAGAAAAUGACAGAACUUGUUCAACCUAGAAUUUCUAACAUCAUGAUUUAAAACACACAGAGCAUCUAAAACAUCUCCUAUAUUUAUGAAACGUUCGAACACAAAAGCUGUAGAGGUUUGUAAUGACUGAAAUGUCCUCUUAACACUCUGUUUACUCAUUACUCAGACUUACAUAAUGAAGAAGAGAAAAAUGUCACUGAAUGUCAUUUGGAAUAGGAAAGUCUCCCUCUGGAUGUGAAGUUUGAGUAUUUUUACAGAAAACAAGUGAACAUGAGUAUCUCUCGAGACCAGGGCCUUUGUUUGGUGUAAAUUUUUUAUUGUUUGUCAGCUAUUUGGGAUGAGGAGGAGCUGCUAAGUAUAAAAAGGAAGCAAAACCUUUGGCUAACUGGUACCUUCAGACAAAAAAAUGGUCCUAAUGUAAGAAAUUUGUAUUCUAUAUACCAUAAAUUAGUCAUACUAUACAAUUGAUAUGUCAGUUCAUACCAUAAAUGUAAUUUGUCUGCAUUCCUGUAAUUAUUCUUUUAUUAUACUGCACAUUCAUUGGGACAGGAGCCGUGAGAUGACAGUUCAAGACUAGAAUGGGAUGCAUCUUGAGAAUUGAGCAGGUAAUCAUAGUGGGCGGAGAAGGUGUGAUCCAAAUUACUGUUUAAUAUGGCGGUACAUUGUUGUUUUUACAAGAUCAGCUAAAAAAAAUCAAAUAGAAAAAAUGGUAUGAUGUAUCUACCUACUGUAAAAUCCACUCACUCUGUGAGACUGCAGCUUUUUGAUACUAAACUUUGUGUUUUUAUGCAACACCCUGAGGCUUUUCAAUCCAACUGAAAAGAUCAGUAUAUUUUUAGUGAUUGUUAAGAUUUCAAUCCUUAAGAAGGGUUGUAAUGUGUCAAAACGUAUGUAAUUGCCAAUAUGAAUAAGAAAUGCAAUGAGCUGUAUGCAGAGCUUAUCUUGUUGGUGAAACAAAGUAAUAAUCAAUGUACAAAAGAUUGUGUCAUUGCUAAAAUAUAUGAGUAAUGAACAUUAUGCAAAAUGUGUAUAUUUAUUAAAAUUGAAUAAAAAUUAUGGAGGUAACACCUACUUUAGCAAUAUCAUAAGUUCUUGCUAAAAUAUACAAAUAAUCACAGUGAUUUGAGAUUUUGUUUUUGUUUGAAUAACAUAAUUAAGGCCAUUUUUACUAGACAUAUGUGCGUAUAAAUCAAUCAACCUUGUUCAUGGCUAAAAUAGUUUCUACACAAGUCAUGAAAGCAGACAGGCAAUAAAACAAACAUAAAAUCAUACAAAACAGACAGCUGAAUAAAAUCAAAACAAAACCAAAUGAACCACAAAUAAUCCUGUAAAAAUCUGUCUUGAAUAGGGAAAUCAAAAAUGUGACUGAAAACUUUGGCCAGUCGAUUUAGAUGAUCAUUUUCUAAAUGGAGCUGCAAACAUCUAGAGUCCAGCAUUCAAAAGUUUGAAAACUGUUUGGAGUUGAUCCAUUUUCAUUUCCAUCAUGAGAUUGUCUGAAAAUGACUUUUCAGAAAUGGCUGCAUCUUGAUUUCAUAUUCAUAUUCAUAUCUUUUAUGCUUCUGCAAACAAUGCUACACAAAAAAGCAUCAAUGAAUGAAGACAAUAAAAGCAACAUGAAUUAUAGCCAAGAUGUAAUUUCUCUCCAUGGCGACAAAAGGUCACAGAAGGUUUAAAAGUGACAAACACAUCAACAGCUUGAACAUGUAAAAAUAAUUUCCUAUUUUAAAUUUGAGUUAUCCUUCUUUCCAACUCUUUCAAAGUCCACAACAACAACACACACACACACACACACACACACACACACACACACACACACACACACACACACACACACACACACAGAAAAUUAUCAGAAAAAAGCCCCGUGGUAGGGUUUAGUAAGGCAUCGCCAAUUAUCCUCUCCCUUUCCACAGAGCCAUAUCAAAGGUCUGUGCUCACUGAGGAGAAAAGGCAAGAAAAUGUGUCUGAAUGUCUUGUCCAUAUUAAUAACAGAUAAGACGAGGCGGCGGAAGGAUAAUGCCCUAAGGGCUGUACCAUGAAACACAGCACAUUUUUCUUUGGCUCGUCUGAAUAGUCAGAGUACACUGGAUCAUGGCUGUGCCAAGAUAGUGCUGAGUGUCCCUAGUACACUUAAAGUGUCUCCAAACCUGAUAUGAAAGACACACAGGACUGAAAAAACAAACAAAUACGCUGUGCAAGCUAUCACUGACUGUGACUCGCUAACAUCUCUACAGCUGCUUGUACUUUCAAUCUCAGUUAAACUGACGAUUAUCUUUUGUCCAGGAAGUGAUUCGUCCAUGGGUCUGCCAGAGGAAUGAUAAUAAUAAUAAAAAAACAGUUCGGUUUUCUAAAGGGUAAAGUUUCUGUCAUCAUAUUGACAGGUGGGUUGGAAUAAAAAUAUAGAAUGUCUGUGCCCUGUUGCCAAACUUGAUACUAGCAAACACCAUUGAAGCAGUCACCCCACUUGCAUUGAUUCCUAUUUGAGUGUGUGAGCUGGUCACAAGAGCUUAUUUGCAAAUUAAAGAUAGUGGUUCAUUACUAACGGAUUUUUAACAUCUAUAAAAUGGUCAGAAAAUCAUAUUGAGGCCUUUUUAUAAUAUCAAGAAGCAAACAGCUGCUUUAUUGUUGAUUUUUAAAUGCUAUUUUUAAUGUCUGAAACUGGUGUGAGGGGGUGGGUGUCUGCUGAGCAGCUUAGGAAACAGCUGCUCACAUAAAAUAUUCACAGUAAAUGAAACAUCUGAAUGUCAAAAGUCAGCAAGAUGAGAAUUUACUUUUGUCAAACACCUCUUUGUCCACAGGGGGCGCCAAGGUGAUACAAACCAAAAGUUCCUAAUUUCUACUGUCCAGUGUAUAUUUUCAUGGUCUGAAUUAGAUUGGUAAAGCUGGAUUUAAUAUCUUUUGUUGUUGUUUUUAACCAAAAUAAUCACCUGUUUAAUUUUCCCAUUAUUAACAGAUUCAUCAAUUUUGUUUUUUCAUCUCUUAGUAUGUUUGAAUUGGUCUGGUAUCAAAUGCUAAAAACAUGAUUGUUAGGUAUCGGCCAUCAGCUGACCUGCUCUCUUACAGCCGGCAUCUGCAAAUGAAAAAACUAAAUUGAUCGACCACUGACUGAUACAGUUAUUUAUACCGGUGACUGAAGUGUUGUGAUUGAACUUCUCUGAACACCGAGAGUCAUCCUGUUUUUUGUUUAGAAAGCGCAAAUGUAAGAAGUUGAAAUGUGUUCAGUCUGCGCACAUUGUGAAUAUUAUGGUUUGUUUAACGCAGGGCUUUUUGUGACGGAUGCACUUUGGACUCCAAUGUUACGCUGAUAAGAGACCCACAGACAGUAGAGCCAAAGCCGUGUACGUUUGAAUCUACCUACCUUCUAGGACUCAAACUCUCAAGGUUGUUUUAGAAACUGAUGGUUGACUUUCUUAUCAGAGACUUAUUUAUUAAUAAAAUCAAAGUUGCAGAGCUGAUGUUCUAACUUCACUUUCCUUCAAUAACUAAUGACGCUGUGACAGUAAAGAAAGUAUUUUACCCUGAAAUUCCUUUACUUUCACUUCGUUCAAACUCUGGAAUUUUCCAUAUACAUUUUUCUUUAACUUAAUAAGGUGUAAUAAUACUUUAAAAAAAACAUUAUACACGUUUUCUUCAAUGCCUGCCAGUAAACAUAUAUACGAGGUCGUAGCUCUGUGAAUUUCCAAUCUGUGUUUCCUUGAAUGUGCGAGCUAAAGUGGAUUCAAAACAGGUUUUGUAUUCUGUUUUCUCCAAGAACAUUUCAAGGAUAAUGCUGCUGAUAUUCAACAUUUUUGUAAACAAAUUCCACAAAGGUUCAAAACCAACACAGCUCUUAACUCCAUACAGUCUGACUCAUCCUAUCUGUGCCAAUCCAAGAAAGAUAUGAGUCUUUAUAAUGCUGAGAUAAAAUCUACUUUUAAAGAGACUUCUUGAAAGUCCAGUUAGUGUGGGGAGAGAAAAAGGACACGAUGGGAGAAAGAGACAUGCAACUAAAGUUAAAUUCAUGGUUGUUGGGGUUAAAAGAUGUGCACAAAACCUCUUGGCUGAUGGAUUUUAAUCCAAACAAGGAUACAACUGUGAGCAUUUUAGUAAAAUGUUUUUAUUUGACCGUGGUAGUGAAGGAACAUUUUGGCUCUCUUGGUCAUGCCAGCAGCGUUGCUCUAGGGCAGAGCUGGUUUUUGGUAGCUCGGAUCACUGCCCUGGUCUCUCUUCAGCUCUGACUUUGUGCACAUUUGGAGUCUGGAGGAUAAACAACAUUUUGGCAAUCCAACUUUUUCCUUGUGCAUUAAAGUUUUUACUUGUGGAAAGUUUUAGCCGGAGCUGCACGACAAAAGAAAGUAUUUUGCAUAGACGUUAAUGUCUUCUUGAUGAAGCAUGAUUAUGACCUUUCUCAUCACUUCACUCCUCUUUUCAGUGUUUAAUGACACCAUGAGGUUGACAUUUGUGGUUUUACUGAAAUGUCUUGGUGACUGUUUGAUGGAUUCAUGUGUCAUUUGGUGCAGAAAUUCAAAUCAUCUUUGGCAAACUUGUAUUCAUCUUGUGUUGACUUAAGGUGCAGUCUGUGCAUGCUUUUGAUUGUGUUUAGUCAAGUCACAUGUACUUCAUCAUUUUCUUUUAUUACUGAAUGUGAACUGAGGAGAGAGUACACUUGAAGGAACUCAUAAACAAACUAAACAAAUAUAAAUUCAUGAAUUCAGUGAAUCUGUCAGUGCAGUUUCUUUUUCACAUAUCAAAAAACUCUUUCUUUGUCUAUUUCUGGGUAUUUCAACCCGGGCAUUUUGGGUGGCCAAUCACCAAAUGCAAAAACGUCAUGUGUUGUGAGUUCAGCGCUACUGUAGAAACAUGGCUGUGCAAUCAACUGGCUUAUGUGAGGAUGGAGCCGCGCCUUAGAGGCUCAAACUAGGCAAAAAAACAAAGGUUUUUAUAUUCAGCUGAUUAUAAACUACUUACUGAUAUUAAGUAGUGCUGAAACGAUUUCUCGAGUACCUCGAUUACAAUAAAUUAUUGAGGAAUUUUCUCUGCAUCGAGUACCCGUUUAUAAGAUCAAAUUGUCACUGUUUCACACAGAUUAUUUUUAAGGUCAUACCACAUUAGAAGGAGGAGUAAGCGUGGUUUUAGUUUUGCGGAGUGGAAAAAAUGAAUGAUGAGAGGGGCUUUUCUUCUGUAGAGCUCCAGUAGCUCACCAGCACUUCGCCUCUGAGUCGUUGGACACUCCUCUUCACGUUAGCUUGUAGCCUAACAUUGCCGGUGCAGUAGCAGAAGCAGGUAACACAGAAGCCAUUCAGCUCUCAGACUUGAAUGUUUUUAGUGGCAUGAUGAAAGUUAAUAAAAUCAACUUUCUUACGAGUAUUGCAAUCCACUAACGCACACACUUGUUCUGCGAUAAUUGCACUUUAAAUAAAAAAAUCAUGUUUCAUCCGAUUAAUUGAUGGAAUAUUCGGUUGAAUACUUGAUUACUAAGAUAUUUGAUACCUGUAGCCCUCAUAAUUAGAUUAUUCUGUGCCUUGUCUGUUGUGCUGAUGCUGCUAAAACGUCACACUGCACCUUUAAACUUCCCUUUGUCAUGUUGAAUCAUUUAAUACAGAUGUUUUGCUCCUUUUGAUUUAUUUAUGUAGGUGUGGAUAAUUGCUCAUGCACAUUUGCUUAAUACCACGACUCAGGAUGGGGCUUUUUAAUUAGAGUUCAGGUUUGCAGGCUGUUAUUUACAUCCCUGUUGAACUGCCUGGAGCGAAAAGACCCUGUUUUCCAUGUCUGGUGCUGAGAUAUCAAUGUGCAGAUAAUACAUUAUGUGUCUAGAGAUGGUAAAUAUGGAGGUAAAUAUGGAGGUAUUCUCAUGUCAUAGAAACUAACAUGUUCAUGCUUAUUAGGAUGUCCCUGUUAGAAACCAAACUGUCCUUUUUGCACGUUAUCCUGCUCUUUUUAAUGCUCAGUGUACAAUCAGACAUAUUUUAUCAUCCUCCCAUCUUUAAAAUAACUAAUAAAAAUGCACAGCCAAAAGAAAUACUUAUUACCUUCUUAUUUUUUAAACCGUCUAUUUAAAAAAUCGGAUGUCAGUUAGAUUUUAAUCAUUUCAUAAACGAGGAAACAUCCUUUUAUAAAUGUAUAACAAACCUGAUCAUAUUAUAUUGAAGUGAAUAUUGUCACAGUCAAUAAUUUAAGUAAAUAAAUGAUUUUUUUUCUUCCUUGAUGUAAUUGAACAAUAUUUUGAAUGCAAAUCAGUAAAUAAUGGAGUUGAAUGUGCCGAGAAAUAAUUGAUGUCUUAUCUGAGAGUGAUGUAUAUUUUAUAAAGCUGCUUUAAAAUCACAUCCGUCAUUAAAACCGCAAAGAAAAAGAAAAAACAAACACCUCCUCUAUGAGUGUAUUCCCAGCACAGCUCUGCAAAUCUCCACCCUGGCACUGAGCAGUCUGAAUAAUGAAGAUUUGAUAGUAUAAGGGGGCCACUGUAGCCCCCAAUUAAAUGAUACAAAAGCAAUAAAUACAUUUAGUCUCUGAGUCCUUCCUAUCAAUUCUGAUAUUAUUAGAUCUAUUCAUCUCUGCUUUCCGAUGGGAAAACACAUCCCCGUAUCAGGAGUUAUUUUGUCUCCAAUUCAGCUGAAAGUAUUGACUCAUCAAUAUAUAAUGUCAUUGAUUUUUAGGGAGUGCUGGCAGGAAACAAAACAACAGACACAAAGCUGCAGACAGGCUGUCUAUAGUCUCCUCUGCUUCCACCCAUUAACUCAAUUUGUGACACAACAAAGCAGCAUGGGUAUAAAUUUUGUCCUCAGAGCAUCCUCCUGUUUCCCUUUGUUUUGAUGCUGCUGUUUCGUGCCGGACGCUGCCGCAAACACUCUCAGUUACACACCUUUGAAGCACAGCUCCAGACUGCACUCCCCCAGUCAGGACCCUUAAAUGCACCACUGGACUGGAGAGGCUUUCAUUUGCUGAUGUUUCAGUCCUCCAUUUUCAUUUUCCGUACAAGCCUUUCACAUUUUCCUGUUCCUUACAUCACUCCCUAAGAGCUUUCUGGUCGGCUGCUCAGCUCCUUCUCCACUCUCUGUUUGAAUUAAGUAGAGACUGCGACUCAGACGAGGAGUUUUGGAGUGGAUAAGGGGCUUUUUCAGAAUAAGUGCCCAAAGUGAUGGUAGUAAUGUGUGGGCAGUAUAGGGCUGGGCACUGUGGAUGAAAUAAAUAUUGUGAUUCUGGCUCAAGUAACAUAUUUUUCAAAUAAAAUAUUCACAGAAAGGAAAAUAAAAUAAAAAAACACAAACUUGAUAGGAGUUUUAAAGAUCUACUAUAAAACUUGAUACUAUACUUUUGAGUUUGUUAAUUCUUUCCAUCUAAAAAAGUUGGCUGCAUCCUUUGGACCAUUGCUACCGAAAUGCGGUCUAAAAAGCAGGGAGCGGUAUUUUACUGUUUGACAGUAUUUCAUUAAAGGAUGGUCCUUCAUAAGCAAGCUUGGUCACAGAAAUGUGCAUUUAUGACCACAAGAGUAGCGGCGGCAUGAGAUUUAACAGUGGAAAUAAGCCCCUCUGUUUAUUCAGUGUGUUUACAUCCUCAAAUAAUCAACUUAGUGAAGUCGGAAAAUAUAAACUAUAGAUCCGAAACUGAAACUAUAAACAUGUUACAGUUGCACAAACUCAAACUCUGGUUGCAGGACUAAUUUACCUAGAUUAUGUGGUAGGGGAGCAGUUCACUUCGUCAUGUUUACACCUCAGCUGGACUGAUACUGGCCAUAGAUUGUACAUACUAUGGACAACAAUUCUCUGCCUUCCAUCAUUAUACGAAUUUGAAGCCAAAUUGCUCUCAGUAUUUCCAGGAUAAUCACCACUUCCUGGAACCAUCACUUGUGCAGUAGCGUUUUAGACAAUUCAGCGGGAGAGUUGCUGAGAGUUGCUCGGCUCAUCCCUGGGUGAGCUACGCUAUCUUUGUACGCCCAUAGGCUGUAUCAAGUGUCCAUCAUAGAAAACAUGAACCCUGAAUAACUUUUAAAAGAGGACUUGAGCACAAACCAGUCUUACAAUAACUACAUGUCAACAUCACAACCAGGAGGUAGAAAAAUUUAUAUUCUGUGUAAUAAAUUUCAAAAGUUUGUCCACAGCUCCAAAGGGAUUGCUGGAGGAGGCGGGAUUUACGGGAUUUACGACCUAUACUGCAGUCAGCAACCAGAGGGUGCUGUUCUUGCGGUGGCUUCAGCGAGGAGGUAGACGGCGUCCAUUCUUUAUACGGUCUAUGAUACUCGCCCACGAGUUAUGCACUUUGACCCUGCUGAACAACACAUCAACAUGCAUUCUGGGAAUUCCAGUAGCAAACACAACCUUGACAGGAGAGAAAGGAGGUUACACUUAUAGGGCUACCGUAUUGUCUGCUUUAAAGUUGUCUGUUCUUUCUUCACUCAACAUACAAUCUGUUAGCAUCCUGCUGAUGCACUCAUAGAAUGUUUUGAUCCAAGACUUACAGGGUUGAUCUAGAGGAUGCCACAAUAGUCGAGGCUUACUGCUGCCUGCUGUACCAAAGGUGGACAUAAAUUGGUCAAUAAAUUGAUUCUCGCCCAGUGCUUGUAGACCGGGCUAAGACACUAGUCCAGUUAAAUCACCUAAUCAAGCUUUAACAUAAGUGUGCAUGUAAACAUAGUCAUUUUGCAUUGUACGCGUCUGCAUCACUGUGCAGAGUUCAGGGACACAGAGUGAAGCAGAACAGGCUUUAACAGCUCAGGGUCAGAGAAUGUUGGUAUAUCUGGUAUAUAAAGUCAAGGGAGACUGAGCCCAACUACAGCACUACUAUAAGAGAAAUCUCCUACAAUCGAGGCCCUCUUCCCUCUGGUGGACCACCAAAACAAGUCUUCCUCAAUUCAGUUAUCAAUGUUGAUCUAUAAGUAAAUUUAUGUCAUUCAAAAGAGCAUGCUCAUGAAGUUUCAACACAUUGUGGAUCUGAGUGAUGAUAAUGUGCUAAAAUAUGGUUAAACAAUCAAUUAACGAUUAUUGAUCUGUCAUUGGAUAGUCAGAUUUAAAAAUUAGACUCUCCUCCACAUUUAUGGGUAGAUUGUCUGUUUUCUAUCUAGUAAGAAGUGCACUGGAAGUAUCAUAUGUUUAUUUAUGGAUUUAAAGACAACACAUAAUCUUGUAGUAGAGUUUUGAGUUUCGGUGGUUGUAGUUGACUUAUUUCCUGGUUGUUUAAAUAAGAUUUUAAAUUGUAACUAAUAGUGCUGUGAAGUCCUAGUCGACUGGUUGACUUAUUGGUCGAUCCGUGCUGAGUCGACCAAUAUUCUGAUUGGUCGACUCAAUUUUUUUUCCACGUCAAUUUGCAGUCUAUGGUUAAUUUCAUCAGGAAGAACGCAUCAAGUCCUAAUGGGGGUGUUUUCAGAGCACCCCUGUCUCAGAACACUCCCCUUGUUUUUACCAUUUUGGAUUCGCCUAACCCACUGAAGACAGGAAGAUUUAAGAGCAUCCACGUCGAUCAACGUCCGGUGGUUUGCUGAGUAUAUUCCCUGAAUUGCCUUUUGCGUAAUUGCCUUCUUGUGCUGGUAUCGGAAUAUUUUCACCCUGCCAAGCUGCGCUUUGCUGAGCUGCGUUGUCCCCUCGCUGCAGAAGGGUUUGCCGCCAGUCGGAGUCGAUUUUUGGUAAAAAAUUCCAGGGUUUCAGUCGACCUAGAAUUUCUUUGGUUGAUAAUAGCCCCAGUAACUAAUGACCAUUCUUAAGGUAAAAAAAAACAAAAAGAAAACAGUGUGUGGAGUUAAGCAGAUACAGCCUUUAUACAGCAAUAUCUCCAUCUCCAGUGCCGGCUUUCAAGGUUGAUGACAUUUAAAUUUGGACGCACGUUCCUGCUUCCUUUCAUUUUGCCGCCUCUCUAAACAUUAUUCAAGAAUCCAACAUUUGUAGGGCUGCAGUAUUAAAGGUGGGAGUGAAAAGGAAGUCCAAAACAUUGCAAAAUGAAAGAAAGAAGGAAAAAGCAAAUGAAAUAUGAAAGAGCGGAUAUAAAACAUAUAUGAACACCUCAUCAGGAAGCAUGACAGAGCACAGGAGCUUUUGAUUCAUCUCUCAGCUCAGCCUUUCAAGCCUCCUCUCACAGCUGCACUCUAUCACUCAGCUUUAAGUAAAAUAAUGAAAGCACACAAAGGUUAUAGACAUCAAGACUGAGCCGCUGAUCAUCUCCUUGGAGUAAAUCAGUGUUUUCCCGUGUUUUUAACCCCCACAUCUGCUCUGAGAUGUAAGAUGGAUGCCAGAUGUGUUACAGUGGGUGGACAGAUGUGCUGACGUUAUCAUGUUGCGGAGAGGUCCAACAACAAUUUAAUUUCACGCAAGUUCAAGUUUAUAUCUGUGGAGCCGCUGCCUUCAUUCUGAGCUCUGUUAUCUGCAAAGUCUCUGUGUCUCCCCUCUGGAUUUGUUCCCAUCGUAUCUCUCUCCCUCCAGUUCUCCUCUGUUUCUUUUGCUCCAGACCGCACGAAUGAUAAACACUCAGAUGUCAAAAGAUAUAAAACCUUAAAAGCGCCGAACAUUUUAAAUCAUUUAAUUGGAUUUAUCAGCGGAACUACUGCCCAGAAUAAAAUCUUAGAAUUAAGCAGCCUUAGUUUAUUAGAUUUUCACAUCAAAGUAUGUUAACUUGCAAAUGAGUACACCUGUUUUCAUCUAGAGGCUGAUAACAAAGAUCAUCCUUAGAAAAUUCUCAGAAAAAAAUGACAAAUAUGAGCUGGUUUCUGCUUAUCAAAUGUAAGUAUUACACUAUUUCCCCUCUAGAAGAUCCCUGAGAAAGUUUAUUUUUAACCACCAAAGUAUAAUCUCUUUUUUAUUUGUAAGAGAUUAUCACUUAAAAUCAAUGAUUUGCACAAUCUCUUGUUAUACUCUAGCUUGUCUUGUUAACAGCGGCAACUAAAACUCAUCUGACCAAUAAAUGCUGCAGCAGCAAGGGAUGUUUAAGAGACAUCUACCAAACUGAAGAAAACAGACAUGCAGAAACCACAAACUGUAGCAUGGUAUGAGAUUUGGCGGUGUUAGUAAACUCGAAGAGAGAUUAAACGUAGAAAGAGAAGUCAAGAGAAGAAGAGGAGCUUAUACAUGUGCAACUAAGGAGAAUGCUAAUGGAAAGACUUUGUUUCCACUUGAAGACCUUACUAUAAAUGAAAAUGUUCAGUUCAACUUUAACCUUCAAGAAGGCUAAUUAAAACUAAGACUGAAGUACUACCAACCAUUAUAUGUUUUAAUGCUCUGAUUCAACAUCUGCACCAAAGUUUCUUUAAACUUCUCUCUAAGAAAGACCGUGGAUGUUGUAAUAUGUUUUACUUUUUGUUGAUGAAAGACGUCUUCAAACCCAUGAGUAUUGUGUUUUUAAAAACCAGUAGUUGUAGUUUGGACCCAAAGGCAGAACCAGAGGCAGCUGAGGCAGUUUGGUGAUUUUAUUUAGAGGGAAAAAGGUGGAGGGAAGAGAUCCAGGGUCCAGAGCUGGAGGAGGGAAUCGGAGGAGAGGUGAGGGUUUGAGACGUGAGGGCUUGAGGAGGAGGCUGGUGAGUGAACCCAAGGAGAGAGUGUGGCAGCGAGGCGGAGAUUGGGUGGCAAGCAGCACUGGGGGCUUGUGGAGGUGCUGGACAGCGAAAAUGAGUCACAGAUGAAACACACAAGGCUGUGACGUUAAAACAAUUGCAAAUACUUGAGAAAACUCUUGAGAUUUGGCCGAGAUCACCACUUGAGGUGUGGGAAUAAUCUGGCGCUGGAGAAAAUGCAGUUGAGAAGGUGCAGGUGGAGCCAGUGUAGGACGGAGCUGCCUAAUCUCUGCAAGGAGGGAACACACACACAAACCCACACAAAAACUCCACAUGAUAAAGAGUCGAGAACUUGCCCCCCAAAAAAUGAAGAUAAAUAAAGAGAAAUCACCACAGUCGUAUAACGGUAUCUUAAAAGAAAAUUAACAUCCUGUGAGCUUAAAUGACAAAUAUCUCCUUUUCCUUUUAUUCGUCCAGUUAAAGAGAAAGAAACACAGAAUUCAACUUUUAUGUGUCUCCGUUCUCUUUAAACUUGUGAUGUGUGUCCAUCUGUUUGUCUUUGAGCUAAAACACCGAGCGAUGUACGUGGGGGACUUGGUUUUUGGCUUUGCUACAAUAUAAUUCUUCUGCUUAUGUGGGCCUCAAAAGAUUUCCCUGCUUUUGAAAGUUGCAGUUACAAAGACACUUCCCCUCUGACGACAGAUGGCUUUGAACUGCUGUUUGAAAGCAGGGACCAUGAUCGAUUUGACCAUGCUGCGAGGUAGCUGUACUCACAACACAGUGCCAAAUAAGGUUAAGUUUCUGUUUACAUAAGGCUAAGUUUGUGUUUAGUGAUAUGAUAGCUGGAGGAAAUUGAUGUAUACCGAACCCCCCUGGGUUACAAACCAAUUACUGUCUCUUCUUCCCAUAGUUAUCGAGGACAUAGCCAAAGUUUAAUAACCAAGACUGUUUCCUCUGAAAAAUAAAGCAAUGCAGAAUAGACCCUAAAAAGGCGUUUUUACUUUACUCCCUCUAUGCAGGGAGAUAUUUGCAAUAAGGCCAAAAAAGCAACAACAAAUAAACAUCACAAAUUGAACCACAACUUGUUGUUUUAAGUGAAAUCAACUUUCCAACAAGAACUCAGCAGGAUCCAGACUCAUUUCUUCUCAUCAUCCUCUGUAAUGAUGAUAUAAAAACACAGUUUGAUUCCUGCUGUCCUCAGGGGAGUCCGUCAUUUUCCAGACAACAGUUUCCACCUCUUUCCUUCAACCUCAAACAUCAGUUGGAGACCAGUUUGUGUCUUCUGGAGUCAUUGCUAUUCCUCAUUUUUGUUGCAUUAUCUUAAUUGAAAGUAAGACUCGUUUUAAACACAAUUUGUUUUUAACAUUGCUAAGUUUCAGCAAUCAAAACACAAGAAAGUGCACACACGUACGUAUAUAGACACAAAUAUAUUUAGCAGUCUGCCUAGGGAACUAUAGACAUUACUGACAGCCUGCCUUCAUAUUUGAUUAAAAAACAGAGACAUAAACCAGAUCCAGGCCUAAGAGGGAUGGAUCUUGAAGUUUGGAAAGAGAAAAUAAAUGUAUGUCUCUGCCCUGGUGGGAAAUCAGGCAUUAGGACAAUGGCUCUCCACUCACACCUUGUAGAAAAAAGUCAGUUUAACAUGUUUACACAUUUACAGCUCAUUCCUCCCUGCUGCCUUUUGCAUUAUUGGGGGCAAAGCUGAUUAGUAUCUGUUAGCCAAGAGGCUAAAAGCCCAGCUCUACUCUGCCACUUACUCAGUUGGCAUAUAAAUGCGCUGAGUCAGCUUUUCCAAUUAGGCGACUGCCACAGAUUGACUUAAAAAUGCUUCCUCAAAUUCCAUUGGUUAAUAUCACUGAGGCAAUUUCCGGGUUUUGGAUGGUCUAAUGGUGAGGCCGGGUGAAAACUAAUUUCUGUGCUGCUAACUGGCCUCUCAACUGUCACAUUGUCUGGGUUUGUAAAGGGGCUUCAGCGUAGAUAUCAGCCUCAUUCUGUUUGUGUAUCAUCUUUGCUGUUUGGCAAACCCGCAAGUAAGAAAAGACCUAUGAACUCAGAAUUCGAGCACACAAACAAACAAAUGCUUCCUCAAUUUUCGCUAUUUUAGCAAUAGCCAUUUUUAUGCCUUGAAAGUGUAGCUAUAUAACUGACUAAUGAUUGACAGCUGUCUAUCACCAAUCACACAUCAAACAGUAAGAAGUCUUUCAUAUUUAAAGAAACAAUCUUGGCUUUUGCAACUCUUCAAUUUCUCUCAUAUGACUUCAAAUUUAUCAGCUGUACUUGAAAUUAGUCUAUAGAUGGAUAAAUGGAUGUAGGGAUUAAUAAUAUAGAAUUUAAUCAUCUCAACUGCAAUAUACACAUGUGCAUUAGUCACACCACUAAUGUUAGUCACAUGACCUGAAAGGCAAUAUGUUAUUGUUAGUUCCUUGUUGUCAGGAUUAAUCAACAGUGUCUCUUGCUUCACAUGACCGUACACGACUUUAACAUUCAUUUUCUAAGACCACGUUGACCGCCUCAUCUCGGCGCUCUUUAACAUCAGGGGCUCAUGGACAGACUACUGAACUUCCGGCAUCACAGAGUGUUUUCUGUAGUGCAUGUACUGUACAUCAUAGUGAUGUGUAGAUGAGUGCAUUUUAGCUGAAUUAGAGGAACCGUUAUGGUCCAGCAGAUAAUUUUCAACAUUGACACAAAGUAAUCGCCUUCUCCAGAGGCCUGAAUGUUGAGUAUAAGUUAAAAGAAGAUUUAAUUUGACGGCAGAAAACAGAUAAAAAUCCAAAUUAUAAACAGCAUGACUGUGGUAUUGAAAAUGUUAAAAUAUUUACUUGAAAUGCACCACACUUUCACAUCACAGCCCAGUAAUUUUUGCAAUAUCAUGCAGCUCUAGACAGAUGGACAAACAGAGGGACAGAUAGAUGGACUUUAUUAAUCCCAAACUGGGAAAAUGUGUUAGUAUCUACCUGAAAACCUCAAGAUAUUUUACUUUCAACUCUGGAAUACUCGAAUAUCAUCUAGAUAUGCUUCAGUGUAGCCUAUAUACCGAACUGAAGCUGCUGUAUGGGGGUUUGAUUUAAUGAUGUGAGAAGUGAUGGAAAGUACUGUAACCUGUCUGGCAUAUAAAAGCCUGUCAGUCUGUCUCUUAAGGAGGAAAUGCUGUGAUUUGUGUGUAAUGCCAAGACUUUUCUCAGAAGUGACUCAGUCUUCUUUACCCCCCUCUGCCUUAUAAGCAGGUUAGUAACCUUGAGCAUUACAGCAUCAUUAUGACCAAACGACGCUCUCAUCUCGUAAAGAUGCAAAAAUCUCAUUUGCACAGCACAUCACAGGAAGAAGAUUUCCACGCUGCAAUAUUGGACUGCGGGACUAAAUGGAUUUCUGAGUGCCUUCACACAUAUUACCACAUCUUUAUGUGCUUUAUGUAGACUGCAAUAUUACUGCAGUGGAAAGGCUGUGUAACAUUGAAUUAUCUAUAGACACUUCAAUCAGUUUACUGGUAAUGAAGUCGCCACUGGUUGAGUAAUUUAUUGGUGUGUUUCUUCCCCAUGCUAAUGGUGUUUUGCCUCAUUAAGCCUCACAGUGUAGGAAGAUCUUUUGUUUUCUGUGUUGGCUGUGCAGGUUUCACUUUGGCUUCAGGUGAUAAUUUGCUACUUCGUCUUGCAGAUUCUGACAUAUCAGCUUCUGUUACAUAUGGUUAUGGAGCCCAUAAUUUGUCGUAUAAUUCAUGUUUAUUUUAUCUGCACACAGGCAGUAACUUAACACAGCAAUAUGCAGUCUCUUUUAGUCCCAGCAUCAUUAUCAUUGCAGCAGCAAUAAUAUAUCCGUAUCAAAUAUUGCAAACUGAAAAAGUAGAGGGAGUUUAAAGUGUAAAAAUUCAUUACCCUGACAGUCUUUUUCUUCAUCUGUAAACAAUACUUUUAACCAAGUUGUCUAUGAGGAGUGCCGCUCAUUAAAUCAUGCUGCAGCUCCACAGAGGUCAUUACUUUUAAUGGCUAAGUUGAUGAAUGAUGGUCUCGUGGCAGGUUGAUGAGGUCAGGAGGAGGAUCCGGGUGUGAAAAUACCCCCUUAGACCUGACAGGGAACACGUUGUGCUACACCUUCAACUGUACACUUGUAGCUGUUAAAACAGCGGAGUUGGUGUCAUCAUACACACUAAUGGUCGCGAUGUUCUUUCUGCAGGAACAGCUCCUGUCAAGAUCAUAUGAAGUUAAGGUCACAGUCUCUGGCAAAACAAACCGCUCCUCCUGCUGCAAACUAACUAGCCAUAUUAAUUUAGUACUUUUAACAAGACCCCCCAGUGUGUAAGCAUCUGCAAUUAUUCCUGAAUAUUUGGCUCAUUUGAGAGAGGGGGCAGAGCAAAUUAAUAAAUACAUGUCUUAAAAACUGCAAGGAUAAGCCCAGAGGCUGUUUUCCAUCUGAAGUCUGUGGUCAAGGUGUGAAAACAGCUUCUUAAAACACAUCAAAGAGAAAUAAAACCUCGGCACGAUGUUUAAACUUUGAAAAAGAGACUCUGAUGUAAAACGGUGCAGGUCGAAUGAUGUACAUUUGAUCAUUUUCUACCUUUUGUUUACUUGCCUUGGUAAUCUUCACUCACAUGAGCGAUCAAAUGGCCUCUAAAUCUUUGCUCUUCCUCUUUCUCUGUCGUCCCUUUUUUUCCCCCAUAGCCAUCACCGUUAUUACUGUUCUCAGUUUUUAUCACCAAUACUGGAGUUUUCCCUCAGUAAACAUUAACACUGUAAUCUACACAAACCCCACUGUGCUUUAAAGCUUCGACAGAGAGGCUGAGGAUAUAUGCACAAAUUUCUCAGCUCAUAUUAAUACAGUACGUUUAGUCUGGUUUCUGUUUGUGUCACUAAAAUCCCACUAAUACAGCAGUUUUCAGAAUAAGCCGCAUUCUUGGAGAGUCAUGAAAGUAGAAGUUUUAGUUUUAGUGGAGAAAAAGACCAAAAAGUUUAGUGUUAAGUCAGCAUUUAAAGCUCCAAUGAGGAGUUGUUUGACAUUUAUGAAAUAGACUGGAAUUCAUACUAAUGCUUUUUCAUGAUAUAUAAAAACUAGAAAAGCACUCGGAGAGCGCAGACCUCCACCAAGCAGCUCAUGUCCCCCCUUAUAUUGUGAUUCACACCAAAACUUUUACUGUUACGUGUCUUUUAUUAACUUUUAUUUGUGUCUAAACUGGUAUGUUCACUGUUCAUAAUGUUCCUAAAACAAGAAAUGCCCUGACCCAGAUUCGAACCCAGAACCUUCUUGCUGUGAGGCGACAGUGCUAACCGCUACACCACUGUGCCGCCCAUCUACACCAUCUACACCACUGUGCCGCCCAUUGCUUAUCUUUCAGCAUUGAAAAUUCCAACGACACCCUUAUUUUUGUGUGUUCUGGAUCACAGUAUCCGGAAUUUUGUCUGGAUCAGGAUCAAUCCUUUUGUGUCAUUUUUUACUGAAGACUCUGGCCAUUUUUAUAGAGUUAAAUGCAAAAUUUCCAAAAUUUGCCCUAUCUCACAAUGAGAAAGAAUCCUGGAUCCAGAAGGCGAUCCGAAUCAUCACCAAAAUGUAAUGGGAUCCUCCUGGGGCUGAGACGCACCUCUGGUGAAAAUUUCAGGUCAAACCGUCUGUAACUUUCUCCGUAAAGUUGCUAACAGACAAACCAACAAACAAACCAACGCUACCGAAAACAUAACCUCCUUGGCGGAGGUAACAAACAAGACCAACAGGGAGAAGAUUUAUGAUUUUUCUGUCAUAAUUUUUGAGGCCUGAAAAAAAAAACAAUGUUCAGAGGAGGUAGGUAUCAGCCAAGCAGCUGAAGAAACAGCCCUGCUUUACAAGUUACAUCUGGAUUAUCACAAUGAAUGACACAUUUGACCAUCUAAAGUCAGGAUGAAAGGAGCUUAUGUCAAAAGUCACAACUUUUGCAUGGUAACGAAACAUUGGCAAAGUUCGCUUGGUUCACCGCCAACUGCGAACAGUGUUGUUUUUUUGUUGGCGGAACAAAACUGUUCGGAUUUAACCUUGAAAGAAAAUGUUAAAUGUGAUUAAUAGAAGUGAAAAAGGAUCAUUUUUAGACUGUACAUUAAAUUAAAAUGUUUGUAACAUCCUUUGUUUCUCACUUGAAUGCUGCUGUCUGUCCUUUAACCCACACAAAUGUGGUUUCAAUCCAAUAUCUGAAAUAUAAUUACAGUCAAUCCUACACCAUUUACAUCCACAUAAUGAGACUGCAGUGUUUAUUUUUCUCUUACUGUGACUUUGUUGCUAUAUUUCUUGCUGCUUUACUGUAAAUGAGUUAAUAAGUUGAACAAUGCCAUCAAACACUAAGACGUGAGUCUUGUCCUCAUGCUUAUAGUCAAUACAAACAGAAAGAGACCCACUUGUACAAACAGACUUCCAUGGACGACCAUUCUUGGCAUGUUUCUUUCUUUUUUUUUUCUUUGUGUAUAGGGGCUCACCUCGCUAACACUAACUGGAUUUAGGGCAAUAAAUGUUUGAGGACAUGGACUUCUGAUCCUUCAACAUGACCCUGCAGGAAGAUGAAAGUUGCAAAAUCACCUGAACUCUGCGCAGAUGAACUGAACAGCUGCACAUACUUUUUUUUUUUUUUUGCUGACUCACAUUGAUGUUGAACGGUUUUGUGCAUGCACAAGCCCUGCAGUGUGCCAUUUUCUACCUCACGAUUAAUCACAAUAGGUUAAUAGCACCCUCACUCUUUGUGCAUGUUAAUCAGCUUCUCUGAAUAGGAGGAGGAUAAAGCUAAGUGCAAAGCUAAUAGAAGAAACUGCUGCUUGAGAAAGAGCCAGACAGGUUUACUGAUAGUCUGCUGUUAUAAGGGUUGUUUGCAUUUGGUCGCCUAAGUGAUUAAACAUUGUUAACUUUAUUUGUUGGCAGAAUAACAAAAGGGUUACAAGAAUAAUUACCAUAAUAUUCUUCUUAUUGUAGGCUUUAAGUGUUAGUCUUAUGUUGUGUAGCGCAGCCAUGCACUGUUAGCCGAGGCUGUAGCUCUGAUAACGGUCAUAAUAUGAUAAUGCUUAACUAUCUGGAUUUAAACAAGCACAGAUGACAUCUUCUUAACCUGCAGGAGGACCAAUUUAUGAGUUUAUUCACGUAAUAUUAAGGAUGUAAUCUUGUAAAUUUAUAACUAUUAUAAAUUCAUCACCUCAUUCUCAUUGUAUUCCAGAUUACAUCCGUUCUUGUAAAUGCACUAGAGUUAUUUCAUACAUUUAUGACUAUUUUGUCUUUUGACUGAAGUUUGGUCUCACAAGAUUACAGCUUUAAUCUAGCCAGUUUACAAGUUUACUCCCAAAUAAGUCUGUUUGAAUGCUCAUACAACUGGUAAAUUUAUGACUUUUUUCUCAAAAGCUUUGGUUGUCUCUUCCUCAAAGCUCAUGUAAGGAAAUUUCAGUAAGUGUUAAUUUUGGCGCCCCCUGUGGACAAAGUUGUUUUUACUUAUCUUGGCCCCUACAUGCUUAAGUGAUGUCUGCUGACAGGGAGAUCUCAUCCUGCUGACUUUUGACAGUCUCAUGUGUCAUUUAUUGUGAAUUUAUAUUUAGAGAUUGUAGGGCUGGGCGAUAAACUGAAAAUUUACAGAUACUGAAAUUUACGACAAUAACCAACGUCAUUUUGCCCAUGUCAAUAUAUUCGGUGUCAAAAAAAAAGAAUAAAUAAAAGUUGGUUUUGGAUGUGUGUAGGUAGGCUAUGGUCUCAUGUCCCUUUAAGACGCUGUCCUACAUCAGAGACAUGACUCCGACCCAUCCAGUCCGUAACAAAGAGGGAAAGACAGGUGAGGAGAUGGAGGACAGUUCAAAAGUUGAAGUGGCUGGAGCGGCGGCUGAAGUAGACGAAGUUAAUGUGGAGGGGGGUGAGCAGCUUGUGGAGUAGUUAUCGUCCAUUUAUUGCUAUCGAGGUGAACUGCUCAAUAUAUCGCAAUAUUGAUUUUAGGCCAUAUCACCCAGCCCUAAGAGAUUUUAAAAGAGGGCUUUGGUUUCAGGCAUGGCAAAUCAUGAUCUUUAAUUAAUUAAUUAUAGAUACCAUAAAACAGCACCUAUAAGAAUUUCAACCUGUUUCUUAGGUGUCAAAAAACUCCUUACAGGAGCUUUAAUGUGUCCUUAAACCUCUCUUGCUCUAAAUGCUGUUUUCGUCUCAGUUUCUUUGUUGAGUCCAUAACCCGCACCGUUAUUGCUGCUGUGUGAUGCCAGCAUCAAAAAUAAAACUGCCUGUUACCGUGAACAAAAAUUGACUUUCUUGCUCAUCUACCGUGGCCCAAUGAACCCUGGAAGACGCUGCCAAAUAAACGUAUCAACCAAAAUAAUUAACAUACAGUUUUCAUAAAAAAUAUGUCAAAGAUUAGACACUGUGGCUGUGCAGACAGUAACAGACAGCCAAUUUAUGAGCCUGUUUGACACAUUUGUUGCUCUGCUUUGAUUUAAUUGGCUCGUGGACUGAAACGGUCGCUGGCAUUCAGCAGGAACAAAAGGCAAAGUCCAAAGUCUGUGUAUCACUCUGGCAUUAAAACGUCAUUGUCUCUGAGAAACAGCGACCCUCAUUGAUUUACCCAGCACAGGCAAAUUCCCCCGUAUUUGUUAGAGUGCUUAUUUCAGAAUAUGCAUUAACAAGCCUAUUUGUUAGGUCAUUUCCAGACGUUUGCACAAAUGACUCCAGGGAUAAUUAUUUCUUUUGGUAUUGAAAGUCAUCCACUUAGUCAAAUAGGAGGGGGGAGAGGUGGGAGGCUUAUGCAAUUUUAUAUUAAGAAACUGUUGGACACUCAAUCAGGACGUGAUAGGUUUGGUUCAGAUGGCUUAAUCCACAUUAGACCCUAACCAGAGUGUAGCUGAUGGCCGGAGUGCUCUGUGCAUGCAAAAUAUAACAAGCCAGAGAAAAAUCAGGACGUUUGAACGGUCCGUUGAUGACUGUGUUAGCCGUCAUGGGAUUUGGCACGUGACUUUCUAAUUACAGCAGCGUAUCUUUUAGCCACUAGGGCCCCUCUUCUCCUUUUUUUUUUUUUUUUCUCCACCAGGGAAAUCAAACUGAGCGAGGUUUUUCCACUGGCGUUCGUUUGGAGUAAGGAUGUUUCUCCUUUUGCAUUUUCGUCCUUGGCCUUCACUUUCCCCCUUUACUUUCAGCUACAUCUCCCCCUGCUUACUGAGGUGUUUCAGGGCUUCCAGAUUCGGGUAUCCCAUGUCCUCUGAGGCUGAGCUGGCAGAGCGAUAUACUAACACUGCCAGGAUUAAGGGUUUUAGGACAUGUGUAGCUCAAUAGAUAGAGCAUCGACCUCACACUGCCAAGGUUAGGAAUCCAUCCACCGGAGCCACCCUAACCCUAAUGCUGUUUAGAUGUUUGGAUUAUGGAUGCAGCACAGGACAACCUCACCUCCGGAUCACAUGUUCUCCAGCUCUAUAUAUAAUGCAGGUGUGAACAUACCUUCAAGGUUGCUAUAGUGACAAGUUUACUACCGCAUGCGUAAAAGAAGCAAAAACAUGCUGCAGACAUUCCUGAGCUAAAAGAGCCGUGUAAGAGCAGCAUCUUUAUGAUUGAUCUGUGGCUGUAAGAAGGUCUCAUUUCUGUUUUCGAUAUUCUCAAAAAGAAAAGAUAACAUCCACUCUCCUAACCCAGCUUAGUCUCUCAGUGAGUGGUAUUCAGACGAUUCCCAACAGAGCUGUCAGUGAUUAUUUCAGAGCUGAUUAAUUCUUUUGACAGCUGAAUCGAGCAGAAAAAAGUGACGAAUAGACAUUAUCAUUACACACAGCUUUAAGGGUACACCAUGAUUGUUUCAUCAGCUUUGGCAAAUCCAGAGAUUCUUAGUUUUUGGAUUGAGUGCGGCAAAUAGGAGAUUGAAAAGACGGUGAUAUUUGAGAAGCAGAAAGCAGCAAAUAUUUGACUUUUCAGCUGAUAAAAAUGAGUCAAAGUGUAUUUGAGUGUUGGAACUUCUGAGGGUUUAAGUAUAGGUAACAUUCAACACUGGAGACGUGAGGAUUCAUUGAUUUGGACUGAUCCAGUGAUUGUUUGAACAAUGAUUCAAGUGUAUGAAAAAUAAGUGUGAACAUUGUUUUUUUUAAGGUAUUUUUUUCAUAUGGAUUACCUGCCACAUGCCUGUUUCAAUUUCUGCCUAAUUGCACCAGCUCAUUAACCUCCAAUUCAACUUCUGACUCUGUAAUAAAUUCCUUAAGUUUGUUCACAGCUUUGCUGGCGUAGUCAGGAUUUAUGACCUAUACUGCAGCCUGUCAACAGAGGGUGCUCUUCUCGGAGUGGCUUCACCCAACGAGGAGGCAAACGCUGUCCAUUCUAUAUACAGUCUAUGUGCUUAAAGCACUGCAAAAAACAUACAGUAUGCAAAUCGCUCUGCUGGUCAUUAAUUCUUUUAUCAUGUGGCCCUACUUCACAAUAACGGCUGUUAUAUUAAUGCCUUUUUUCUUUUAGCCCCGGGUGUAUUGUUCAUGUAUACUGAGAUUUUGAUACUCAUUAUUUUGCAGCUGAAUGUGCAGCUUUACUGUAUUUAAUUUUGAGUCAUUCCCCAAUGUCUGACUCAGCUCUGCCAAGAAGAUACAGGGGACAUGUAAUCUGCAAACACUAUGAGAUUAUGCUGAUUACACAAACCUACAAUGAUAGCGACACAACGUAAAACCAAAACAUGUAAAAGUCACAGUGGUCUGUUUUUUUUUACACCAGCACAGUAACAGGGUUUAUUUUAGCACUAGUUAAUGAUAAUGAUAAUGAAGCCUGAGUGUUAAAUACAGCUUAAAGUAACAUGUACUAAAUCGAUCAAACAGCUACUGCCUGAUUAGUACAGUAUCUGUCCUCGAUGAGAAAGGGAGCCAGAGAUGGACACAUUAAUUUAGCGGUACCUAACUCUACGAUCUCAUCUGAAGCCAAGGCCCACAAAUAGUCCCCAGUGUGCUAAUUCUCCUGUUUAAUUAAGACCAACAAGCACAUUUCAGGUGCCACUUCUCUUUACAUUCAGAGCACUCACCUGUUGUUGAGCUCUGGGAAACACCAGCACAGGACUAAAGCACCCUCUUUGUUUUGUACAGUUGUUGGCUUUGUUUGCCAUCCCCUCUUUCUGCUAAAUUGAGUCCUGAAUGGAGUGUGAGCAGCAUCCAGAAAUCCUUUUGCAUUGUCGCUUGAAUAGGUUGUUCCUGGUGAGAAAAAUAGUCUUGUUAUAGCCAAAUCUCUGGACUGAAUCAGACUGAGCCAUGAACUGUCGAGUCUGCAAUUCACCCCCUUCCUCAAGGCUAACUGGGUAUUUAAUGACCAGUCAAUCUCACAUCCAAGGGGACACUCAGGUUAGGAGCCGUUUCUGUACAUUAAAACCUCAUCCCUCUGAGUUGGAUAGUUUAAAAAGAGAAGUGAAACCAGGGACAAGACAACCGGAGUUUUUUUUUGUGUGUGUCGGAGAUGAUUUUUUUACAAGUUGGAAACAAAGCUGCUGAGUUACCGUCUGAUCUGUGACUAAUUUUAAGAACGAACACGAUUGUUUUUGCAUAUUUGUUCCAGCCUCCUAAAUACAACGAUAUCUGACUUUGUUCUUUAAAGAUUUUGAAGUCUCUCUGGAAUAGUGAUUUUUACAGGUGAUUUUCAUUCAAAAGUGCUCCCAUUUUCAGAAAGUUUUUACAUUUUCUUAAGAAUCAAGAAAACAGGUUAUGAGCAACCGUUUUUGUAGUAUGAGUCCAUGUAUUGGACUUGAAGCCGCAGACUCGAGACUCAACUCAACUCAACUCGAGACCCAAGUUUUGACUGUGUUGGGACUUAGAAGAUGGAAAGGAGAACUAGUAUGUAUUUACUGAUAAGGGCUGUUUAUGUUGGUGUUACACCCAGAAGUGCGGAAAACCAGGGAUGAACAUAGGAGCAACCCUUGUCUCUCACAACCAAUUCACUUUUUGCAGGUCCAAGUCAAUUCUUGAGUCCCCUUUGCCAAAUCAAGCUGAAGUCAAAUAAAAUUAAAGUAAAAUAAAAUCAUACUGUUGUAAAAAUAAGAGCUGAAACACUAUUUUCUCAUUUAUUUCCUCAUUUAAGUCCAAUCUGGAUAAUCAAAUUUCAGUGUGGGCACCCCUGGGGUUGGGGCACCCCUAACUAUACCCUUAAUCCACCCCUGGCAUCUGCAUCUCGUCAUUUUUAGCCUUAAGGCCUGCCUCCUGCCUGCAGUGUCUUUGUAUCUGACUCAUUAGCAGGACCCUGAAUAACACAACUCAAUAUUUGAAGGCUUUCUUAUCGCGACAGGUGACCUGCGCAGAUGACCACCUGUUGUGAUAAUGAUCCAAAACUGAGCACCCAGCACCCAGCUGUGAAGAACUUUUAAAACAUGUUUGACAUUGAUCUCAACCAUUAGCCCACAUUAAAAUGAUGAACUACCAUGUCUGCCUGUCUUUAUCCCAGAUCACCUGCAGAGCAAACACUAUUCACAAGGAGCAAGCAUGGAUCAUUUAUUUAUCGAGUGGAUGAAAACUGCCUAAAAUUUGUCUGUAGUUAUGCUUGAGCAGCCUUGUGGCCCAUGUUUGAGAAGCUCUGUGCUGUUGCAGCAGCAGGUGAUGUGGUGAAUCCCCUCCAGCACCAGCAGCAGAAAAUUACACAUGAUAAGAGGAAAUGAUGAUAAGCUGCUGAUAUUAUUGAGACAAAAACACAAAUAAAGAGUGUGCAUGAGUCCCAAAGCUCAAGUCCGCGACAAGUCUCAAGUCUCUUUGGGUUGAGUGAGUCAAGUCAAAAGUCACCUUGGUGUGCAACUUAAGUGCAAUGUGAGUACAAGUCUCAAAUUUGAGUCCCAAAGACAAAAAACAUACCCGAUUCCCUCACAUAAACAGGAGAAACAAAAUGUGCAAAAACUAAAGGCUAAUCUACCCUACCACUACUUGGACAGCUAAAAAAAUGCAUCAGCAGUAGAAGAAGGAGGCAGGGCCAAGAGUUUUUCCUCCCACACUCUUAAAAAACAGCAAAGAGGAGAGAGGAGCACACACUCUAAAAGAAAACAGCAUCACACUAGGCAGAGAGGCAGAACCAACAUCACAUAUGAAUGUCACAAAGUCAGUAUAAGACCCAUGUCAUUUAUUCAGUUGAGAGAGAGGAUAUGUAUAUUCAGAGUAAACCGUGGGAGUGGAACACAGUAUCAUCAGUAGAGAGGUAGGGCUGCACGAUAUAUCGUUUGAGCAUCGUCAUCGCGAUGUACAUGUGCACUAUAGUCACAUUGCAGAGCCUGCGAUGUAGGAGGCGAGUAAACUAAUCUAAUUAGGAAUUAGCAUAAAUGCUCAUUUUAAUCCGUUGUCCUAAGGCAGUUGUUUAAAAACAUAGAAACAAUACAUUAUAUAUACACAAUACACUAUGACACUAUUCACAUAGAAAAGAUAAGAAGGGUUACUCAUGAGAGCCGGUCUGAUCAAAUCAAAAUAAUCCUCAGCAUGAAAUCAAUCAACUAAAAGGUUUUUGCUUUUUGAAAGGUUUGCUGAUAAUGCCACCCCUGAGUACUUUUUUAACCCUAAAAUCAAUUUAGAAAUUUUUCCUAACUGUGAAUCAUUUCAGUAAUGUAUAGCUCACAAACAUUUCAGGCACACAUACAAAAGAUACAAUCACAGGAAUCUCUCUCCAAGUCUCUGGCUUUGUUAUUUGGGAAAGCUAUUGAUUGAGAUUACUGGAUCCUCAGAGCUUUGAUGUUUCUGCACACCACGGCGUCCUGCAGGACAUCUUUGUCUCCUCCACAAAAAGACAUCCUCAUCAGCCCCUCUGUGUUGAGAGAUUAUCUUUCAGCAGGUUUCACUUUUUAUCCCAUCAGGCAGACACACACAGCUCCCCGUGUGGAGCAACAUGUGGUUCAUUGGUUCAAAAACUGUUUGUUGCUCAUGCUGUACGGAGCCUAAUUAUAUUAUCAGCUCUGAAAUACAGUUAAUAAGUAAAUGCAAACAAAGGACAAAUCCCGGGAUAACUGUUCAUGGCAAAAGUCAUUAAUUUAAAAUGUAUCUUAAUUAGAAUCACUGACAUACGGCUAAUUAAAAAGCAACCGAAGAAAAGUUUAAAUUGAGGAUGGAGAGAUAAAUAUGUCCGCUCAAAGCAGUGACUGUAAAAUGUUAUCUUCAAGUUUUGUUCAAUUAAUCCAGUCCCUAUGGAGGACUGUAACAGUUCUGCAUCAUUAUGGGUUUACAGUGGAAGAAUCUGAUUUAGAGAAAUAAUAACUCGUAAAAAUCAGUGCGAGGACUCGGCAUCUAAAAAUAAUUUAUUCAUGUCUUCAGUUUUAAUUCUGCUCAGAGACAACACACUACGUUUCUUCGGAUGGUUUCUUCUCAUCCAGUGAAUCAAACUAAGUGUGAUGAUGGUUGGAGAUGCUCUCAGCAGCCUUGGUUUGGAUGGUGCUGGUGUCAGACCUGGUUGUUUUAUGAUCAGGUCUAGAUUGAGUUUUGUUGUUGAGCCUUGAUUGCAACUGCAGCUCUGCUCAUUUCACAUAUGAACAGCUCUGCAGACACCGCACCACGCUGUAUCAUCAAUGACACGCUAAAUCUCCCCACUGCCAAAGGGUCCCACUGUUGUGGAACAAGACCAGCUGCUCUCUCCAUCUUCUUUGCAUUUGUGUGAAGUUGGAUCAAAAAUCAACUCCUACUGAAAAUGUGCACGUAGAAAGAUGGAGCAGAGCAUCUUAUUAUUAUUUCAACAACAUUUUAGACAGUAUUGGACUGUAGACUGUGUAUGAAAAGUGGAUAUUCAAGCUUUCAAAAAGUGGCACCACAAAGAAAGUUUCAUAGACUUCCUCUUUUAUGUCAAGCCGAGACAUUUGGUGUUAGAGCUCUGAUCACAAGCCGGGCAGUUCCAAGCAGUGUCCAUGGUUUCCAAAAAGAACGUCAGAUACCUCAGACCGCAGGACAGUUUCCUGUUUCGCCUCAGUCCAUCUUGAGUGAGCUUGGGCGCUGGAGAAGUUGCUGGCCUAUCUGGAUCGGGUUUAUAUCUUGUUUCCCUUUUUGUACUGAACAGUUUUACAGUUUUGAACCUUGUAGAGAGAUUCCUCAUAAUCUGUGAAUAUCAUCAUCAUCUACUGUAGAUGAUGAAGUACUGAAAUGAUUGUGUGAUGAGUGUCAGACUCUCUGGAGCGCUCUUUUAUACCCUGUCACUUGUUGCAAUUCAACCUCAUUGGUCUCCUAGACAGUAGGAGCCAGAUGAUACCACCAAUGACACCAUUUUUAUGUUCAGAUCCAACCCAAGAUCUAUGUAGAUCAUGUAAACUGAGUACUGAGUUUGUAGUACUGUAAAAUAGUGUAAAACAAUUGUAAAAUACUGUUGUCAUGGUGAUUCCGAUUGCACCCUUUGAAUUGCCAUCUUAUCUUAUCAGAACUGGCGUGUUCCAGUUGUAUUCUGAAGUUGGGAUUUCCGAGGUCUGAGUCGGAAAUUCAUCUGGAACGCCCCCCUAAAGUCGACGUCUGACUUCUGUUUUGUUUUUGUGAAAUUCAAUAAGUGGUAUUUGUUGUUCUGCUCAACAUCUAACUGUAAACACGAUGAUACGGUGUUUGUAAGAGUAAAAUACUGUGUUAUACGUUGUUCACAACUGGUGUAGCUAACAACAACUUACAACCACUGACAACCGCUAACAACAACUGACAAUGGCUAACGACAGCUGACAAUUGUUAACAACAGCUAACAACUGCUAACAGUAGGCGUCCACCUUGGUUUUCCUACUUGUUUACUGGAACGCCAUAAACCUACUCAUUUCCAGCUCUGACAUCCGACUUCCAAGGUAACUGGAACGCAGCAUGAACAUGUUUACAGUCAUAUUACUAAAAACUUCUGCAGUGACACUUGAAUCAGAAUACGGUGACUGAACCUGACCAGAGCCUGACCACAUAUAAAUGUACAGUAUACCCCACGUUGGCAUGACCUGUCUGAUUCUGUCAGAUCUCAGUGGGCUUUGAUUAGGGUUUCCACCAUCUUCUGCAGACAUCUCUUCAAAUAACAGUGCAGCACUAGUAGUAACAGUAUCAAGUGUGGUAUUGUGAGAUUUUCUACAAUGCACUCAUAUCUGCGCACACAAGCUCGUAAACCCGCUGGUCCUCUUUACAGUCUUUUUCCUGAUAUAACCCUUGUGUCGUUUGACAUUUCAAUACAGCAGCGAGAUGAUUUUCUGAGCUCUUCUCAUCUGGAGAGUUCACCAUGUUGCCUCGGGAGUCCCGUUCUUCAACGGCACAAUAGCUGUUGGACAUGUCACCUGCUGCCUGUGUUUAUUUGCUUCAGUCUAAAUGGUGUGAACAGCCUGUUAUGAGCUCCCUCAUCUAAUCCACUGCUGGAGUUAUUUAUACUGCUGUAUUGUCACUGCGGAUCCACUCUCACCGGGAGUCUGAGGGCUGCGGAGCACUCAUUGUCAUGUGUCAUUGUCUGACUGACUGAACAUGCAGCAUCUUUGAGCAUCUCUAAACCGCAAAAAGGGCCUUAUCUUUCUCCCUGCUACAUGGAUGGUGGGAGAGAAUAAUGCUGCAUUUACAAGAUUACAAAAACAAAUCUAGUGUUGAUUUGACCUUUCAACCCCGGCCCAAGGUGGCAAGUGAUGCAGAGAAGAAAAUACGUAUAUAUAUAUAUAUAGAGAGAGAGGAGCAGGGAGAGCUGCAGUCCAAAUGCAGGUGAGUUAAGACCCGGAUCGGAUGUCUGGGGAAUACAAGCCUCCGUUUGUUCCAUUAGUCUCCUCCCCUGGCACAUCCUAUUCCUUCGGGGAAUUAGCCUGUCGAUAAGAAAGCAUCAAACCCACGGGGGGAAGGAUGGAAUCCAUUUAACCAGCCUUUUGUUUCCGUCAUUUUUCAGCCGCCAUCUGGAAAAUGUCAUAGCAACCUUAUCACAAAAGUCACAUGCUAGAGAGUCUACAGUCGGCGUCUGACAGAUAGAAGAGUGUUGGAAAUAAUGUGACAUGUCAGUUCAUAUAUGGACAAAUCAGCAGCUUGCCAUUUUACUGAGUUAGCCUUGGCAGGAAAUGGAUGCUUAUUCAUUCAGCAAUGCUGGGAUGAUAGUUCAUGUUCUUGGGUUGAAUGUGUCGUGCCAUACUUUUCACAAUGUCAGUAUUUCAUGAAAAAUCCAAACUAUGUUUACUGUGGUGUUUAACUUUGACUGUUACAUCAUAUGCUCUCUAAACGUUCUUCAUUUCUCUCGUCCAAAGUUCUUUUUAGAGUUUUUACAGGUCUUGAUAGCUGUGUAGUUUAGUUACAGUACUGCUUAUUGCAGUGAUAGUGAUAGCUACGAUAUAGAUGCAGCCGAAAAAAUUAGAAUAUUUUGAAAAAGCUAAAUAUUUUUCAACAGUUUUGUGAGAAAUUGGAAUUGUGAUUCAUUAUGGACUCGUUUAAUGUAAACAGAAAAGCAAUGACCACAACCACAGAGGUAUUGUCAAAAAAAGUUGAAACAUGAACCUGGGAGAGCUUCACAAGGAGUCAGUGGAUCAGGAGCCCGAUAAAGGACAGGAUCUACAGCUGUCCUGCUUCUAAUAUGAGGACACUCAUACUACUCACACUCAACCGGACACAACAUCAGAAUUGGAUAAAGAGGAUUAGACUGUAGCCUAGUGGUUUCAAAGUCCUCUACUCAGAUAAAGGUCAAUUUUGCAUCUCAUUUUUGAAUCCAAGUGUUUGGAGAAAGAGGCACAGAGUCCAAGAUUUGUGAAAUCGAGUUUUUGCACUGUUUAAUGAUUUUUGGGCGCCCUGUCACCUGCUGGUGUCAGUCCACACUUUAGAGAUCAUGAUCUUGCUUCUAUGUGCUGCCAAGCUUGAUGACGAUGCCAUUUCCCUUUUCCAGCAGGACUUGGCACCUGCCCACAGAUCCAAAACUUUUACUGAUACCAUUGUGCUUGAUUGGCUGGCCUGAAGCCUGUGCAGAAUUUGUGAGAAAGACCAAACACAAAAAUACAGACCAGCUUGAAGCCACUCUUGAAGCAACCUCAGCAGAGUAAGAUGCUUCAUGCUAAACCCUGUUGCUGCAGUAAUUUGUUAUGAAGAGGCCUGAAUCAAGUAUUGAAUGCACUUAUGUACACACUUUUAGAUGCUGAUUUUACAGUUCUGCAUUUCAAGCCUCUUUUGAUUGGUUAAAGGGAAUAUUUUAAUAAUUUGAAAAACUUGAUUUCAUAUUUUCAAGAUCUACAACCAAAAAUGAAGCAAAUCUAAACAGAAUCAAAAGGGCUUGAGAUAUUUUAUUUCACAUCCAAUGAAUGUAAAACAAAUGGACAUUUACCUCUGUAAAUUCAGCUACAACAAUAGGACUUUUCUAUAAUAUUCUACUUUAUUGAGCUGCAUGUUUAUGUCAUAGUAGUUUCUUUUGAUGUUUCAGAAGUUCAUACUUUUCAGCCAUUAUUGGCUCAUGGACAUAUAGUGGCCGAUGUGCAAGAGUAUUAUAUAAUCACUGAGAAAGAUCAGAGACAUGACAUGCAAUUUGCAAAGAUGUCCCAUUGACAUUUUUAGAAGGACUUAAACAGCAGGGAUUAGAGCUGGGCUAUUCAACUCUCAUGGCAAGGGGGCCAUAUGGAAUAAUCACAGAGAGCUCCAGGCCACACAGAGUGUUUUGUCAAUAACGGCUUCAAGUAGCUCAUAUGCUCACUGUAUGAUAAUUAUAGAUUUUAUUAUUUCACAUAAUGAAAUAUUUUAGUCUUGACUGUCCACCCAGAACCUCUAAUGCUUUGGUUAAUCGAUUGUAGUUGCAUGGUGUCAUCUUAGUGAAAAGCAAAUAUCUUAUUUGGUUUAACAAAUAUACUUGGAUGAGCAUAAGGAAGGUUUAUGUGCAGGGAAACAGUGGGUAUCCAGUACCUCAGUAAUAUUCAUCAUACUGCACACACAAACCUUGCUGAUGUGUAGGCGGUCUCUGGAGAGCGAUAGAAACAUUAUAAGGGGUCAUAAUGAGGGGCCCAGGGGCCACUGAUUGGACAGGGCUGAACAAGAGGGAACCACUGGCAACAGUGAAUAACAAUAUAUCGUAUAGCUCAUUUGAAAAACAAAUGUGAUAUAUUGCAGAGACUCAAAGAAAGAACAAAUAUGAGUAAUAGUAUUAGCUUCCAGCUAGAUUGUACUUUUUAACAUUAGUUUGUCACAACCUGUGUUGUAAUAUUGCAAAUACAUGUCAAAUUUCAGUUUGUAAUACCAGGAAUAACUGUAUGGGUGGUAGGAGUUUCAGAUCCUUGGACUUGAAUGCGUUGUGGUUUUUCCUGUCUGCUCGAUAUCCCACAUUUCACAGGAGCAGCACUGUAUUUACUUCCACCAUUUCCCAGAAAUUUCAAGAAAAAAAAAAAGCCCUGCACACCCCAUGAUAUCUCUAUUUCAAACAACUACUUCUUGAAGACAGCACCCUCUCCUUUUUUAAGUGAGUCCUUCUCCCCCCAAUUGCUGUAUGCCACGAGGCAGCAGACAAGCAAUUAGUCCACAAAGGCCAGACAAUUACAGAGACUGCAGCAACACUUCAAAGAGGACAGGGCAUAAAUCCUUAAGGGCACAGUCUGCAUCCCUUCACACAUCUUCUCCGGUUGGCAGUUUGUUAUUUAGUCUGCAGCGUGUGAACAGAACCAGCUGCAAUGUGUCAGUCAGAGUCUUUGCCGAGCCUCAGGCGAGAUAAAGCAGCAGAAUCGUCCUGCAAACAGAGAGAGAGAGACAGAGAGAGAGAGAGACCUGUCAGUGAGUUUGGGGUGCCUCGUCUGUGCUGUAAGCGUUUGCUUCCCUGCUGUGGCGCUGCUGUGAAUACUUAGCCCGUGCCAGGUCUGACCUCCUCUGAUGUUUUCACUCUGAAUGCACAUUUGCAUCUGAAUCAACUGCCUCUAAGUCACACAGCAUUUUUUUUUGCAACAUAAUGCAAAUGAAGUCGGUGUCAGAAUCAUCUCUGUUAUCUGUAAACUGCUGGAUAGCUUAAUGGGAGGAUGGGCUGUCUUAUAACUGGAAGGUCACUGACUCAAUCAUACGGCUGCUAACGUGCUAUUAUCUGCCAGUCGUCCGGUGAUGUGUAAACGCGCUGAGAGAGAAUGGAAAUACAGCUGGAAGCAAAGAAGAAAAAAACUGUAUGUACUUUUUUUUUUAGGUUUUUGAAAAACACCACUCACAUGAAACAAAAAGCACUGUUUGUUUUUGUUUUUUUUACUCUUGAGUGAAAAAUUAGAGAAGCAGAGGAUGAAAAGCUGCUGCUCUCAGCUUCUUGCCAAUUUCUUGAUUACGCUGUUGUUGAUUGGAGGAAAAAUACUAUCAUUAGAAGAAAUUACAAUAAUUUGUUGAAAUUGCAGCCUGUGUUCAAUUUUUGGAGUGUGUGGGGUGAAAUAUGGGGCACGAGUGUGGCAACCAGGAAAAUUUGAGCUGAAUUUUCAACAGACAUUGUUCACAAAAUACCUUAAAAAAAAAAAAAAAAUAAAGAUAUUCAAGUGAGCAGUGAUUCACCACACUGUCAUCAAGCACUUACCUUUACUCUGAUAAACAAGGUUUUUCACAUAUCUGUCAUUUCAGGACAGAUGCUUAGGCUUUCAUUGAAUUCCUUCUAGGUAUGAACACCAUUUGGGCAGAGUAGAAAUGUUAUGCAUUUUGAAAUAAUAAUGCAGGAAAAUAAAAGGACAAGAUCCAUCUCUUCCAUACUUCAGUCCUUUUUACCAUCAGCUCUACCAGCACCAAAGCACACAUCUAUAAAACAGUCUGUACUCAGUUCCAACAAAGUCAAGAGUUUUCCAAAGUGAAUUACUUUCUUGUACUUUUUAGGAGAAUAUAACAGUUUUCCACAAUUUUCAUGAUCAUGCACUUUUCUUUUCUGUCACAUUCAUUUAUAUAAAAGCAUUUCCUUCUCCCUUCUCUUCCAUCAUUUUGAAAAUAUUCCUCUUCAUUGCGUUGGGCUUGUUAGUUGUGAUCUGUUUGCGAUAGAGCUGAGCAUUACCUGCAUGAAUUUCAGUCAGUCCUUAUCUUUGCGUCACUGUGCACUUUACUAUAUUGCUGUUGUUUCUGUUGUCCUGUGCUGUAUUGUAUUGUACUGUAUGUGCUGUGUUGUAUGUAUGCUGCUUACCCAUGUGUCCAAGACAGAAUAAAUGAACCCUGAACCCUGAUCCAUUGGUCCUGGGCAACACUCGAGUGGGCUAAAUAAUUUUACUUAGUUAAUAUCACAAUUCUGCUAAAUAAUCCGGGCUCACAAAGGGGUAAAUGAUCCCGUCUGUGACUUUACUGCAGCACUAUUCACUCUGGCUGUGAACUAAUAUCUUUUAAAAGUGCAGAUGCAGACUACGGAUAAGGUUUUUCAAAGACACACUAGUGUACUGCAACAUGAACAAAAACCUGCGACCAGGCACGUGUUGUUUUCUGUCCAAGUUUCAUCUGGUGUGUGACGUGACUGUAACAUAUGGCCGUAUCUCCAUGACUACAAGCUCAUUCUGAAGUGACAGAAUUAAAUCAUAUGUUAAAUUAAGCUCAUGUAUUCAUGUUUUUUUUUUUUUUUUUUUUUUUUUUUUGCAGGAAGAGAAGAAUUCGCAAAGUUCAAUGGAAAAAGAAAAUCUGGCACAUUUUCUGUCUUCUGUUCUCCUCCAACUGCUUGACAAUCACAGAGGAGUAGUCAUCCUGCGGAGAAGCUGCAUCCCAGAGCGAGAGCAUUCAGCACUGAGUGUUGUGUAAGAAAUUACUACAAUUAAUUCAGCUCCCUGAAGGGCAGACGAGUUGGCAGGAAAUGAAGCCACUCGAGAACAAGAAUCCCAUCCGUCACUCCGAGGAGACUUAAUGUUGACAUUUGGGUGGUCCCAUUAUUUUGACCUUACCUUGUAUGUAAUUAAUCAUAAAAAGCUCCCGGGAUUCGGAUAAGCUGUCUGUUUCGGCUCUGAAACACGUAUUUCAAAGUGCUUUUCGUGAAAUCACUCAAGUGCAAAAUUACAGCUUCGGUUACGUGAUUGAGCUCUAUCAGGUUCGUGAUUAGCUGUCUAGCAUGAAUGUGAACCGGUGUCUGGCUGUGAUUGUUCCCCUGGCCACUGAGCAGUCCUCGGUUUGAUGAUAACCUCCUUGAAAUCCAGAUGAGUCGUGUGUAUCGUCUUCAGCACCUCUAUUGCAGGACGAGUUGAUUCAAGGGGCAGGGUAUCUGAAAACAAACCAGUUUGCACGCUCUGAAUAUUUAAAUGGAGCUUCUUUUCUUUUCAACCUCUGCGACUAUGGGAAUUAUUUAGAUACCGCCGUCUGAAUGUUGAGUGUAUUGACUUCUUUUCAUGUUCAUGUGGAGAUAUUUACAUCUGCGUACGUGCCUCUAAUAGCAGCACAAACUGUUUUAAUCCUGGGUCAAACAUAAACGCCGUCAGAGGGUUUUCUGCUCUGAGGGUGCUCGUACAGCUCUCGGUGAACCAGCAGCCCCUCUGCUUACAGGAAACAGCUUGAAGAAAUGCCACUCACUGGAAAAACCAAACAUUUUUGUUUGAUUGUGACCAAUGAAAUGAACACAUAGCUCAGGUGUUGAAUUCAGACAGUUAAAUCUGUUAGACCUUGACCUAAUGAGGACUUCAACUUGCUGGUGCUCAAGUGAAAAAUCAGUAUGAAGUAUGGGUGAGUGGGUGUGUAAAUGCAGCAGGUAAUAGCCUGGACCAAUCACCACAAAAGAGCGGAGAGGUAAAUGAUCUCGUUGACAUUGAACAGUUUGAAUUUUUUUACUGCUACCAAUAACCACUGGCAUUUGUUCCAGUUUCUUUUUAUUUGUAAAGUGGAAAGUCCUUAUACAAGUCCUAUUAAGUCGAAACCAUUAUGGUAGACCACUUUAGACUUUUAGGACUUUGUUGGCUCAGCUCAGGCACUGAACCAUGCAGGGUGGAAAAAAGUACAGUUAUGCACUAACACAAAUCAAUAGCAUUUAUUCACUCUUCUCAUUUCUACUAAGUUUGCUUAAUUUUUAAACUACUAAAACUGAAAAUGUAAAACAGACGUUUUGUUCCUAUGUGUAUCAUUUUGGCACACAACAGAAUUCAAACUUGUCUAUCUACUUGGCCUAAUUCAAACAAAAAAAGGAUGUUUUUCCAAAAUCAUUUAUGGGAAAAGCUUUGCAUUAAACUCAAAGACUGUUGCAACAUGAUCCAAAUUUUGAUUUGAAUAUUUGUCCCACCCUGGUACAGCAAAGAGCCAACCAUGGUCAAUGCGUUUACAUGCACAGUUUUAAUCGGACUAAGCUCAUAAUUUUUUUUUUUUUUCGCCAAAUCGGACUUCUCUCUUUCUGCGCGUAUACAGGCUAGCUGAGAAAAUUAAAUUAUUUAUGUGAACGUGCCCUCCUCCCAAAAACCAGGGGGCGAUAUGGGUCUUUUAAGCUGCGCUGUUUCUGACCCCAUGCAACUGUCAACAACAACAGCAGGUCCAUGCCAGACAUCAGAAGUGGCUACAACUGCUGCUGGGCAUUUUCAAACAAGAAGAUGGAGCAUCGUACAGUGUCGUUUUUGUCGUACAUGAUGCACGCGCUACUUUUUCUGCA